RNAcentral lists this long non-coding RNA (90983 nucleotides) under Brassica rapa (field mustard). RNAcentral's name for it is "long non-coding RNA (BRAP_LNC003747)". The stretch from base 43385 to 43490 matches the Rfam family "Plant small nucleolar RNA R71". Lineage: Eukaryota; Viridiplantae; Streptophyta; Magnoliopsida; Brassicales; Brassicaceae. The record is from RNAcentral.
AAGAAUACACUUAUACCCUUGGGUUAACUUUUGACUGGGGUAGGGUUUUUGGAAUAUGAAAUUUAGGAUUCUAAUAAAUAUAUAAAUAAAUUCUUAAAAAAUAUAUAAAAAAUUUUAAAAAAUAGUUUCAAACAUAAUUUUUGAUUUUCAAAAGAAUUUUUUUUAAAAAAAAAAUCGAAACAAUUCAAAAAAUAAAAUUAGAAACAAGUUUGAAAUUGAAAAAGUAUAAUUCGAAAACAAUAAAAAAUUAUUAUUUUUUUAAUUUAUUUAAAUAAUGAUUUAUUACAUAUAUAGAGAACAAAGAUAUAAGAUUCUUUUACCACUUAAUGAAGAAUGUAUUUUUGAAAAUGUCCCUUUAAUAGUGGUAAAGAUGAAAAAUAGUAAACAUGAAAUUUCUCCAAAUCAAAAGUCUAAUUACUAUAAUAAUAUAUUAUUAUUUAUAGUAAUAGUUUAUUUAUUUUAAACAUAUAAAUUAUGGAAUGACUCCAAACAUAUAUAAAUGAAAAUGAAAUAUUAAAAAGUGUUACAAUUUAAUUUUAAAUUAUAUAUAUAUAUACAUAAUUUUUUUACAUAUCAUUUUUCCCUCCAUUAUGUAAUUUUUAAUCGAUCAAUAUUUUUUUUCUUUAAUUGUCAAAAAAUAUAUAUUAAAUUAUACAUAAUCUGACGACUAAACAAAUGUAUACAUAACCUUACUGAAAAAAUUAAACAAAUAUAAACCGAUUACCAAAGGAAAGCAAAUAACAAAAUUUAUUAAAACUUUAAUCUAUUGAAAAAAAAAUACUAUGCUCGAAUUCGGAGAAAUGAAUAAAAGGCAAUAUAUUCAAAUAAUAAACAAAUCGACUAGAUAGUAUAAAUCUAAUUAGCUAAUAUAAUAUUAUUUAAAAUUAUACAUAUAAAUUACAGAGUGAUUUAAAAUAAAAUUAAAAAUAUUAAUCAUUAGCUAAACAAUUUCCUUCUUCCAAAAUUAAAAUAUUAAAAAUUAAACAAUUUUCCUUCUUCCAAAAUGCUGAAAUCAUUAGCUCAAGCUAGCAAAAGCUGAUAUCGUGUAAAUAUGGACGGUGGCCAAAAAAGAAACAAACCAACAUCAAACCUUAAAAAGGUUCCACAUUCUCACUUUGUCAGCAAAUACUAAUGCGAGGAAAAGGUACGAAGCAAACAUGUAAUCAAGGCAACAUUAUCAAACGCGACCUCGUUAAGAAAAAAGAAAAAAAAGAAUGAACUAAGUAAUCAUCUAUGUUUAUCACUGCCCUAGUUAUAGAUAAACCCAGCCCAAUAAGAGCCCACUAGCGGGUUAUGUGGUAAAUUAGUAAAGAAGAGCCAGAGCCAUAUCCACCACCACCGAGCCAAGAGGAAAAUGGCAAUGGUGGUGGCCGUGGGUGUGCUCCACAACCACCUCCUCUCUGCGUCUUCUCGAAUAGUUUGUUUAUCUUCUUGUUCUCGCCCUCCCCUCUCAGUCUCGUCAGGUGUUGCGAAGGUGGUUCUUAAAAAGGGAAAGACACAGCUCUUCAAAGACGGAAGUCCAAUGGUGUACAGUGGAGCCGUGGACAGGAUCAUCGGAAAACCGCCUCCACAGACCGGAGAUGUUGUCAUUGUCGCCGAUGGCACCGAGAAUCCCAUUGGCUGGGGGUUGUAUAACUCCGUAUCUAUGUUCUGUGUUCGCCUUAUGCAGCUCCAACACGAAUCCACCAGGUUUCUUUCUUUCUUUCUUUCUUUCUUUGGAGUCAACUUGUUUUGCUUCAUAUUGAUUCCUUUUCUUCUUAUUGGCAGAGAUCCUUCGUGUGCACUCAACAUUGAGAAGCUUCUCCAAACUAGAAUCACUCAAGCAGUUCAGUUGCGGAAUAGUUUGGGACUCCCCUCGGAUAAUAAUACUAAUGCUUAUCGUCUUGUCAACAGUGAGGGAGAUAGGUGUUCUCACUCACUCACUCACUCACUAGCUAAAUCUCAAUCAAAAUUUUUUUUUUUCAAUCUUCUUCUAACAUAUCAUUAUCUUUAGAUUGUCUGGAUUGAUAGUGGAUGUGUUUGGAGAUAUAGCUGUGGUUGCAUCCUCCGCCGCUUGGCUUGAAAAAUACAGGAGUCAUGUGGAGGCUUGCUUGAGAUCAAUCAAUGGUAUUAAUCACAUUAACUGGAGACCCUCUCUUGAUGUUCUCAAAGAAGAUGGCUUUGAUAUCUCCUCUUUGAAACAAACAUCAUCUGCUCCUCCUCUCCCCGAGAGAUCAAUGGUCUUUGCUUCCCCUUGGCUAUCUUUAUGGAAACAAUCAUCAGGGAAUGAUCUUUCUUUCUUAUCCUCCUCCCCCUUAGGUGGUGGAAAAUGGUAUCUCUUACGCAAUCUCUCUAGAGGGACAGAAGACAGGGUUCUACACUGAUCAACGCGAAAACCGCCGCUUCAUAUCGACCAUCUCCGCUGGCAAAAGGGUUCUUGAUCUUUGCUGUUAUAGUGGUGGAUUCGCACUAAAUGCUGCGAGCGGAGGUGCCACCAGUGUCCUCGGUGUUGAUUCAUCUUUGCCUGCUUUGGAGCUCGCCAGAGAGAAUGUAAUCCUCAACCGUAUGGAUCCAGAGAAGGUUGCUUUCUUCAAACAAGAUUCUACAGAGUUCAUGAAGGGCGCUCUGUCAAGGGAAGAGACAUGGGACAUCGUCAUCCUAGACCCUCCUAAGCUAGCUCCAAGGAAAAAGGUUGGCCCCUUGGGACUUGUUUUCUUUUUCUUUUUCUUCUAUUGAUUUACAGGAAUAGUUAUUGAGAGGUUUUGAAUAUGCUCUGCUAGGUUUUACAUAACGCGGCAGGAAUGUACAGGAAUCUCAACUCGUUGGCGAUGAGAUUGACAAGUAGUGGAGGUUUGUUGAUGACAUGCUCAUGUUCAGGUGCCAUGACACAGAGCGGGAAGUUCUUGGGCAUUCUUCAGAGCGCUGCAGCUAUGGCGGGAAGGAAGAUCACUGUGGUUAGGGAGGCAGGAGCUGCUUCUGAUCACCCUCUCGACCCAUCCUACCCUCAAGGCCAGUACCUCUCCAAUAUUCUGCUUCGGGUGCUCUGAGUUUUCGUUUCAACAAAUGCUCAAUAUUAUUUUUUAGGUUUGUUGGGGACAAAAGUAAUUUAGUUUGAACUUGUUUGUUAUAGAUAUUUGGAGUAUCAGCUCUCACCGAAUGAACCAUUUUUGCAAGCAAGGAUUUCAUUGAGUAACGUUUCUUAAUUUCACUUAUUUUCUUUAUAAAAGUGAAAAGACAAUUUCAAAAAUUAGAACAGUUUUAUUUGAGGAAAACCACUUCAAUACAUUUUAUCCGAAAUUUUAGAAAAGAAUAGGUACGAAGAACAACAACAACAAAAAAGAACAGUUAAAAGUGAAAAAAUUUAUAAUUUCCGCAAAUGAAAUUAUAGUAUAGUUGAGCAUAUGAUUGAACCACGUCACUGUACGAUAAUAAUUCAAUGAUUCAUGAGAAUUCAUUUUGUUCUAUCUUCCUUUGGUUAUAUAAAACAUAAUUGGCCACAGAAGAAUUAUCAAAAGAAACAGCUCCUCUUGAUAGCAUUUGAAGGUAAAAUCAUAAUUGUAUUUGAAUCAAAAUGUUUGAUAUUUGUCAAUUGUCAAGACACUGCACCGCUAUUGGUCAGCUUCACUAAACUCUGAAGUCGACAUUUGCUUAAUUAAUAAUUCACUAAUCACUCAAUUUGUUGCUUAAUUAAUUAUUGCUACUUAAUUAUUUUCUCUGUAAGAUUACAACAUAUCACAGUCGUUUCGACUGUUUGUACAUCUUCACUGAUAAAAGCUUGUAUUCCCUCCGUUUCACUUUAUUUGUCCAUCUAGGUUUUUUGACACAUAUUAAAAAAUGAUUAAAUUUAUUAUUUUGUUCUUAUUUAAUACAUGAGAGUGAAUUUGAAAAAACUAGCAAAUCGAAAACAUAAAACAACACUUAAAAUGAAAAAAAUAAUACGAAAAAGAGGGAGCAUCAACAAAGCACACCAUCGUUUGCUUAAUCUGAAAAGUUGAGGUGGCUGAUCUGGGACUUGUGUAUGAAACAAGUUACUAAGGAGGAUCACUUGAACAAGCAGCGCGAUGAAUUGUAGUGUUGAUGUCAUUAGAAACAAUCACAUAAUAAGAUGAAUGUUUCCUGGUAUUAACUAUAAAAGCCGGAAAACCGGAUCAAAAGAAACGAUAUAAUAUAAACGACGUUAAGGAAAAUAUACAGACGAUUCAAAACCGUAACGGAAAUGAAACCAUGGAGUCGAGACGAAUCUCUUUCCUUAACUCUUAAUAUUCGCUCCGUUAGUGCGACGGAUCUGUACGAAUAGGAGUCCCAGGAUAAAACCAUGAUAGGUUAUCACGCAGCACUCGUGAAGAACCUCUAACGAACUAAUAUUUCUACGAAACACUCUCUAGACUUACGCUAUAGGAUUUGCUGGUUUUUGUUGUGAAAAAACGUCAAAAGAAAUGAAGGAGGAGACGAGUUUAUAAAGAAGAGAAGACGAGCCACUUUCCGUAACUGAUGCCGCACGUGCGCACGUUGGCGGAAAUCUCGCGAGGAUCUCGGAGGUGAGGCGUUACGAAACUUCCUCCGCAAGAUCAUCUUUUCUCGUUUAUACUUAUCGUCAAGAAGAGAGACAGCGUGUUGUUUUUAAACGAACUACGUGUUGUUUAAAAUAAAAUGCACGUCGUUUUUUCGGGAAUUAAAUGGCAAAGCGUUGAGCUUAACUUGGUCCAAAAAAAAUAGUUCUUAUCGGGCCAAAGGCUCUCCACCCAAGGCCAAGCCCAAGCCCAAGGCCAAGCCCACGCCGAGCCGGCCGGACGGCGGCGGCGCGCGCGUGGGGAAUUCUCUCUUCCUCUGAGCCGUUUAACACAUGGUAUGUGUGAGUGCAUAUAUAUACAGCUCGACUCUUCUCUUCCUCCCCGAUGUGGGACUUUGUAAGUUUCAUUUCAUUAACCACACAUAAGUGGGCUAUUAGGCACACAAGCCCAAUCAUUUGUUAUUCACAUAUUUUAAUUAAACCCAAUUGGUUUAAUUGAUCCAACAAUCCCCCACAUGAAUAGAAAUGACUCUUCUAAACAUAUGCAGACUAAAUGCAGACUCGAUAGACUCUAAAAAAAACUAUACUUAUUCUAAUCUGGACUAGACUAGACAGACUUAUCGAGAGUAUUUGCGAAAAUUCAAUUGUGUUUGAGUUGGUGGCAUUUUUAAGCCUUGAACCACUCAUAGUUAAUAUCUGUCGGGUUUACUUUACCAGAAGGUGAACAUGAUGUCUUGAACCAACCGGUGUUUUAUGUAAACCGAGACAACAGGCAUAACGCAGCUUCAUUUUCUCGUAGAACUUAGUUCUCUAUUGUGUUCAUUGUGGUCCUGAACUAUUCCUGGUUUUCAUGAGUGAACUUAGAGAAUAUAGCCUUGCAUUCAUUCUCCUAGAAACGGCCUCAUUUCACACUCAUUAGGUGAUUGACCAUGAAAAGUAUUGAGUAAUACUCCGCUUAAGAAGCUAUGGAAUCAUUAAAAGCUUAUGCUUAUCCUUCUCACAUUUGUUAGCACUUUUAUCAUCUUAGGAGCUGGGAAGAGACUACUUGUCUCAAGUGCUUUGGUUAGAUUCUGUUUGAUUUUGUUUUCCCUUUGAACCUACGUCUUGGGAUCUCCAGUCAUGAUAGGUAGGGUUGCAAUCAAGCAUCCUCAUUCGUUAUAGGCUUUAAACCCAUUCAUUUUGAUGAUUUAGCAACAACAUCUCGUGACAAACCUUUAGUAAAUGGAUCCGCUAGGUUGUCAGCCGAUUUGAUGUACUCUAUUGUAAUUACACCAGUUGAGAUAAGUUGUCUAAUGGUUUUAUGUCGUCUUCUGAUGUGACGAGAUUUACCAUUGUAGAGAUUAUUCUCAGCCCGAGCUAUAGCUGAUUGACUAUCACAAUGUAUGCGUAUAGCUGGCACAGGCUUCUCCCACAUAGGAAUAUCUUCCAAAAAAUUUCUAAGCCAUUCAGCUUCUUCCAUCGUCGAUCUGGCUAACACUGUUUGUUUGGUAGAUUUCCAUGAUAUUGCUGCUCCCCCUAGUGUAAAUACAUAUCCACUUGUGGAUUUUGAGUUUUUAGAAUCUGAUAUCCAGUUAGCAUCACUGUAUCCUUCUAAAACUGCUGGUUCUUUACCAUAGUGGAACCCAAAAUCUUUGGUGUAACGUAAGUAAUUGAGUACCCUCGUUAUAGCUUUCCAGUGUGUAUGACCUGGAUUACUUGUAUAUCGACUAAGUACGUUUACUGCAUGCGCUAGAUCUGGUCUAGUACAAUUUGUCAAGUACAUGAGACUUCUGAUCACACGUGCAUACUCGUUUUGUGAAACCGCUUCACCUGAAUUCUUUGUCAAGUGCAUUUGGGGAUCUAACGGAGUUUUUGCCGUAUUAUUAGAGUAAUUUUUAAAUCUCUCUAAUAUUGUUUGAGCAUAAUGAGAUUGGGUUAAGAUAAUUCCGUUUGAAUUUCUUGUGACUUUAACCCCGAGAAUUACAUCUACUAAUCCCAAGUCUUUCAUCUCAAAUGUCCCUUUGAGCAUGUUCUUUGUUUGAUUGAUAAUGUCUUUAUUGCUUCCAAUAAUGAGCAUAUCAUCUACAUAUAGACAUAGCAAAACAUACGCAUUUUUGGUAGUUUUGUAGUAUAUGCAUUUGUCACAUUCAUUUAUUUUGAACCAUUUGACAUCAUUGUAUUGUCAAAUUUUUCGUGCCAUUGUUUAGGAGCUUGUUUAAGCCCAUAAAGUGACUUUACAAGUCGACAUACUUUGUCUUCUUGUCCGGGAAUGACAAAACCUUCAGGUUAUUUCAUGUAAAUUUCCUCUUCUAAAUCACCAUUUAGAAAAGCAGUUUUUACAUCCAUUUGAUGGAUUUCUAGGUCUCUCAAGGCUGCGAUUGCUAUCAUCAGUCUUAUUGAUGUUAUUCUCGUCAUUGGAGAGUAUGUAUCAAAAUAGUCAAGGCCUUCCUUUUGUCGGAAUCCUUGAACUACAAGCCUAGACUUGUAUUUUCCACCAGGUUUGCGUGUCAUUAUCCAUUUAUUUCCUAAUGCUUUGCAGCCAGGUGGUAAAUCCGUUAUGUAAUACGUAUAAUUUUGCAUAAUCGAAUCUAAUUCACUCCUGACAGCUUCGUUCCAAAAAGGAGCUUUUGGUGAAGCCAUGGCUUCUGCCAAAGUUUUUGGAGCAUUUUCUACUAAAAAUGCCAUUAGGAAAUCUUCUCCAAAAGAUUUUUCCUUUCGAGCUCUUUUGCUUCUUCGAGGUUCAUCUUUUCCUUCAUUUUCUGAAAUAUCAUUUAUAGAAAUCUCGACGUUUGUCUCAGUUUCUGAGUUCUUGUCGUUGUCUCUUUCUUCUCGAGUUCGUUUUGAAUCUUGUUUUUCCUUAUAUGGAAAAAUAUUUUCGAAGAAAGAUGCAUUUCUUGAUUCCAUGACUGUAUUUUCAUGAAUGUCUGAUAUUUCAGAUUUAUGUACCAGAAAACGAUAAGCAUUACUGUUAUGUGCAUAUCCGAUGAAGAUGCAAUCCACUGUUUUAGGUCCAAUAGUGACCUUCUUUGGUGGCGGUACCGCAACUUUUGCCAGGCACCUCCACACUUUGAGGUAUUUAUACGAAGGUAACUUUCCUUUCCAUAAUUCAUAUGGAGUUUUGCCAGUUACUUUGUGUGGAAUCUUGUUGAGGAUAUAAUUAAUGGUAAGCAACGCUUCCCCCCACAUGUUCUGGGGUAACCCAGAUUCCUGCAACAUAGCAUUCAUCAUCUCUUUUAGAGUUCGAUUUUUGCGUUCAGCAACUCCAUUAGAUUCUGGUGAGUAAGGAGCUGUAGUUUGAUGGAUUAUUCCAUGUUCUUUACAGAAUGCAUUGAACGGACCAUCAUACUCGCCUCUUCUGUCGCUUCUAACUACUUUAAUAGUUGUUUUAAGCUGAUUCUCGACCUCGAGUUUAAAUUCUUUAAAUUUUUCCAAGGUUUCAUCUUUGCUAUGUAAUAAAUAAACAUAACAAUAUUUUGUGCAGUCAUCUAUGAAGGUCACAAAGUACUUUUUACCACCUCUAGUUUGUAAGUAUUUUAAAUCACAUAAAUCAGUGUGAAUUAAAUCUAGAGGUUUAUUAGUUCUUUCAACACGAGGUGAUGGCGUUUUUGUGAGCUUUGCCUGUACGCAUACUUCACAUUUUUGUUUACUUGUUUUGCAUUUAGGAAUUAGAUUUAAAUUCAUUAAUAUUUGUAUAGACUUGUAGUUUACAUGGCCUAAUCUUUCAUGCCAUAUAUUAAAAGACUCAACCAAAUAAGCAACUGGCUCAUUCUUAUUCAUUGAAACUUUUGGAGCUACAACUUUUGGAGUGACUGUCAUUACAUUCAACUUGACAAGUCCACCCUUAACAUAUCCCCUUCCCAAAUACAUCCCAUUCUUCCUAAUCACGAGCUUAUCCGCCUCAAAACUUGUGGCGAAACCAUUCUUGCUGAGCAAGGUUCCCGAGACUAGGUUCUUCCUCAUGUCAGGCACAUGCUUCACAUUUGUCAGAGUGACCUCACGUCCAAAUGUCAUCUUCAAGAUCACAUUGCCGCGUCCUUCAAUCUUGGAGACUGUAGUGUUUCCCAUCUUGAGCUUCUCCUUAGUCUUGCUUUUCUGAUAGGUGCUGAACAUCGCCCUAUCGGUGCAAAUGUGGGUGGUUGCACCAGUGUCAUACCACCAUUCCUUGAGGUUGUUGCUUUCAACCAUAUUUGCUUCAGUCACCACAGCAACGAGAUCCUCCUCAGUGAGAUUUGCCUGAGCCUUCUCAUCUUUGAUCUUUUUGCGACACUCAACAGUUUUGUGCCCCACUUUGUGGCAGUAGUGACAUUUCCCCUUGAACUUCUCCACAUUCGCAUUGAUCUCAAUACCUUUGUUCUUGAAGUUUUUUUCAGAAGCCUUCAAGGCUGCAGCAGUUUUGGAAGGCUUGGCAGGAGAAUAGGCGUGGGCCUUUCCUUUGCCUUUGUGCUCAGCCAUGUUGACACUGUGCUCCUUUGUACCGACCUUUGCAGCAGUUCGGUUUCUGGAUUCCAUCUGAAGCCUCGUGAUGAGCUCCUCGAGCCCCAUCUUCUUCUUCUUGUGCUUCAAGUAGUUCUUGAAAUCCCCAUAGCUUGGAGGAAGCUUUUCAAUGAAGCUGAGAGUUGUGAAUGUCUCGCAGAUGGACAUUCCUUCAGCAGCGAUUUCAUGGCAAAUGAGCUGAAGCGCUUCCACCUGAUCCAUGAUGGGUUUUGAAUCCACCAUUUUGAAGUCGUGGAAUUUUGAGACUACAUACUUCUGGCAGCCAGCGUCCUCACCUCUGUACUUCUUGUCUAGUGAUCUCCAUAACUCUUUCGCCGUGGGGAUCUCACAAUAGACACGGUACAAUGGGUCAAUGAGGCGACCCAAAAUGUAGCCUUUGCAGAUGAAGUCGGAAUGCACCCAUAUGUCAACAGUUGCGAGGCUGUGAACAUCAUCAAUCCCGUAAGGCAUAAGGGGCUUGUCCUCCUGGAGGAACUUCUCCAGCUUCAUCGUUGCCAGGAAGAACAACAUCUUCUUCUGCCACGUUUUGAAGCCUUUGCCAUCAAAUUGGUUUGGCAUCAGUCCUUGAGUGAACACACUAGGGACAGCCGGAGGAGUUUGAACUGCCACCGGACCACUUACAGUUGCUAAAAUUGAACCCGUCUGAUAAAGACCAGCACCGAAUAGGAUACGGCGAGUGGUUUCAUCAGCAGCAUUCCCUGCAGAGAGGAAAGUGCUCGUUGUUGCUGCAGUGGUUGACGCUGUGAUGUUUCCAGCGGUUGUCACGCCAGUUGCUGCAGCGUUGAGUGGAGUCUGAAUGACAUCCAAGGUGUCCAUGGGAGUGGGGGUGUCGUUCUCGUUUGUCAUUUUCCUGUAGAGAAAACAUGAAAACGGAUUAGUACUCCAUUCAACAAUUACAUAUUAUUUUAAUGAAAAUAAUAGUCUAAAAUCGAUGUUCUUUUUUGGUGUUUGAACCAAAUCAUAUCGAUAUAAGUUUUGAAAAAACGUUUUGCAAACUCGCUUAAAAGCGUUCGCAGAAACCAUUUUUAUAGACUUAGAAUGUUUCACAAACUCGCUUAAGAAAGCGAUCUUGAAACAAUUCAUUUAUAGAACGUUUCGCUAUACUGCUAGAAAACAAUCCGCAAAGCGUUAUUAAUAAAUAAGAAACGUUUCGCGGAAGGGCUAUAAAGCAAAUCGCAAACUCGUUUUCACCAAAAUAAGAAACGUUUCGCGGAUAAGCAUAUAGCAAAUCGCAAACAACGUUUGAUUGAACCCCGAAAGGUUUUUACGAAUCGUAUAUCAAAAAACGUUUUCCGGUAGUGCUACAGAGCAAAACGCAAACCGUUUAUGAGAUAAAUAACAAAACGUUUCGCGGAAGUGCUAGAAAGCAAAUCGCAAACAGCGUUCCAAAACCCGUAUUUAUAAAUCGUUUUUCAACCCGAUUCGAGCUUUAAACGUAAAGCGAUUAAGAGUUAAGAUUGUAAAAGCCGGAAAACCGGAUCAAAAGAAACGAUAUAAUAUAAACGACGUUAAGGAAAAUAUACAGACGAUUCAAAACCGUAACGGAAAUGAAACCAUGGAGUCAAGACGAAUCUCUUUCCUUAACUCUUAAUAUUCGCUCCGUUAGUGCGACGGAUCUGUACGAAUAGGAGUCCCAGGAUAAAACCAUGAUAGGUUAUCACGCAGCCCUCGUGAAGAACCUCUAACGAACUAAUAUUUCUAUGAAACACUCUCUAGACUUACGCUAUAGGAUUUGCUGGUUUUUGUUGUGAAAAAACGUCAAAAGAAAUGAAGGAGGAGACGAGUUUAUAAAGAAGAGAAGACGAGCCACUUUCCGUAACUGAUGCCGCACGUGCGCACGUUGGCGGAAAUCUCGCGAGGAUCUCGGAGGUGAGGCGUUACGAAACUUCCUCCGCAAGAUCAUCUUUUCUCGUUUAUACUUAUCGUCAAGAAGAGAGACAACGUGUUGUUUUUAAACGAACUACGUAUUGUUUAAAAUAAAAUGCAUGUCGUUUUUUCGGGAAUUAAAUGACAAAGCGUUGAGCUUAACUUGGUCCAAAAAGAAUAGUUCUUAUCAGGCCUUUGGUCCGACACCCACGCCCACGCCGAGCCGGCCAGACGGCGGCGCGCGCGUGGAGAGCUCUCUCUUCCUCUGAGCCGUUUAACACAUGGUAUGUGUGAGUGCAUAUAUAUACAGCUCGACUCUUCUCUUCCUCCCCGAUAUAGGACUUUGUAAGUUUCAUUUCAUUAACCACACAUAAGUGGGCUAUUAGGCACACAAGCCCAAUCAUUUGUUAUUCACAUAUUUUAAUUAAACCCAAUUGGUUUAAUUGAUCCAACAUUAACUACACUUCAAAGGCAGCCAAAGUUUCUUCCCUCACAGAACAGCCUUCAUAAGUGGGCUAUUAGGCACACAAGCCCAAUCAUUUGUUAUUCACAUAUUUUAAUUAAACCCAAUUGGUUUAAUUGAUCCAACAUUAACUACACUUCAAAGGCAGCCAAAGUUUCUUCCCUCACAGAACAGCCUUCUUAAUAUUUCUAUAUAAACACUAAAUAAACUAACCAUCACUGCCCUGCCCUGAGAAGCUAUCUUUUAAAAAUCAUUGGGUGAAAAGAAACAUUUCACAACUAUUGUAGGAACUGGAACCAAACAUGGCCAAGUCUCACCAUGACACCAUCUUUGGUUUUUUAUCACAUCGUUGUUUAUUCCUUAUCUAAUGCACUUAUAUAUUUAGACGCGUAUUAGAAUCUACGUCCAUGGUUAUCUCCUCGACUGUUCAGACCAUUUUGCAUGGAUUGUCAUGUGGUGAAAAGAGUGAAGACUUAAAUUGGAUGAUUUAUUAUGCUUGCAUGGAUGCUUUAUUAUGCAUAUAUAAACUGGAUUUGUGAACUGUGCAAAGCAAAAUGGCAAAUAAUUCAAGCAGAGAGACAUGGGGAGAAUCUAAACCACACUUUCAUGACAGUAUCAGAAACCUUUGCUUCUCACUUCUUUUGCUGAGCCUUGAGUUCUUUUACCCUCUCUUCCGUUGCUUUCAAUGCUUUCCCGUAGAUAUCAAUUAACUGCAAAAAUGAAUAAGAGCCACCAAAUUAGGGGAAAAGGGGAAAAAAAAAGAUUUAACAGAUUAAUGAUGUCUCAAGAAUUGUAACCUAUAUAUACCUCAUCGAUCUCUUCAGGUGAGAUAAUGAGCGGUGGAGACAUCAUUAUGCCAUCACCUGCAACACGGACUAACAUACCGCGUUUCUGGCACUCGGCUCCAAAAUAUGCACCAACACCUGUAAACAUCAAUUGAAAACGGUGCAGGGAUGUGUGUAAGGUAAUGAGUUUAGGAGAGAGACACUUUUGUUGUUUGGUUGGUUAUUAGAGAUACUUUACCCCAUUCUGGGGGAAAUGGUUCGUUCGGAGAUUUGUUGUCUGUAAACUCAGUCCCCAGAAUCAAACCCGUUCCUCUUAUCUGAAAACCAUCACAAAAAUGUUCAAUCAAAGACUUCAACAGAUAGGCUGGUGAGUAACAUUAUACCUCUCCAAUAAUAGGACUACUCUUGGCAAAAGCUUUAAGACCAUCUUGAAACCUUGGGGAAACUUUGGCGACAUGUUCUGGUAUGUUCCUCUCCCUGUCAUAUGAAUAUUGAGCGUCAAGAAAGUGCAGAUAAGAAUAGAGAAAUGAGAACCAUAAUCACCAACUCACUUGUAUAUCUUUAACGCUUCAAUUGCUACAGCACAUGAAACUGGAUGACCAGAGUAAGUAAAUCCAUGCGAGAAAGCACCUGAAAUACCAAAACAAAAAAUGGGUUUUAAGAUCUCAGGAUACUGGAAUAUUACAAAGUUGAGCAUAACUAGCCCAUACCUAGCUUGUUGCUUUGAGAAUAUAUGACAUCUGCUACUUCUUGACUCAUAAGAAUGGCACCAAUAGGCAUAUAUGCUGAAGAGAGUGCCUGCAUCAUAUAUUAAAAACAUUUACCAAUUGUCUGGAGAAGUUUCGCAACAGUGAUAGGAAAUCUACAAAUCAUCUGACAAAAUCUCACCUUGGCUAAGGACACAAGAUCUGGCUUGAUGUUGUAUUUGUCACAGCCAAACAUUGUCCCCAGUCGCCCAAAUGCACAAAUCACCUUAUAGACCAAACAUAAUUAUAACGGGUAAUGAUAUCUUUUUUUUUCUUCAUCGUGAUAGUAAACAUGGUUCAAUAAGAUAAUGCAUAUACCUCAUCAGCAAUGAACAGGAUGUCAUACUUCUUAACAACAGCUUGAAUCUGCAGUACAGAAAUGAGAUAAGAAAAAAAAACACAUCACAUCCACAAUGACCUUACCACGAAAAAGAUUAAUCAUUGCAGUUUGGUAUUUAUGCCAACAAAGGUUUCGAAAUUGACCUUUUCAAAGUAUGUAGCAGGCGGAGGUAUCACACCGCCAGCACCCAUUACUGGUUCAGCAAUAAAAGCACCAAUCUGGUAAGAAGACAUUUGCGUUAGAUUGGAGCUGCCAACAUCAACGUUACUAAAUGAAGAUCGUAAUUUCCUUAGAUUGCUCACAGUUUCUGGUCCCUCUUUAAUGAUAAGAUCCUCUAAAUUCUUGGCUAAUCUGGUUGAGAACUCCUCUUCCGUUUCCCCUGCACAAAAAAUUAUCCAAGGUUAAAAUAAAAAGAUCACACUCAAGCUUUUAGCAAAGCUUCCCUUUAACCAAUAAUGGAAUUUAGAAUCCUUCAUACCCGGAAGAUGAAAACGCCAGUAAUGAGGGCAAUCUGUGUGCAACACAAAUGGUGCAGGUAAAUCAAAGUUUUGAUGCAACGCUGGGAGACUGUAAAAUUAGAGAAUCAAUAUUUUGAUGCAUUUGUUAGGCAAAUAUAAAGUCUCUUUGGCAUUUCUAAAGAGAAUAUCUGAGGAACUAUAUAUUCAUCAUACCCGGACAAACUUGCUGAUAUUAAAGUGGAGCCAUGGUACCUGAAAUUCAUAACACCACCCUUAUAAGUAAGUACUUCGAGAGCUUAUAGAAACAGAUAACACACAAAAUGACAAGCAAAUAUCCUUUUCUUUCUCACGAUUUCUUUCUCGCGAUAAACUUUUUCUUCUCAGGCCUCCCAAGUGCGUUAUUGUAAUACCAAACCAGCUUGACCUGCAUAAUACAUGAGAUUUAUAAGCUUCUAAACAAGGAGAUCAAGGUAGAUCAUAUAGUUUGGGGAACCUCAAACCUGUGUAUCAUUGGCCUCUGAUCCACUGUUUGUAAAAAAUGCUUUGGCCAUUUUCUUGGCCGUGAACAUCUCUAAAAGAUCCUUAGCAAGAUCCUGUUUUCGCAGGAAAAAUAUAACACAAUGAUCAAAUUCUCUUUAAUCACCCUAAUUACACAGCAGAAUGUACAAAAAACAUUAUUAAUAAAAGGACAGCAGAAGUAAAAAGUCUCACCAGAGAAGGCUUAGUAGUACGGUUCCAAAAGGAGUGAUAAAAGGGCAAGGUGUUCAAUUGCCCUACAGCAGCAGAAACAAGCCGUGGCUCAUUUCCUCCUGCAAGAUGUUGUGGUAUCAAUGCUAACACUUUCACAAAUAUCCUAGGAAUAGCGAAAUAUACAAAAAGGAAAAAAGAGAAACAUCAAGUCAAAUAGUGUGGUAACAGAAGGAACAAUAUACCUAAGGCAGUACACCAUAGACCAGCGAGAGAGUCAAGAUACUUCUUCCCAUGGUCAUCAUACACAUAACUCCCCUGUAAGAAGAAUGAAAGGAAAAGAAAUGUCACACACUUUUUUGUAGGAACAUUGACGAAUGAAUCAAAAAAGAAGGGGGGUGACCUCGGAUUUGGCUAUGAUCAAAGGAUCUAAAUCAGCACUCUGCCACCCAGCUGUAAAAGGUGCUAGCAUAUCAUGCCCCUUUGACCUGCCCAUCAGAAAACGCAACCACUUAUUCAUCGCCACGUUGACAAAAGCAUGAAACUUUUGCAGAAAAUAAUCACGAGUGUGAAACUUACCCAAGCUUCUCUGGUGAUGCUUCUGUAGUGAGGAUUCUUGAGCCAGGCAUGUAUUGGGAAGAAACAGCAUACCUGCUCUGCAAAGUAACCUGCCAUAUGAGAGAGGAGCGAGUUUUUUGAGCUAUGAAUCAAAAUCACUAUUUGAGUUAAUAUAUAUAAAAUGGAUUCCUUGAAAUUCUUCAAGAUCACUGUUUGGGUAGUUUAUUAUUAUAAAAUUAAAAAAAGGGUUCCUUGAUUACUGGAGAAUCCCACAAAAGUUACACUCUCACAAAGUCACGUUUGAUGGGAAUAUUAUUUGAAAGUACGACUUACAAAAAAAAAGAAAAAGAAGAAAGAAAGAUUCAAUUUUUAAGCAUUUGAACAUGAAUCUGGACAGAAUCCUGAUCUACUACGGGUGAGGAGUGACGAUGAAGCAGCUAAAAAGCAAUCGAAAGGAGCGAGUGAGAAAACCUGGGUAGUGCGCGCCAAUCGUCGGAGGCUGUUGACCACUGCCAUUUCGAAGAUUGAAUCUGUAGAAAUGAUCCUUUGAUUCUUUUGAGAUUUGUUCGCUUUUAAAAACAGAGGAGGAUCAUCAUCGUUGAUACCUUCCUUAUAUGAAUACUCUACAAAAUUAAAUAUCUUUUUUCUUAUUAUCUCUUCGACUCCCAUUUGAUUUUUGAUCAGUGACGUGUCAUUGACUCAUUUUAUUACAUAUAUAUUUUUGAUCAUCGUCCUUGAUACCUUCCUUAGUUUCCAUUCAUUUUUUUCCCACAAAUUGAAUUUAUUCAUACGGAAAAUACCAGUAUUUAUACCGGCCAAACAAAAUAGUCUCAGAACCAAAAGUCCAUAAAAAAUGACAACUAAAUAUCACAUUGAGGCGACUUAAACCCACACCAGAGUGACUUAAAAAAGAACAUAAAACAUAACAACUACAAUGAUAUAAUAGUGCACCUAGCAAUCUUUAGAAAUGAUAAAAUGCCAAUGAUCGAGAAUUACCGCUGCUGCCUAUAGUCCACCACCCGGUACAUUCUACUUCUACACCUAAACCACACUUAUCGAUGCUGCCUUGUCCGCCACACGAUAAGACCAAGACCCGGAGACUUCACAAACUCGACAAGGAGAACACGCUGCUCGGUCCACACUUUUUGGAUAUAUAAACACUCUACGAUCUAAGAAAAAAGCUCCUCCAAACACCAAGAAGAUGAAGCCUUGCCAACCGAAUUUUUUGAACACUUACUGGAGAGAAGAACCAAACGGCAAGCAAUCAAUAGACACAUUACGUCUAAAAGAAAGACUGCUAAGUCACAAGUAACACGACCAAACCCGGCGAAGCUCACUGAGCCACACCACAACUCCCUCCUCAAAAUAAAUCGAUCAAAGCAGCAAAAAGGAAAUGUGGAUGGACCACAAUAACCCACCGCAAUGAAGAAACUUCUAUACUUCAUCUAAUCAAAGAGCUGUUUCUCUGAACAAACAAAAGAUACCCCCGCAAGAAUAUGGACAAACUGACUCCACAUACAACAAACACACAGACCAACGCUUCGAGAAAAAGGUAGAACGAUAAACCUCAUGCCAUGAAGAACAGCGAAGGAAGGGACAAGCAAAAGCUCACCAGACCCACACCAAGUCGCUCUCCCCCAAACCUGAGUCAGAUUUGGAAAGGCACUGAAUCGAAACUACCCUCCUGUGAAGCCAGUGGUGGAGGCAAUUCAUUGUCACGGUAGUCAAAUGACCCACGUGAAAUUAUGAAAACAUUAUGGCUUUUAUUAAGAAUUUUAAAAUGACCCUGGUCCAAAAUAUUUAUUGAUCCCGUUAAAAUUUUUCUGACCCUUAUCCAAAUUACUUUGACCCUAGUCCAAAUUUUGUAUGGACCAUAAUCUAAUAACUACAUUAAUUAAUUUGCAGCCUAUUAGAUUUUAGAUAAAGAAUUACAACAAAAUAAGCCCACCAGAUAAAAUAAACCCAACCAUUAAUAUUAUUUCAAUGACUUAAGUCUAAUUAUUAUAUUAAUUUAGUCAUUUGGACGUUUUGUUUUCUUCUUCUCCUUUCUGGUCUUUCUGAAACUCGUCCAUUACAACAACAGUAGCCAGUAGCGAAGGUAAUAAAUAUUGUAUUUUGUUAAAUAAUUUAUUUAAGCUUUCUUCUUCUACCAAAUAUGAAUAAAGUAUUAUAUUUUUAUAAAAAUCAAAAGAUCUUAAAACUAGUUUUUAUUUAUGGCUUGUUCCUUCGAUUUUUAGAUUAUUUUAUCCUAAUAAUUGUUAUGUUUCAUAGUUUCAAAUGAUAAAAUACCAAAUGUCUACAUAAAGGAUACCAUUUGCACAAAAAACAGAAGGAUUGCUCAACAUACAAAUUUCGUAACUAUUAGACAUAGAGAAUUGAACAUUGUCUGUUAUAUUAUAUACUUGGUUUGAUAUUAUAUUUUGUUUUUAUUUAUGCAGGUACCAUCAGACAAAAUGGAACGAUAUUUGAAUUUGAACAAAAGAAAAGCUCCACCAUCUGAUAUCAACUUGGAUGAUUUGCCGUGGGAUCCAGCUAAGCGGAAAAACAUUCUAGACUACCCUUAUAAUCAAAGAGAUGAAGUAAGGCGCAAGUAUUUGACUAGAGGACCUUGUCAACCUAUUGGUCAUACUUUUCAACAAAAAUCAAUAGGAGGUGUAUUACGACGCUUUAAUCCACGUUGGUUUGAGCAGUACCCUGAUUGGUUAGAGUAUAGUCUGGAUCAAGAGAAGGCUUUUUGUUUGUUUUGUUACUUGUUCAGAGUUCAAGCUGGAAAACAAGGCGGAAGUGAUACUUUUGUAUCAACGGGGUUUUCUAGUUGGAAUAAGGCUGAUAGUUUCAGUAAGCAUGUGGGAGAUCAUACUAGUUUUCACAACGAUGCUAGAAAUAAAUGUGAAGACUUGAUGAGACAAAGUCAGUCUAUCAAGCAUGCUUUACAUAAACAAACCAAUGUUGUGAAGAAUGAUUAUCAGAUCCGUUUGAGUGCUUCGAUUGAUGUUUCUAGACACUUGUUACACCAAGGACUGUCUUUUCGUGGUCAUGAUGAGAAAGAAGAGUCAACAAACAAAGGUAAUUUCUUAGAGCUUCUGAAGUAUACGGCUAGUCAGAAUGAGGCUGUUAGAAAAGUUGUGAUGAACAAUGUUCCUAAAAAUAAUCAGAUGACUUCUCAUCCUAUCCAGAAAGACAUUGCUCAUUGCUUUGCGGAAGAAGUAACUAAGUCUGUCAUACAAAAAAUCAACAAUGAUGUAUUUGGCUUGCUGGUAGAUGAAUCGGCUGAUAUUUCAGAUAAAGAGCAAAUGGCUGUGGUUUUUCGUUUCGUUGAUAAAUUUGGGCUCGUAAAAGAAAGAUUUGUUGGUCUUAGUCAUGUGAAAGAGACAUCUUCUUCAACUCUGAAGGAUGCUAUUGAUGAUUUGUUUUCGAAACAUGGAUUGAGUUUGAAAAAGGUGAGAGGACAAGGUUAUGAUGGGGCCAACAAUAUGAAAGGAGAAUUCAAUGGUUUAAGAUCUUUGAUUUUGAGAGAAAGUAGAUCUGCAUAUUAUGUUCACUAUUUUGCUCAUCAACUUCAGUUGGUUGUUGUGGCUGUUGCAAAGAAGCAUUUUGAAGUUGGAGAAUUUUUCGAUAUGGUUCAUGUUCUGUUGAAUGUGGUUGGGGUUCUUGUAAAAGAAAAGUUAUGCUCACUGAAAGUAAUCGCAAGAGAAUGGAAGAAGAGAUUAGUAAGGGUAAAAUGAAGACUGGAACUGGGCUGAAUCAAGACCUUUCUCUUAAAAGACCUGGAUAUACUCGUUGGGGUUCACAUUACAAGACUUUAUUACGUCUUGUUGUGAUGUUUCCAUGUAUUAUUGAAGUUCUUGAACAUAUUCAGAUAGAAGGCAAAGAUGGCACCAAAAGACAACAAGCAUAUGGUCUCCUCAAAUAUUUUCAGACAUUUGGUUUUGUCUUUCAUCUACACUUGAUGCUUGUUGUUUUGGGACUCACUAAUAAUUUGUCAAAGGCUCUACAGAAAAGAGAUCAAGAGAUCUUGAAUGCAGUUUCAUUGGUUGAAUCUACUAAGCAACAAUUAUAGAAGCUUAGAGAUGAAGGAUGGGAUGAUUUUGUGGCUGAAGUUUAUUAUUUUAGUGAGAAGAAUAAUAUUGAAGUGCCUAGUAUGGAAGAAAACUUUGUUGACUCAAGAAAACCAAGGAGUAAAACUGGCAUCACAAACUUGCAUCAUUAUAAGGUGGAGUGUUUUUACACUGUUCUAGAUUUGCAGCUUCAAGAGUUCAAUGAUCGAUUUGAUGAGGUGAAUUCUGAACUACUAAUCUGUAUGGCAUCCUUAAGUCCGACAGAUUCUUUUGUUCAGUUUGACAAGUCAUUGUUGGUGAGACUAGCUGAGCUUUAUCCAGAUGAUUUUAGUUGUGUGGAGCGAAGAUCUCUUGAGCAACAGUUUGAAAUCUACCUUGAUAAUGUGAAAAAGAUGAAAGAUUUUCUAAUCUAGAGAGUAUUGGUGAUCUUGCUCGUGUAUUGGUUGAGACAAGGAAACAUCUUUCUCAUCCUUUGGUUUAUCGUAUUUUGAAGCUAUGUUUGAUUCUUCUUGUUGCAACUGCAAGUGUUGAAAGGUGCUUCUCUGCCAUGAACAUUGUGAAGACGGCCUCGCGUAACAGUAUUGGUGAUGAAUUUUUAAGUGAUUAUCUAAUUUGUUUCAUUGAAAAGCAAAUUCUUGAUACAGUGGCAAACGAAACAAUCAUAAAAAGCUUUCAAAAUAUGAGUGAGCGUAGAGUACAUCUUUGAAAUUCGAUGUACGGUGAUAUUUUUAUUAUUCAAUAGUUUAUGUACUUUAAGCAAAGUUAUACUAUGACCCCCGUCAACAUUUUCUCUGCCUCUGCCACUGUGUGAAGUCCUGCCCCGACGAAUCCUUGCAGCAUCUCGUUGCUAUUCCAGUGACGUGACAGACUCUGCCUCGCCGAUUUAGAUCCUCCAGAAACUCCAAGAAAAUCAAGAAUAGCGCGCAUUUCGAUACAGUGCAAAAAAAAAGACGAAAUCGGUAAGGAACAUGAGAAAGGACAAAAAAAACUACAAAAAGAGGAGGAGGAGAGGGCUCUCACGGUGACUAACCACCGGAUACGCCCCUCUUCUGAUAUGAUUCUGUUGACAGUGCUUUUAGGAUUUUCGCAAGUGUAUUCUCUUUCACGACUAGUUUCUAUUCAUUUUGGCAGCCAUAUUUUGCAAAUUCCUUACCAUAUUAAAUCACACCAACUACGCCAGCUUGUUUCUUUUUUCUUUUAAUUCAAAAGUUGAUUAAUAUUAAAUUGAAGUUCGUAGGAACAAAAUAAUUAUGUUGUGUGAAUAUUUUUUUAGCAUAAAAUAACAUAAAAAUAACAAACAUAUUGCGGUAAGAGAUCGAUGAUAGAAUCAUUUUCAGUACUGCUAAACUGUUUCCAUUUUAGUGAGUGGUUAGCGUAUACUUGUUUUUUUUUUUUUGAAAAAAAGCGUAUACUUGACUUGUUUUACCUAUUGCAGCUAAAGGUUACGGCCGAUUAUUAUUGUCAAGAUAGUCAUCUUCGCUGAUAUGUUCAUUUUGUUUUUCUAUUUAAUAACUUGAAUCACAGUGGUAACAUAUAUAGCGUUAACAAUCAGUACAAAUUUAGAUAUCAUUCAUUAGGUUAGUAUAUGUUUAUCGAUGCAUGAAACAAUAGAGAAAACGAUCCGUGUUACAAAAAUUACAAAUCAGUCUCAUCCAUGUCAUAGAUGACAAUGACAAGACAGUCACAUAAGAUAAGAAACUUUUUUUGUCUUCUCAUUCAAAUAUUAUUUACUAUACAGAAAAAAAAUUAAGAACUAGCAGAAACUAAACUGUGUGGCGUUUUACAGCUUAAUAAACGCUGAGAAGUUCAGGUUACAAGGCGCAAUUUAGCACCCCGACGGCGUGCAAUCUAUCCAUCAUUCAUUCAUUCGUAUCUGAGUAGAGGGAAACGAAACGAUAAAUCAAUUUCUAGCAAGUCAAUUCCUAUCUGUCAAUCUUCUUCGCAUUUUAGAGCGAGAAAAUGAGACUUUUUAGAGAGAGAGAGAGAAAAAGUAGGCAAGAAAGACGGUCACUGACUGAAUAAAAGAUCACUCACUCUCACACCCUUUCAAGAGAUCUCAUCGCCCGAUCUUUCCUUCCUUCCCCGCCGGUAAAGUUUCUAGCUUUGCUUCUUCUCUCGUGUCUCUUCGUUUCUCAAUUUGAGAGUUUACUGCAAAGUUUCCUUAUUUAUUCCAAUACAGAGUUGCUGAUUAAAAGUAUUCAUCAAUAAAGUUUUGGUUUUAAUUUUGAGAUCCUAACAUUGUCCGAAGAAUCUAGCUACUCAUUUCAGUUUCCUUACUUGUGUAUCUAUUGCUGCUUCAGCCCAAAAAGGAAAGUUUGUUUCUUUCUCUAUAAUUCAGCUGCUAUUCAAUUCUGCAGGUAGUUCUUAACUUGCUUUGAUAGAAAAUGGGUGCUUCAGGGAGAUGGAUUAAAGCACUUGUUGGUUUCACCAAGUCUGAUAAGUCAAAGUCUAAAAAGAAGGAUGAUAAUGUAAGCACACACUAUGUUAUUUCUUUACAAGAGAAUCUCUUUAUCUAAAUGCCAAAUGUUGUAUACUUUCUUCACCUUUUUUUUUGUAUUUUCAUUAUAUGUUUGUUCAAUUGGCGAAGGUGAAGACUGCAACCAAGAGCCGGUUUGGGAGAAACCAUUCUGUUGAUUUUGAUGCUGAAAAGUUUCAACUUGGAUUUGAAGAUUCCAAUACGCAUAGCAGCAUGUUAGAUAAUGGGGUCUCCACUUCAACUUCUUAUGGUGCUGCUAAUGAAGAACAAAGGAAGGAGCACAUGGCUGCAACUCGGAUUCAAACAGCUUUUCGAGGGUUUCUGGUAUCAUCAUCACUUUCUUCGCCCUGUCAACUUUUUUUUUAAUAUUUGUCUCAAGCGUUACUGAGAGAAAGAUGAUACCUUUUUUCUCAGGCUAGAAGGGCUUUACGAGCAUUGAAGGGAUUGGUUAGACUUCAGGCCCUUGUUAGAGGACACGCGGUGAGAAAGCAAGCUGCUGUAACGCUUCGAUGCAUGCAAGCGUUAGUAAGAGUCCAGGCUCGUGUACGCGCAAGACGUGUUCGUCUCGCCUUGGAAAGUGAAACGGGUCCGCAGAUGCUUCAGCAGCAGCUUGCAGAUGAAGCCAGGGUUCGAGAAAUAGAGGUGUGAUGAUCACUUGUCUCAGUUAUUUAACUUUUGCAAAGAGAAUUAUAGUUAUGUUGACUAUUUGUUCUCAUUUCUCAGGAAGGUUGGUGCGAUAGCAUUGGUUCUGUUGAACAAAUCCAAGCCAAGAUACUAAAGAGGCAGGAAGCUGCAGCUAAGCGUGAGAGGGCUAUGGCAUAUGCUUUGACUCACCAGGUUACUCACAACAACCUCUAUGCUUGUUAAGAAGUAACUGUUUGAAUUUUCGCACUUUGUACUAAUCAAAACAUUCCUUAUAACUCUUAUCUGAUUGUCAUGGGUUCUCUUCUAUAGGAUCAAUCUUUAACCAAACACUAUGAUAGCAAAACUGAAGCUGUAUACUCUUAAAUCUUACAUAUAAAAUUUGGUAUGUUGUAGUGGCAAGCAGGAACUCGGCAGUUAUCUGCGCACAGUGGUUUUCAGCCUGACAAAAACAACUGGGGAUGGAACUGGCUAGAAAGAUGGAUGGCUGUUCGUCCAUGGGAGAAUCGGUUUCUUGACAGUAACCUCAGGGACGAUGCCAUAUUAGGUGAAAACAAUAUGGAGCAAACUGAGAGUGUUGUGCAUAAAACUCAGAUGAAAAUUGCAAGCAAGAUUCCAAACACUUCAAAUCUUGCGUCCGGUGUUUCGAGUCAGAAGGUAACCGGGCCAUCUCUGUCGGAUGGUAAUUCCACUUCACCUGGAAUAUCUUCAAGCAUGCCAGUGCCAGUGGUGUCCAAGGAUAGGUCAAAGCUCGCUAAAGACGAUCUUGCUGUAGAAGUUGUUAACUCAAGACCUGGUGCUGGUCCAAGAUCACACAGCAAUCCAAAAGAAAGAUCAAGAGCGCCAGAUAGAGCUUCUAAGGAACGAUUAUCUCUGCCAAACAGUGGUCAGAUCUCUUUCUGUAUCCCCUAAGUUUCCUCUUUUUUUUUUUCCCUUUUUGAUGGUUGAGUGAAUAGUCUUAUCAACAUGGGGAUAGUGAUAAGAAAAUCAGCUUUGCAUUACUCAUAAGAAUACAGACCACAACUUAUAUGUGUAUACCUAAGAAGCAAUACAUUUGAUCUUUGAAACAUUUAGGCUGUCUUUUGACCUUUUUUUUUCCUUUUUAAGGCUAAAAUUGUGAACAUUGGUUCUUGAGCAGGAAAAUCCUUAGGAUCUCAGUCAGCUAAAGCCAAAUCUUCCCAAAACCAGAAAAGACGCAACUCUGAUCCAAUAAAACAGAGGCUUGCAUAGCCCUGGCUAGAGUCUCUGAGAAUCGUCAGUCCAUCUAUCACUCCCAUCGUUCCUGUACAUAAACACAGCUUCUGAAAAUGGAAACAAAAAGAGAAAAAGAGGAUAUCAUGUGAGAACACAAUGGGUUACAUUCAGAGACUUGCGUGGUGGUUAGAGAUGUCAAAUGGGCUGUCCAUGUCCACUGGACAUGUCCAAAUGGACAAAUCAGUUUAUUGGACAUUAUUUUUUUUAAGUCCAAAUUAUACCAAGUUCAAAUUGUCCAGACCAAAUUGGACCAUUCCAAAUGGGCAUUCCGCGGAGUCCAAUUAAAAAAUCAGUGUUAACAUACAAAAAUUCAUAUUUAAUAUAUUAUUAUGUGUUGUAGAAUUCAAAAGCAUAGAUACGAUUUUGGCGAGAAAUCUCGAUUUACGGUUUUGGAGGAAAAUCUCGAUUUUACGGUUUUGGCGGGAAAUCUCGAUUUUAUAGUUUUGGCGAGAAAUCUUGAUUUUACGGUUUUGGCGGAAAAUCUCGAUUUUACGGUUUUGACAGAAAAGUAUAUCUACAGUUUUGGCGGAAAAUCUCGAUUUUACAGUUUUGGCGAAAAAAUCUCGAUUUAUGGAUUUGGCGGGAAAACUCGAUUUAUGGUUUUGGCGAAAAAACUUGAAAAUUCAAUUUUACGGUUUUGGCGGAAAAACUAGAUUUACAGUUUUGGCGGGAAAUUUCGAUUUUACGGUUUUGGCGGAAAACGAGAUUUUACGGGUUUAACGUAAAAAUGUGAUUUUACGGUUUUGGCAAGAAAACGUUAUUCCACGGUUUUAACGGGAAAAUAUGAUUUACGGUUUUGACGGAAAACAUGAUUUUUACUCAAAUACAUUAACCCUAAAUAUUUUAAAAUUUUGGGCCGUCCAUGUCCAUCUGGAUUUGUCCAUUUGGAUAUGGGUGUAUUUGGGCCUCGUCCAUUUGCACAAAACAAAAUUAUGGUCAAAUAUGGGUAUGUCCAUAUUGGUUUGGACAUGGGCUACCCAUGGACAGCAUGCCCAUUUGACAUCCCUAGUGGUGGUACAUUGAUCAGAACUCAGAAGAGAACACCAUCGUCUUGGCGUCUUUCUGCCUUCAUUGUUGUUUGUUAUUUGUGUGUCAGACAUCCUUUUUCUUUUGUCCAUGAUUCUUAUAUGGAUUAUUAGUACGUAGUGUUAUUAUUCAAGUAAAGUUGUUUGGGGUAUAUGAGUGAGACAGUUUUUUUUUGUUGGGAGAACGAACCAUGCUGCUCCUGGCCUUCCCAAUGUGAUAUAUAUACAGUAGUGUGUUGUAUUUGGUAUAAGUUCCAAUUAUUCAGAGUGAUAAUAUAUAUUAUCAUCAUGAUAAGGUAUCACUUGGCUUGUCAUCUUUUCGAAACAGGAAAGUGAAUCAUUAAUUAAAGUGCAGGGAAGGAAAUGUCAACAAGCGAAGAGAUCACGAAAGCAAAAAAGCCCUAAACAUUCCCUGUGAAAGUUUUCUAAGGAAGCAAAUUCAAAAAAUGCAACAUAAAAGGAUUUAAUUGAAUCGACAUUUAUAUUAAAGAACAUACAUGUAUACAAAACACAUGACAUAUACAACCAUAAGGAUUUGAUGCAGCUUUUCUGAAUCUUGGAACCAUACUACUACUACUACUUUACCUCGAAGUUGCACAAUGUGCAAUAUAGAAGAGCCUCUUCGUUGUUUCCCUGUUGUUCAGACCUCUCUUCCUUCUUUCCCUGUCGUCUUCGAGAACAAACAUGCAAUAGAAGAUAGCUAGAGGCUUGUAGCAAGAUUUGUAGGAACCUGAAACUCGUUAAAUUUGCAAACAUCCAUGCAUGUGUGCAAUUUGGUAUUCGGUUAUAUGGUUUUAUCCUAAGAUUCAAGUUGCUAAACCUCGUCUCUAUCUCUUAUUAGAUUUGGAAGUAGAUACAGCUUGAAAAAGCAUUUAUAAACAUGACACCGGAGAGUAAAGGCGGAUCAAAAUGUAUUUCCCAAAUGCUUCCUCCGACAAAAGUUGCACAGAAAGCAUAGUCAGCGACCACCACCACCAACAUGCAAAACACUGUAUUAUUACUUUAGGACUAAUUCUGAUAAACAAAUUAGCUAUAUGUUUUAGUUUUAGCCUAGUUUCGAUUUGUUUUUCAUAAAACUUAAUUUAGUUCUCCGAAAUAGCAGAUUUUGAAAAUUACACAUACAAUACACACAUUUACAAACCUGUUAGAAAUUUUCCACCACUAUAAAUUUUACACAUUCACAGGCUUUUGUUAGUCUUGAACCUGAAAAAGAAUUGAAAACCUUUUGCUAGUGUCAUAUACAAGCUAAAUACCACUAUACUAGGUUAUGAUAUCUAAAGUAUACAAACUAAAUAAUAGAUAUUAUUGUAAAUAAAAAACAUAAGCUAAAAUAUUGAAACAAGUAGAAUCUUUAAUCGUUCGUGGACCAACCAUAUAAAAGCCUAACUCUAGAACUAGAAGACGCCUACUUUAUAGACCAUAGUAUAUAUUCAUUCAUAAUGCCAUUAGUCACGCUUCAUCUAAAUUACCAAGUCAGUCUUGGCACGCGCAACGCGUGCGCAGUGGAGAAGAUAUGGAACACUCACACACACACACGGAUUUUUUUAACGGAGAGAGACAGAGAGAAACCCUAGACACCAAAGAAAAAAAGAAAAAAAAAAGGAAUCGUGCCUCCUCCUCCUCCUCCUCCUCCUCCGCCCACUCGCCCCCUCAGAUCGCGUGAACAUCACAAACCAUUUUCUCUCCUCCUUCCCUCUCUCUCUCUCUCUCUCUCUAUCAUCCAUCCUCCCUUCCGCAGAUCGAAACGCCAACUCGCACCGAUUAGCGCGUGCCUCCUCAUCGCGACGAGAUUACAGCUUAUUGCUCUCGAUUUUCCUCUUCGUUCCAGGUGAUUCCAUCUCAUCUUCGUUACAGUGAAAAAACCACCACGGAUUCUAUAUAUAUAUAUAUAUAUAGUGUUCGAUUUCAUUGAGAAUUUUCUGAUUAAUCUAGUAGUUGCAGGAAGUGAUGGACAUAGAUCUUCGACUACAUUCAGGCGACCUCUGCAAAGAAGGCGACGACGAAGAACACAGAGGACUUGACAACGAAGACAUAGACAUUAGCAAAAUCGAGGAUGACGUCACCGUUGAGCCACACACCGAUAACAACGGCAUCACUCUUCCAGAGCACAACACACAACAACAACAACAACAAGGCGUGAAUCUUGAACCGCUUAACGGCAUGGAGUUCAACUCGCACGGCGAGGCGUACACCUUCUACCAAGAGUACUCUCGAACCAUCGGCUUCAACACUGCUAUACAGAACAGUCGCAGGUCGAAAACCACUAGAGAGUUUAUCGACGCCAAGUUCGCUUGCUCUAGGUACGGUACUAAACGGGAGUACGACAAGUCUUUCAACAGGCCGAGAGCUAGACAGAGCAAGCAGGAUCAUCCUGAGAACAACAUGUCUGGUCGGAGGACGUGCGCGAAGACUGACUGUAAAGCGAGUAUGCAUGUUAAGAGGAAGCCUGAUGGGAAGUGGGUGAUUCACAGCUUUGUGAGGGAUCAUAACCACGAGCUUUUGCCUGCUCAAGCUGUGAGCGAGCAGACGAGGAAGAUCUACGCUGCCAUGGCUAAGCAGUUCGCUGAGUACAAGACUGUCAUCAGCUUGAAGAGUGAGUCCAAAACUUCUUUUGAGAAAGGUCGGAGUUUGUCUGUGGAGACUGGGGAUUUCAAGCUUCUCCUUGAGUUCUUGUCGCGGAUGCAGAUUCUGAACUCCAACUUCUUCUACGCGGUGGAUCUUGGUGAUGAUCAGCGUGUGAAGAAUGUGUUUUGGGUGGAUGCCAAGAGCAGGGUUAACUAUGGCAGUUUUUGUGAUGUUGUUUCUCUUGAUACUACCUACGUGAGAAACAAGUACAAGAUGCCACUUGCUAUUUUUGUUGGUGUGAACCAGCACUACCAGUAUAUGGUCCUUGGGUGUGCUUUACUAUCUGACGAGAGCGCAGCUACAUUCUCUUGGCUAAUGGAGACUUGGCUGAGAGCGAUGGGUGGACAAGCUCCAAAGGUUUUGAUCACUGAGCAAGAUCCUGUGUUGAACUCCAUUGUCCCUGAGGUCUUCCCUAAUACACAGCAUUGCCUUUUUCUUUGGCAUGUGUUGAUUAAGGUCUCUGAGAAUCUUGGUCAAGUCGCUAAGCAACAUGAGAAUUUUACAGCGAAGUUUGAGAAGUGCAUCUAUAAAUCAUGGAAGGAGGAAGACUUUGCGAGGAGAUGGUGGAAGAUUCUUGCUAGAUUCGGUCUCAAAGACGAUCAAUGGAUGCAGUCUUUAUAUGAAGACCGAAGGAAAUGGGCACCGACCUACAUGACCGAUGUUCUUUUGGCAGGGAUGUCUACGUCUCUGAGAGCUGACAGUGUUAAUGCUUUCUUCGACAAGUACUUGCACAAGAAGACGAGCGUACAGGAGUUUGUGAAACUGUAUGAUACGAUUUUGCAAGAUAGAUUUGAAGAAGAAGCCAAAGCUGAUUCGGAAACAUGGAACAAGCCACCAACAAUGAAGUCCCCAUCGCCAUUUGAGAAGAGUGUUUCCGACGUCUAUACUCCUGCUGUAUUCAAAAAGUUCCAGAUCGAAGUUUUGGGUGCAAUCGCGUGUAGUCCCAGGGAGGAGAACCGAGAUGCAACGUGCUCUACUUUUAGAGUUCAGGAUUUUGAAAACAAUCAGGACUUCGUGGUUACAUGGAGCCAAGCAAAGGCUGAAGUCUCUUGCAUGUGUCGGUUAUUUGAGUAUAAAGGCUAUCUCUGCAGACACACGCUUAACGUUCUCCAGUGUUGUCAUCUUUCUUCCAUCCCCUCUCAGUACAUAUUGAAACGGUGGACCAAAGAUGCAAGAAGCCAGCAUUUUCCAGGAGAACCUCAGCAGUUGCAGACGAGGCUCCAGAGGUAUAAUGAUUUGUGCCAGAGAGCUUUAAAGCUGAGUGAAGAGGCAUCCAUCUCUCAAGAGAGUUACAAUAUUGCCUUCCUUGCUAUUGAAGAAGCUUUGGGAAACUGUGCUGGUGUUAAUACUUCCGGCAGAAGUCUUCCAGAUGUGGUCGCUUCGCCAACACAAGGUCUGAUAUCCGUCGAGGAGGAUAAUCAGAGCAGAAGUGCAGUCAAGACGACGAGCAAGAAAAAGAAUCCAACUAAGAAAAGAAAAGUAAACUUCUUGUUCAUGAUCUCUCUGUACAUGCACAACUUAAGGUUUUUCUUAGCUUUGCGCUUUUAUGAAUUGCAAGUCUUAUGAUCCUCCUGACUAUGGAUUGCAGGUGAACUCAGAGCAGGAGGUAAUUCCAGUUACAGCGCCAGAAAGCUUGCAACAGAUGGUCUGUCUUUGUUAACAUGUAGUAGCAAGACUCUGUUAAACUAGAGAGAGUCCCCUAAGUAUAUGAUAUCUGAAUUUUGUAAUUUGCAGGAUAAGUUAAGUCCAAGGACAGUUGGCUUAGAAAGUUAUUAUGGAACACAGCAAAGCGUGCAAAAUCUGGUAACUAAGCACAAAUUACUUGUUAUUAUUCUCUUAUAGACUGAGAUUUUUGUUUGUAAUGUGGUCUGAUUAUAUGUGUGUUUACAGGUCCAGCUGAACUUAAUGGCGCCAAAUCGCGAUAACUUUUAUGGGAAUCAACAAACAAUCCAAGGAUUGGUAUGAAAACAAAAUCGCGAUAACUAAGCUUCUGUUGUUUUUUUCUAUCAUUAACUUUGGAUAAAAACAAAAAAAUCCCCGGCUGGUUUUUUGUAGCGACAGUUGAACUCAAUAGCACCAAGCUACGACAGUUACUACACUGCUCAGCAAGGCAUCCAUGGACAGGUACCUUACCUUAUUCUCAGAGCUUUUACUCGACUGCAAAACCUAUUAAAAAAAUGAUCACUCUUUACUUUUGUUCUUUCUAGGGAGUAGAUUUCUUCCGUCCUCCCAACUUUACUUACGAUAUCCGGGUAAAUUUUCAGUUCUAGUAACAUAUUUGCAUCUCUAGUGGUGAAUUUUUGUUCAUGAAAACAAAUGUUUAUUACUGUACAGGAUGAUCCUAAUGUGAGGACGACACAGUUGCAUGAGGACGCGUCUAGACACACUUAAACCAGGCUAAAACCUAACCAUGGUUCAAAUCUUAAAGAGAGUCCGUCCCUCUGUAGACAAAAAGCCAACAAGCACUUGGAAGAUGAAGCUCAUAUCUCGAUCUGGUUUUGGAAACAGAACAAGGAGCACUUCUUGUUUUAUCGGCUCAAGUGUUUAAAUAGGAUAUGUUGUAUUGUUUCGGUUAUAAAGAUACCGCUUCUGUUAAUAUUUGGUCAGUGUGUGUAUUAUUAGUUCUUGAUGAUCCCCAAAAAAGCUUUUGAUCAUUGAUUGUUCGAAUUUAGAGGAGGGGGAAACAUUUGUUUAGAGGAUAUUUAUCUAUUUAUAAACUCUUGUUAAUUCUUUUCAUCAAGUUUCUUAUAUUUGCAUCAGAUUAUUCCCUGAUCUUAAGCCACAGUAUGGUCUGUUGUUUUGCUCUUUCAUCCUCGUACAAUAUCUAAGACAAUCCUCAGCCUAUUUCUAUUCUUUUUAUAUUUUUCUUCUAGAAUAAAACAAAACUAGGUGUUUUGUCCGCGAUGCGAACUUAGACAUUUUCAUAAUUUUUGAAAAGUUCUUUGUACAAUAUAUUCAUUAUACUAAAAUAAAUCUUAAAAUAAUUUAAUAUUAUAUUUUUAAUUAUAUAAUUUAAAAAAUAUAUUUGAUUAAUAUUUAAUUAUAUCAUUUAUGUUUUAACUUUUUACUAAAAUACUUUUUCAGAUAACAAUACAAUAUAUAUAUAUAUAUAUAUAUUAUUUUUUUUUUAAUUAUAUUUUUGGAUUUUGGAUAAUUCAAUAUUCUAUUUUAAUUAUAUAAUCAAGAAUUUUAUUUGAUUAGUAUUUAGUUAUAUAAUUCAUGUUUUUAACUUUUUAUAUAUAAUUCAUGUUUUUAACUUUUUACUAAAAGACUUUUUCAGAUAAUAAUACAAUAUAUACAGAAAUUAUCUCUUUUUAAAAUUAUAUUUUCAGAUUUUGGAUAAUUCUUACUAUUAUUAAUUUUAAUCAAUUAUCUAAUCAAAUAAAUUAAAAUUUCAUUUUUAUUUUUUCAUUUAGUUAUACAUUUUAUUCAUUAAGGGUAUAAACGAUUAAUCAAUAUUUAGUUAUAUAAUUCAUGUUUUUAACUUUUUAUAUAUAAUUCAUGUUUUUAACUUUUUUACUGAAAGACUUUUUCAGAUAACAAUACAAUAUAUACAUAAAUUAUCUUUGUUUAAAUUAUAUUUUCAGAUUUUGUAUAAUUUUUACUAUUAUUAAUUUUAAUCAAUUAUCUAAUCAAAUAAAUUAAAUUUUUGUUUUUAUUUUUUUAAUAGAUUUACACAUUUUAUUCAUUAAGGGUAUAAACGAUAUUAACCAUUCUAACUUUUAACGUGAGAGCUUGAUUCUAACUUCGCAAAUAAUAGUAUAAAUUAUUAUAGAGGUAGAUUUACUCUAAUGUAUGCUUCUAAAAUAGAAUUUUUAUUUAUAUUUUUCAAAACAAAAUAUAAAAAAAUAUUAUUUUCAUCUAUAUAAAACUACUAUUGUUUUGUAUUUUACUCUAUAAAUAGAGAAAUUCUAUUAUAACGUUAUACAUUCAAAGGAUCAUCACCUUAGAAGAGAUGAUGAGAAAAUGGUUUAAGCUCGAGCAUCACAUUCUUUUAUUCAUUUUCGUAGAGUUGACAUACAUAGCAUCUGUAAAUGGUUUCAAGUUUGAUCAAUAAAUUUGAUAUUCAAUUAAAAAAAAAAUUAUACAUUCGAAUAAAGUCAUCUUUAUAAUAGAGUUUUUUAUUUUAUGAGAAAAUAUAAAAAUAUAUACCGGUGUUGCUCUUAUAACGUGCUCAUAUGAGCAGUGUGAUGAGUGUUUUGCCCAGAAAGUCUAACAGAUAAUAUUUGAUUUUGGUAAGUUGUCAGAUUACUGGUUGACACAAAAAAUAUUUAAAAACUAAAAACCUCGUUGUAACAUAGUGUUUAAAACUAUCAAUUUAGUUAAAAAUAGAAAAACAUACAUUCCAAAAACGAAAAAAAUGAAAAUAUAAAUUUAAUUCACAUAUUAGAUUUAGUAAUCAUUACACAUAGUAAAUUCUGUGGUUUUCUAAACUUAUUUAAUGAACAACACUCCUAAACAAAUAAUGAUUCAUAUUAGUCCCCAUAAAGUAUAUAUUAAAUGUGUGAAUUGAUGCAAAGUUCUAACAAAAGAGAACGAUGAUUUAGUUCCCCAUAUUACAUAUCACACGUCAGGAUUUGGUUUUGUUUGAAAAUUCUGACUAGUUUCAUGUCUGAUCUUUGGUCGUAACUUGUUUUACAUUCAUUCUAAGUCACCUUACCCCGUCAAUUAAUUUAUGCCCACUCAUUCCUUAAUCAACUGCGUAAAUUAAAUAAUAUGUACACCUAUGGUCCUAUCAAUUAUCAAAAGACUAGUGUCUUAAGUAUCACUAGAUUUUCACCCGUGCAACCGCACGGAUGUUUGUUUUCACUUUUCUAUACAUAAAUUAUUGUUUUAGAACAUAAGUGGUAUAUAUUUUUAAUGUUAAUCAUAUACUUAAAUAUUUAUAUAACUAUUUCAAAUACGAUAAUUUUAUAAUUUACAUGUUAUAAUUAAUUAAUUGUUUAAACCUUAUGUAUUUGUCACUUCUUAUUAUAUAUUUAUCUUAUUGUAUUUGCAUUUAGUUAUUAAGCAAAUUAAUAUAUUCAUGAGAAAAUAUAUUUAAAAAAUAUUUUGUAUUUAAUUUAUGCUAAAUUCUGAUCCGUAUUUCAAAACUGGAUUUCUUUUUACCAAUAUUUUUAUGCUUAUUCAUUUUAGAUAAUUUAUUAUUGUAUAUAUAAAAGUGUAAAAUAUGUUAAUUUUUAGACAAGUAUUAUAUAGUUUUUUAAUUUUAAGUCGUUCUAUCAUUAUAUUAUAUUUUAAAUAAAUAGUUUAUAUUUAUGAAAACAAAAUUUAUAAAUUUAUCAAUUGAAUAUAAUUUUAUCAUAUUUAGUUUAGUAUAAUACUUAUAUUUUAACAUGAUCAUGACUAUAAAAGUAGAUAAAAUAGGAUAUAAUUUAUUUAUUUUCAUUUCUAAACAAUAACUUAAAAUACAUUAAGUUAUUGUUUAAAUAUUACACAGAUUUAUUAGAAUUUUUAAAAUAUAAUAUAUAAAUAUAUAUUAUAUUUAAAAUGAAAAUAUAUUAUGAUUAAAGUAGUUACAAAGAUUUUUUAUUAUUAACUUUAAAGAAAUACAUGUUAAUUUUUAUACAUGUAUUAUAUAGUUUGAUAAUAUUAAUCCAUCUUACCAACAUAUUAGAUUUUAUUUUUGAACAUAAAUAUUUUAUAAUUACGAAAAUAAAAUAUAUAAAUAUAUAAAUUUAAUACAAUUUUAUUAUAUUUAGCUCAAUAUAAUAAUUUUAAUUUAAUAUGAUUGAUUAUGAUUAUAUAAUAACUAAAAUAUUAUAGAUUUUUUUAUUUUUCAUUUUAUAUAACUGAAUAUAUUAAUGUAUAAUAAUAUUUUAAACUAAUUUUGAAAUUAGUGAAAAUAUUUAAAUAUAAUUUCAAAAAUGAAGAUCUUGUAAAAAUCUUUUUAAACAGAUUUGUUAUAAUUUUAAAAUAAAUAUAUUUAUAUUUAAAAUGAAAAGAUAUCAAAAGAUACUGUGAUUAAAAUAUUUCAAAAAUUAUAUUUAUUAUUAGUCUGAAUUAAAAUAUAGUAUGAAUUUGGGGUUUUUGCCAAAAUUAACCUACAACUUGAUUUUAAACCCAAACCUAUACCCAAACUUGAAUCAAAUGCAAAACUAACCUAAAAACCUAGUGAAAUUACAACUCAGCCCCUUGUGACCAAACAAAAAAACAGAAGCCAUUUUUACGAAUAUAGCCCCAGUAAAUCGUCUGAGUCGUCUGAAUUGUUGGAAGUCGUCUGGACGACUGAAGUUUAAGUCGUCUGGUACCAGUUUAUUUUAAAAAUAAUUUUUAAAUCUUGUAAAAAAAUAUUUUGAUGCGUGAAAAAUAAAAAUCAGAUGAUUAUAAACAGUUUUAAGUGAUAUAAAUUAAGAUAUGAUAAAAUUGAUUUGUUUUGAAGAUAGAUGAGUGGAAGUAGUGAAUCAUGAUAUUCUUUGGUUUAUGAGUUUGGCAAACAUAUGUUGUAGUAUUGUAUGUAUUGUUAGGGUUAGAUCUUGGAAAACUAAAAUGUUUUUUUCAAAAAUUAGUUUUCAUCUAUAUGUGUUUCUUUAUGUGUAUAGUAAACACUUUUCAACUUUGAUUUGAUUUUAUGAAGUGUUUAAUUAGGGGUUAUGUUUAGGGUGUGGACGACUUAUAUUUCAGUCGUCUGUUGAAUAAUUUACACGGACGACGUAUAUUUCAGUCGUCCACAUCGUACCGAACCUUUAAUUUUACCAAUGUACGUUUUAACCUAACCGGAUCAUUUACCGGACAUAUAAAAGCUAUUUUUUCACUAUUUCACAACUUUUCGAAACCCUAGCGCAGUUUCUCUCCAACGGCGAUUUCGAAGGCGAUAAGACGAAAACCCUACCGUGGUCGUGUUCCGCCGUUAUCUUCGCCGGUAAUCUCUCCGAUUACGACGAAUCUCGUUUCUCCUUCAUGCCGUAGAGUAUUUUCGUAGUUUAAACUGACCGUCCGCUUCCUUUUUUUCAGAUCUGAAAUCUCGUUUGCCAAACUCCGCCGCCGGUAUGUUAUUUCUCAUGUAUUAAGGCGUUUAGCCGCCGGAAAACCCUAAAUAUUUUAGUAUUGAUUCUUCUUUUCCCUUCGAUUUGCAGAUCUGUAACGGCUUGGGACCACAUCUUCUCCGACCAUAUCUUCUCGGACAAUAUAUUCUCCAACUGUAAGUCAUUCGUCUUUUGUUUAAAAGAUUUUGAGAUUGUUGUAGUCUUUUGCUGAAAGAUUACUCAGACGACUUCCAGGAAGUGAGAAGACUACUUGGACGACUUCCAUGAAGUCUUCUACGAUGUCUUACUCUCUGGACGACUUACAUGUAAGUCGUCUAGAGAGUAAGACAUCGUAGAAGACUUCAUGGAAGUCGUCCAAGUAGUCUUCUCACUUCCUGGAAGUCGUCUGAGUAGUCUUCUCACUUCAUGGAAGCCGUCUGCAAGUCUUCUAUAGCAUUUAGCAUAGUGCGCAACCUAUGUGUUUGAGAUGGUUGUUUGUGAUUAUUUGCAGGCCUUAAAAUGGAUUUACGAGAACUCCCGCCGAGGAUGUUUACAUUAGGAGAAGAGCCCGAUGCAAUCAAGAGCAUUUCGUAUCAAUCUGAUGACACAAAGUUGUUUAAAGCUCUAUGUGAUUGUCUCACACCUGACGAAUUUGAGGAUCUGAAGGCGUCGAAGUUAGGAGUGUUCAUCAAAUUCAAGGAGCUUGACUUUGGUUGGACUUCAAGGCUGGUACAUUUUUUGCUCUGUUUCCAGCUAGACAUCAAGAAGAAGUUUGAGCUCUGGAGUCUUGUCGUUUCACAACCUGUGAGGUUUUCACUGAUAGAGUUUGAACACCUCACUGGGCUGAACUGCGAUUACAUCAAGGACCUGGAAAAUCCAAGAUGUGAGGUUACAACGGAGAUGGCUGCUUUCUGGGAGAAGAUGCAUGUUGAUAUCGAUACUGGGCCAAGUAUUGAACAGAUAACAGAAGCAUUUUACAACUGCGACGAGUGGUCUCGGGAUGAUCGCAUGCGGCUGGGAUACCUUGCCAUCUACGCAGGAUAUAUCGAAGGGAAAAAGUUCUCAUCCGCUACAUCAGCUAGUCUUGCAAGGCUAGUGAUGGAUUUAGAAAAAAUUGAGAAUUAUCCAUGGGGGAGAGUGGCGUUUAAGGUGCUGAUGGAUUCUCUGAAGGCAAACGACUUGACGCAAACUGGUUACACUGUUGAUGGGUUCAUACAAGUGCUCCAAGUGUUGGCGUACUAUGCUAUGCCAGAAUUGGGUGCUAAUUAUGGGUCUCCCAUACCAAACAGACCGUCUCCACUGUUGCUGGCUUACAAGGGUGGCAAAAGACAACGCAAAUGUUUUAAGGCUGCUAUCAAUAAACAGGUACUUAACUUCACUCCUAAGACUUCUCAGACGACUUAAAGUUAAGUCGUGUGGAAGUCUUCCAACAAAAGACCACGCAGACGACUUACUUUUAAGUCGUCUGAGUGGUCUUUUUGUUGGAAGACUUUCAGACGACUUAACUUUAAGUCGUCUGUGAACAAAAUACUUCUCAGACGACUUAACUUUAAGUAGUCUGUGAACAAAAUACUUCUCAGACGACUUAACUUUAAGUAGUCUGAGAACAAAAUACUUCUCAGACGACUUAACUAAGUUUAUAUCUUUUAUUUAUUGCAGACUAUCGUGAAGAACUUCGUUCAGAAGGAUUUUGAUGAAAUGUUUCCAAAAUGGGACGGAGACAUAGAUGACCCUGCCGCGGAUAACAUAAUUAAAGUCAUGUUUAAUGAUCCUGGAUGGGAGUGGACCAUGGAAUGCUGGCCAGUCACCGGUACUCGCAAGGUUGUGAAGAUGGAAGUGAUUCCAGUGAAGAAUGAAGUGAGUCCCGUGAAGUCAGAGAGUGUUGUGAAGGAAGAAAGUAGCAGACCUCGGAAGAAAGCUCGUAAAGGGUCUUCUGUUUCUGCUGAGACACCUGCGGCGGGUAGUGAAGGGAUGACGCAUCAGCAGAUUGAAAAGUCCUUGAAGGACAUAUCUGAUACCAUUAAUCUUGGCUUUGGGACGUGCCUUAAGGAGCUCAAGUUACUGGCGGAUAGGAUGGUAGCUGUGGAGAAGAAGGUGGGAAUCACCAACAGAGGGGGUUUAUCUGAUGAUCGUCAACUUACAACCACUUCAAAUCCACCAAAACUUGUUGACGAACCCGGGGUUAGUACCAAAACCUCUCCCAAAAUUGCAGAGAAGAGAGUCACUAGGCAAAGUGUUAGGAAGAGUCAGGACUGAUGUGAUUUGUUUCUUGUGUGCUUUGAUGAACAUGUGUGCUUUGUUUCUAGUGUGCUUUGAUGAACCACUGUAUGCCUUGAUUCUGAACAUGUGUGCUUUGUUUCUAGUGUGAAUUUGAUCUUUGCUGUAAGGGCUUUUGUUAAUAGUUUUUAAACACACUGUGAACUCGAAAUUGCAGAGUGAAAGCGUGAAUGGGGCGAAAGCAGGACAGAAGGAAGCCAAAGAACCGAGUUCCUCGAGAGAGCUCUGUCUUGUGAGUCCUGCAGACGACUUACCGAGUGAUGAUCCUAGCCUUCUUAUAUUGGACAAACAAGUUUCGACCGCUUCAGAUUUACUCGUUGAAGAAGCUAGAAGGCAGACAAAGAAGGAGACUGCUUUGGUGAAUCUCCGUAAAAAAAGUGUGCGAGAAAGGAAGCUUGCUCCCACACAGCAAACUCCUUUUAAGGGAAACAGCACUGCCAAACAGAUCAUUCCAAACAAACAGGUUGGCGGAGGCUAUGAUCCUUUUGCACCCAUUGACAAGAUGAAGUCGAAGGAGCUCACUGCAUGGGUGCAAAAAGAUCCGUAAGUUGCUGUUAAAAAUAUGCUUACUUAUAUUUGAUUAAAAAAAGCUUCUAUUUGAUUAUUUACAUUUUGUGUUUGCAGUUCUUAUAAACUGCCUCUGAAAAAAAAACCACGUAGAUGUCGAAGUCGAUUCUAUCAGGUCCUCCGAACCCCCUUAGAAUGGCUAACCGACCAUGUAAGUCUUCUGCUAUUUUCUAACUCUUAUAUAAGUCGUCUGGUAGUUAUCUGGUACUUUUCUGAUUUGUAUAAGUCGUAUGUGAGUCGUCUGUGAGUCGUCUAUAAGUCGUCUGGUAGUUAUCUUAUGUAAGUCGUCUGUAAGUCGUCUGUAAGUCGUCUCUAAGUCGUCUCUAAGUCGUCUGUAAGUCGUCUGGUAGUUAUCUUACGUAAGUCGUCUGUAAGUCGUCUCUAAGUCUUCUCUAAGUCGUCUCUAAGUCGUCUGUAAGUCGUCUGGUAGUUAUCUUACGUAAGUCGUUUGUAAGUCGUCUGUAAGUCUUCUCUAAGUCGUCUCUAAGUCGUCUCUAAGUCGUCUGUAAGUCGUCUGGUAGUUAUCUUACGUAAGUCGUCUGUAAGUCGUCUCUAAGUCUUCUCUAAGUCGUCUCUAAGUCGUCUGUAAGUCGUCUGUAAGUCGUCUGUAAGUUUUUUUGACUUGUAUUGUUUUAUAUGCAGCAAAUGGAUGCUUUUAUUAAUAUACUGAGGCAACGGUACCAAAACCAUCCAGAACAUUUCAGGAGCGACAGAAUGUGCUUUCUUGAUCAUGUCUUUUCUCGGCAGUGGAGGGCCUCCUACCCUGAUUUUAAGAGCGACGCUCCUGAUGCCAACGGUUUAGGAAGAAGACUCCCUGGUGGGGCGUGGAAUUAUCAUGCAGGCGUGAUACCUUCUUUUUGCCAAUCUAAGAAGGUUUGGGGGGGUGGAUGUGGAUGAUAUCUAUGCACCUGUGAACUUCAAGAACCAGCAUUGGAUUGCUAUAUGGAUAUCGAUCCCUAAGAGGCACAUCGUCGUCUGGGACAGCAUUGUCUCUCAUAUUAGCCCUGAAGAACUCGAUGAGGUAAUGGAGCCUUUUCUCACAAUGGUCCCUUAUCUGCUUGUUGAGUGCGCGCUCUCUGACGAACAAAAGGUUCAAUACACAUUGGAGCCAUACACAUAUGCGAGACAAACCGUUGGAGUACCUCAGUGCCGAGCUGGUGAUUGUGGCCCUUUCACUCUGAAGUACAUCGAAUGUCAUGCUCUUGGGAUAGAAUUUCCCACCGCGUUUGACAAAAAACACGGGAAGACCAUCAGGGAGAAGAUGGCGCUGGAUAUAUUUCGAGAGCUUUCUAUGUGCCAUGAAUGGGAAAACCAAGACAAUGAUGAGAACCUGGCAACGUAUGAUUAGAUAUUGGAUGUGUUAUUGUGUGCUGUUGCGAUUGUAUUUGAACUUGAUGCUUUUGUGUACUGUUGUUAGGUAGAUUAGGGGAUGUUAACAGGGUCAGGAUAGGAUGAUGUUUUUUUGUAACCUAUCCUCACACCAAACUAGAAUUCCGUAGGAAAUUAGUUUGGUAGUGCAGUAACCUUUCGGAAUAUGUAAUGUUUAACUUGUCUUUUUUAAAUUGCACUGUUGGAAUUAGUUUCGGAAUAUGUACUGCUUAACAUAGAAGGUCUACAAAGAAAAGUUCAUAAAACAUAUAAAUUCAUAACAUAGAGUCUACAGAGAAGUUCAUAAAACAUAGAAAAUCAUUGUGGACGACUACAGAGAAGUUCAUAAAACAUAGAAAAUCAUUGGACGACUUACUUAAAGGUCUUCUGGACGACUACAGAGAAGUUCAUAAAACAUAGAAAAUCAUUGGACGACUUACUUAAAGGUCUUCUGGACGACUAACCAGAAGAAAAUUCUAAUUAAGACGUUGGACGACUAACUUAAAGGUCUUCUGAACGACUAACCAGAAGAAAAUUCUAAUUAAGACGUUGGACGACUAACCAGAAGGUCUUCUGGACGACUUACCAGAAGAAAAUUCUAGUUAAGUGAUAUUACGUGUAUACGCACACCAAAUAACCUAAUGUGCACACUACCACAAUCGAAUGGUAUGUCGAUGUAGCACUUUAGGAUCGAAUCCACAGAGACCAACUAUUACACUUUAUCUUUAUGGGAUCAAUAUCAAGCUAAAACAAUAUGGGGGUUUUAAAGUUGAUUUCGUAACAAGCAAGUAAAAAGAUUAAUUAAAGAUUUCAGAUGAUUAAAAUGCUAGCCUAGGGUGGUUUGGUCGGGUGUUAAACAAGUGUGAGCCAAACAAUUAUUCAAGUUUAAUUAAGAGCAAGUCUAGAACUCGGAUCACUCAAGUAGAACAGCCCACUGUCGUGGAACUGCCCCCUAUGCUGAUCGAUCUUGAUACCUAAACUCUCGUUUGGAUCAAGAUGCGACAGCAAGCAAUAGAGAUCAAGUCCGAUAGGUUCACCAAACACCCUAAUAUCUACUUUCGCUGAUUAGGGAUGCUAGGCUCAUUCAUAACAGAUCUAGCAACCUAUUACACGGUUAAUGAACAGGUUAAACCUAGGAUCUAACAUUAAGCGGCCAGAUUAAUGCAAGCAUUAAGAACAGUUAUGAAUGAAGACAAUCAAUGGUUUCACUUAUCUAUGUUUAACUCACGGAUCUAACACCCGAACACCCUAGACUAAGCAAGUUGACUACUCAGCCAUGAACAGAGAAAACACAGAGAUCAAUUCUGAAUAAGACUUCAUGUAAAUAAAAGAGAUAGAAAGAGGGUUCAGGAUAAUCUUCUCUAUGGUGAGAGAGAUGGAGCCUUCUCCCUUUACAAUCCAAAAGCACAAAAGUCUCCAAUGGUUUUCUUCUGUCUAGAAUAGCGUAGAAUGAUAAAGAGAAACAGAAAAUAUGAUAUAUCAAAGCCACAGGCGGCUGGGAGAGAAAAUAUGGAUAAUUAGGGCAAAUCCCGUAAUGAUUGUAGUUUCCUAAAAAAUCUCUGCCGCUGGAACACUCACUCGGAACAGUCAUCAAGACUGUUCUGCGUGAAAACCACCAAAUUGCAUUGUUUUCUGCCUCUUUUGUUCCAGCUGAUCCAUCUCCCAUCCAAUGCAACUCCAGACCUGUAAUGACUCCAAAAGGACUAGGAAGACUCGAUAAAGACUUGAAAACCAAUUUAAAAGCAUAUAUACAAGAUGUAUAAAACACCAUAUAUCAAUUCCCCCAGACUUAGAUCCUUGUUUGUCCUCAAACAAUGUCAAGUAUCAAGAACAGGGAGAAAGGUUUGAAAGUGUGGGAACUCUCCUAUUCUCAGCAACCAUACUUUAACCACGAAUCUCUGAACCAUACAAGCAGUAAAACUAGGACAACACACCCUUACCGGAACCCCACUGACUGCUGUUCAAAAAUCGGCUCCAUACUCUUCAUCUCAAACCUGAAAAAGCAACACUAUCGAGACAGAACUCCCUACAUUCAUUUAAGAGUAGCGUGAGCUUCUCAUCACAGGCAUCAUUCAGGGUAGACGGUCUAGGUGUGGAACAGGCUAUUUAAUGGUGGAGUUAAGAGUGUUUAGGGGCUACCAUUUCAUUGAAGAGGAUGCAGGAUAUCACACAAAAUGGCAAGAGAGGAUAGAUCCAUUGAUGUCCACAGCCUCUACUCGUUUUUGCUCUAUCUGGUGCGACUGUUCUGAUGACGGAACAGGCAACUGAUUGUUCUGCUUUCCACUUUCCUCUACACACUCUUCAAUACUUGGUACCAACUUCUUGCUCGACCUUUCCAGUGGCUCCAUGUUUCUUUUCUUUCUUCCCCUUCUCCAUCACAUUAAUCUCGUUUUUUUUUUUUUUUUUUUUUUUUUGAAGACUGAUAUGGUGAUGUGACGAAGAAGGAGGUAACACAUGAUCGUUCUGAGUGCCACUGGUGGUUCUGAUUUCGCGACCAUUCUGGUUCUCCACCCCUGCUCUUGCGCAGUUCAUUGGUUAUGGAGCGGUUGCUCCCUUAAUCUGCUUGUUCUCCUUUCUGACAUAAUUUCUGCAGCAGUAACGAGUAGGAGGCUGCGUUGAUCCUUUCCUCUCCGACCUUUUUGCACAUAUCUGCACAUAUGACACUGAAAAACAAAUGCAUGAAGGUGGAAUAAAGGCUAAGGUGCAGGGUGGGAACUAGCUAAAGAUGAGCUAGCCACUCAGGAUCAGCAAGAUGGAUAAAAAGGAUAAGAAGUCCUGAGUGUGUUCUCGUUUCCCUGAUCUAAUGCCCAUAACAAGAAGAAUUUCAGUCAAGAUUAGGUUCAAGUAAGGUGGAGUUAAGUCUACCCAGUGUAACCUGAUCGGCUGAGAACUUCUGGAGAAUCAAGUGAGAUAUGUCAGGGUGUUCCAGGUCCACAUGUGUGUCUUUCGCCACUGCUAAGGUCACUGAAUAAGAUAACUAAAGCACGAGGUGGUUAGUGAUCAACACGGAAUAAGGUCCUAAUUCCCACAAAAUUUUGACUGACUCAAUAAAAACUGACUCGAAUUGACCCAAAAGAAAAACAAAAGAAAGAAACGAGUUAGUAAACGACGAAAACCCUCCCCCAGACUUACUUCACAACGUCCCUGGUGUGAAAAUAAAUCAGAGAGAAGGUGAAAUCAAGAAUAAACAUUUUUUUUUUUGUUCGAGAUACUUACCUGGCGCGGAGCAGCCUGACAGAGCAAGACGCGGUUGCUCCGGUAAAGGAUGCUAUGGAAUGAGAACAGCCAGCUGCUUGCUCCAGUCAAGGGUCUCGGAUUUUCUGAUUUGUGACCUGAGACUCAACAAACUAAAAACAAAAAUAAGUAAAAAGAAAAUCCUAAUGUUAAUGACACUCACCAGUGGGUUGCCUCCCACCAAGCGCUUGGUUUAAGUCUCUAGCUUGACUUGGUGACUGGGAUCAGUCGGGUUGAGCAGGAGGGCUUGUUCCAAAACAAGCUCCACAAUCAGACAUGUUCAGCUUCAAAACUCUGCUCAACAACCCUUUCACAGCAGCUUUCCCUUUCUCCUUCAGCUCAUGUGUGAGAAUAGCUCUGACUUUAGAGAAAGGUUUAGAGGUACCCUUGCACUUUACCUCAUACUCAAUGGAGUUCUCAUCACACUUGAGAGGUAUCAAAGUCAUUGUAGGAUCUCCCUUGAUCCUUUUCUUCUGGACUUUCUGUUUCACCCUUGAAUUCCCUCUGAAUUUAGUAGGAUCAGUGCUAGGAUCUUCAUCAGAGAACAGCCUGCUCUCACCCUUAUCACCAUGCUCCUUCUCUGGAACAACCUUCAGCUUUUCUACAUCAAACACUGAGAUGCGAGAGGCGUGUGAUGAGGAAGAUCUGGUGGGUACAGCCUUGUAGAAAACUUUCUUGUUGAUGUUGGAGAAGCAGACUCUCUUGUUGGGCAUAUCGAUGGUUGCUCCAACAGUAGCCAUGAAUGUCCUUCCAAAUAUCAAAGGCAUCUCAUGAUCCUUGUUCAUCUCAACAACUUGAAACUCAGCAGGAACAAUGCAUUCCCCUACUUGAACAUGAAGGCUGCGGAUGGUUCCAUAUGGGACUGCUCUGGAAGAGUUUGCAAAGGUCAGGGUCAGCUGAGAACGCUCAACAUCAGCAAUACCCAAAUCGUCUACAAUAGCCUUUGAGACGAGAUUCACACAAGAACCAGAGUCACACAGAGCAUCCUUGAAGGUUGUUCCUGCGAUGGAGCAUGGGAAAACAAACUUUCCAGGAUCAUCAACCUUAGGCAAUACCUUCAAUGCUGGUGUAGACAGUGCUUUGAUAUAGAGGACCUUGAUCUCCUCUUGAGUCUCUCUACAGUGUUUAAAGAACUGGAGCAAUGGACGAAUCUGCAGAGCAUCUUCGAAUGCAAGUUCUUUAGGAAGCCUUCUCACCAUCUUGUUAAAACCUAUCAGCUGCUCUUCACUAAUGGGAUCCAUCAGAUGUCUAGGUGGAAUUGGAUAGGGAACCUUGGGAACAUAGACUCGAGAUGGUGGAGUCUCAGCAGGUUCGCUAGGAGCAGUCACUCCAGAGCUAGCAGACUGCUCUGCUCUCUCUUCUGCGCCUGAAGCAGUCUCAGCAAACGGCUGCUCUAUUGCAUUACAGUGCUCAGUCCUAGGAUUUUUAUCAGUUCUUCCAGGAAGCGUCUCUUGUUGCCUCUUGACACUCUCAACUGUUUGAGCAAGCUGAACAUCGAUCUUUCUUAUAUGGAUCGCAAGAUUGUCAUACUUGUUAUUCAGCUCAGUGAACAUGUUGCCCAUCCUGGUGUCUAUUUCCGUGGUUACCUGAUUCAACGCCUUGGCCUGAACCUGCUGACCCUGCAACAGCUGUUGCAUCAUCAUACCCAGACCCUUCAGCUCAUCUGGUUGACUGUUCCCGGUAGCUGGAACAGCAUGCGGAUUGCUCUGCGGUUGUCGCUGGUUCUGGUUCUGAAUAUGCCCGGCCGUAGGUUGUUCCAUGCUGAAAACGUGCCCUUGGUUGUUUUUCAGUAGCUGAUCAACCUUGGCAGUCAGCUCAUCUAUUUUCUGGGCGUCAGAACUGUUUCCUUUCUUGGAGCAAUCACUCUCCUCUUUCUUAUUAGCUGAGCUAGCAGCCAUGUUCUCAAUCAGCUUAAACGCUCCAGCUGUGGUUUGAGUCAUGAAAUCUCCAUUGCUCGCAGAGUUUAGAGCACCUUGGUAUUUCCAGUCCACUCCAUCAUAGAAAAUGUCCAGGAUAUAAUCAUCAUCAAAUCCAUGGUGAGGACAUUCUCUGCGAUAGUCAUUGAAGCGCUCCCAUGCGUCGCAGAAAGCUCAUCAGUGAGCUGUCUGAAGGAGGUGAUCUUGUUCCUCAAUGCAGCUGUUCUCGCCUUAGAGUAGAAAUGGCUGAGGAACGCUGAUCGGACCUGUUCCCAUGAAGUGAGAGAGCCGGUAGGGAGAGAGUUCAACCACCGUGCAGCUUUUCCAUCAAGAGAGAAUGGGAAUAACAUGCACGUGAUGUAGUCUGGUGGAACACCAUUCACGCGAGUGAAACUGCAGACUUUUUCGAAGCUCUCAAUAUGCUCCAUUGGAAUUUCUGUAGAGAGACCAGAGAACACCUUUCUCUGUACUAGACCAAUCAAAGCAGGCUUGAUCUCGAAGUCCUGCCUGGUGCAAGGUGGAGGAACAAUGGCAGAGCGCGUAGUAGGGAUGUUACGCGGAAGGUUUCUCUGCCCGAUUGGAACAGUCUGCGCCUGUUGUUCCUGCUGCGCGAGAGCAGCCUGUUCAGCAGCAUCCUGCUGAGCUUGGAUGGUCUGCUGCAUUUGUUGCAUCUGCUGCUGCAUGUGCAACUGAGCAGCGAGAUCUCCUGAUUGGCGUGAUCACCCAUAGUGGUGUCAGUUUGCCUUGGCUGUUGACGAUUUGUUCUUUCUAACCUUGCUAGCUCCUGGUUGGUAAAUGUAACUAACUCUCCUUGUGCGUUUCUCCGAGUAUGUCUACUGGUCAUGCACCUGGAACAUUAGCUGCAACAAAAAGGAUAAGGCAAGUUAGAGGUCUUAGACUAAAUAAAUAACCGAAAAAUAAAGGUAAAAAGAUGGUCCCCGGCAACGGCGCCAAUUUGAUAUUACGUGUAUACGCACACCAAAUAACCUAAUGUGCACACUACCACAAUCGAAUGGUAUGUCGAUGUAGCACUUUAGGAUCGAAUCCACAGAGACCAACUAUUACACUUUAUCUUUAUGGGAUCAAUAUCAAGCUAAAACAAUAUGGGGGUUUUAAAGUUGAUUUCGUAACAAGCAAGUAAAAAGAUUAAUUAAAGAUUUCAGAUGAUUAAAAUGCUAGCCUAGGGUGGUUUGGUCGGGUGUUAAACAAGUGUGAGCCAAACAAUUAUUCAAGUUUAAUUAAGAGCAAGUCUAGAACUCGGAUCACUCAAGUAGAACAGCCCACUGUCGUGGUACUGCUCCCUAUGCUGAUCGAUCUUGAUACCUAAACUCUCGUUUGGAUCAAGAUGCGACAGCAAGCAAUAGAGAUCAAGUCCGAUAGGUUCACCAAACACCCUAAUAUCUACUUUCGCUGAUUAGGGAUGCUAGGCUCAUUCAUAACAGAUCUAGCAACCUAUUACACGGUUAAUGAACAGGUUAAACCUAGGAUCUAACAUUAAGCGGCCAGAUUAAUGCAAGCAUUAAGAACAGUUAUGAAUGAAGACAAUCAAUGGUUUCACUUAUCUAUGUUUAACUCACGGAUCUAACACCCGAACACCCUAGACUAAACAAGUUGACUACUCAGCCAUGAACAGAGAAAACACAGAGAUCAAUUCUGAAUAAGACUUCAUGUAAAUAAAAGAGAUAGAAAGAGGGUUCAGGAUAAUCUUCUCUAUGGUGAGAGAGAUGGAGCUUUCUCCCUUUACAAUCCAAAAGCACAAAAGUCUCCAAUGGUUUUCUUCUGUCUAGAAUAGCGUAGUAUGAUAAAGAGAAACAGAAAAUAUGAUAUAUCAAAGCCACAGGCGGCUGGGAGAGAAAAUAUGGAUAACUAGGGCAAAUCCCGUAAUGAUUGUAGUUUCCUAAAAAAUCUCUGCCGCUGGAACACUCACUCGGAACAGUCAUCAAGACUGUUCUGCGUGAAAACCACCAAAUUGCAUUGUUUUCUGCCUCUUUUGUUCCAGCUGAUCCAUCUCCCAUCAAAUGCAACUCCAGACCUGUAAUGACUCCAAAAGGACUAGGAAGACUCGAUAAAGACUUGAAAACUAAUUUAAAAGCAUAUAUACAAGAUGUAUAAAACACCAUAUAUCAUUAAGACGUUGGACGACUUACUUAAAGGUCUUCUGGACGACUUACUUAAAGGUCUUCCACGUCAGUUCUUACAUUGUGGACGCUUAUGGCCAGUUUCUUUGCAGACUGAGCACCUAUAAACCAUGUGUUGCUUCCGGGGUUUGCGUCCUCUCAUCCUGGAUAGCUCCAACCAAGAUUGCCAUCUUGAUUUCUUCUGUCUCCCCGGACCACGCUUUACUUCCGGAGGAAAGGAUGUGCUUGCCUCAACAAGUUGUCCAACACAAGGAUAUAUAUUCUCUGAGUAUCCUGCAAACAAAGUAUCCUUUGAGUAGACCGGCCACACAAGUGUGGAGAUAUGCACACCAGCUGCUGUUCCAGCUGCUAUAGCAUGAGAGCAAGGUAUUUUCUCGACUUGAUAGACACCACAAUCGCACUUUUGAAGUUCCAGAUCAACAUUACAGUCCCUAUUGCCACCUUUCACAAAGAACUUCCAUCCAUCAAUUUGUUGGACUCUCAGAGUAUACGCGUUCUCCUCUCGGACAGCAAGCAAGUGUUCAACACCCCGACUAUGUUGAGUUGUAAGACUCAAAGCAUCUCCUCUCCUUUUCCAGUACCACCUUCCUAGCUUCUCCCUUAUGAACUCCAGCAGGAACUGAAUAGGAAAUCCUCUUGCUCGCUUCAGUGCGGAGUUAAUUGAUUCAGCGAUAUUGCUCGUUUUUAAGUUGUACCUGUCUCCCUAACAAUGAACCCUAGACCAUAGGGUCACAUCGGCUUCCUCCAGAUACUCAGCAAGAUCCGGAUUUGCACUUCGUAUCUCAUCCAUGUACCGAUCAAAAUCGUAAAGUGUAUGAGCAUAAGCAGCACCUUUCACUAAGUACAAGAGAUGCUUCCCUUUAUACUUUUUGACAAUAUUCUCUUGAAGGUGAUAAUAACAUAUUCCUCGGGUUGCCCAAGGAAACACCUUUUCACACGCAUUUAUAAUGGAGGCGUGCCUGUCGGAGACUAUCACCAGAGGAUACUCAUCAGAUACACAGCUCGCCAAUUUUGUGAAAAACCAUUCCCAAGAUUCAUCAUUCUCACCAUCUACGAUCCCAAAAGCCAAUGGAUAUAUCUGAAAAUUACCGUCUUGUGCGGCUGCAACCAACAUAGUACCCCCAUACUUCCCACUUAGGUGAGUCCCAUCUACCACAAUGACCCUUCUCUGAUACUUAAAUCUUCUGAUUGAAGCUCCAAAAGCAAGAAAUAGAUACUUAAAUCUAUUCAGAGAAUCAAGUUCUAUAGCUGUGAUAGAACCCGGAUUUGCUGCCUCGAUUUGCUCCAAAUAUGAAGGCAAUCGCUCAUACCCGUCUUCCGCUGAUCCUCUCACCAUUUCUUGCGCAUAUAACAAUGCUCUGUAUGAAGUGGUGUAAUCAAGUGUCAUGCCAAACAUGUUCUUCAUUGCAUCUUUGAUAUGCUGCGGAUUCAACCCAUCAAUGAUUCUAACUCGAUCUAUGAAAAGUCGACCAAUGUACUUCGGAGUACAACGUUUCCGCUGAGCGAUUCUGUCUGGGAUGGAACAUGUAUGAGUUGCCAAAUACUUGGUUACCCAAAACGUUUUAGUCCCAUGUUUCACACUUGCUCGGACCUUCCAUUGACAACCACUAACACGACAUGUUGCCACAAACAGAGUUUUCGUUGACUUGAAUAUUCUGAAGGAGAACCUACGCCUCACCGCUGUCGACCGCAACUCUGAAAGCAGUGCAUCCUUACUAGCAAAACUCUGGUUGACAUAGAUUCUGUCUGCAGAUGAUCCUUCUCCUUCACAACCAUAUGCCCCUUUGUAAUCAUCAAAACAGAUUUCAUCAUCUUCUUCCUCAUCCUCAUCUUUAACAUUUCCAUACUCACUAUAAUCCUCAGCAUCAGCGACAACAGGGAUGUCAGCAUCCUCCUCCCCAUCAUGAUCCUCAGCUUCAUCCCCCUCUUCAGCUUCAUGCCCCUCCUCAGCUUCUUCCCCCUCCUCAGCUUCAUCCCCCUCUUCAUCUUCAUCGCUUACAUCAGCUUCAUCCCUCUCCUCAGCUUCAUCCCCCUCCUCAGCUUCAUCCUCCACAUGAUCUUCAUCCCUUUCCUCUGAAACCGUUCUCAUCUUGCUAAAGCUUGAUACACAAAGACGUACUUCAUGCGUUUUAGUUAUCUCGAGCAAGUUCCGAACUUGUCUAUCACUUGUAACAUGAAUAGGAGGAAGGUCUGGAGCCAUCUGUUGUAAUGAGUAGAUUAGCUCCACAGACUCUGUGUUCAUGUCCAGGUUAUAAUCUUCUUGAGUCAUUGCAACAAGAUCAGCAUGUGUCGAACCUUCAUUCAAAAAUAACAUUCUCGCUCCUUUGAAAUGAUCAACCACAAAAUUCCAACAUCCAUCUUUCAACAACCAUUGUCCAUACACUGCAUGUAACUGACGCAUCAUCUGAAAAAGUCAAAAUAAAACACAUUAGCAAACUUAGAACAAAGAAAACAAAAGUUUAUUAAAGAUCGAAGCGGACGACUUCAAUCUAAGUUGUCUAGACUACUAAACUAUACGUCGUCUGGUCAACGCAGAGGUUAUUUUUGCAAUUGAAUUUGAAAUCUGGCUGUCGACGACUUACCUGGAAGUCGUCUGGCUGUAGACGACUUAACUUUCAGUCGUCUCAGGUUACAGAUUUCAAAGUCAAUUGCAAAAAUAACCUCUGCGUUGACCAGACGACUUCUAGGUAAGUCGUCUACAGCCAGACGACUUCCAGGUAAGUCGUCGACAGCCAGACGACUUCCCAAGUAAGUCGUCUGACGAACAGAUCUGGAAAAAAACUCGAUUUCAUACCUUAAAUUGGUGAGAUAAGUUCCUUAGCAUACAUAAGGCUUCUCCAAGCACACAGAAUCACAAACGAAAGUGACCCACCCUGAAUCGUUAGCUUCUAUGACUCUAUGAACCAUAAAAAUUUUAGAAUCAAAAUCUUGGGUUUUCUUAGCUCAUUGUGGAGAGAAAGUGAAAGAUAUGUUGUGUUUAGUUCACAAGAAUGAAAAAAGAAGAAGGGUAAAUCGAUUUUGGGAGCAUUAAGAGCUUCAAAUUGGUUGUUCAUGGUGGUUGUGGUAUUGAUGACAAUGGCAAUCUUGUAAUUACUUGAAGAUGAUGAGGGUGAGAGAGUAAAAAUGUCAUUUUCGAAAAGAAAAAAAAAAUUGAUGGCAUUUUCGUAAAUUAUAUGAACUUGUGGAGUGAAUACGGCAAAACUAAUUUCAAAAAAAAAGGGAGGUUAGUUUUGUGUUUGACUUUAAGUUGUAGGUCAAUUUUGCAAAAACCCCUAUGAAUUUCUAUGAAUAGGUCUAUUAGGUUCAUUUUUAAAAAAAUCACAAAUGAAUCAAGGUUGUGACUUCUGUUUUAAUAUAUAAGAUAUAGGAAAGUUGUUUCUUUAUUUAGUCGCUCUUUUUUUAUUGGAUAAUCGACUAAUCGUUUUCGCUAAUUAAAACAGCCUAUAGGCUUCUCAUUACGCUAUAUAUUUGAACAACAUUGUCGGCAUAUUAUAAUUCUAUUACGUCUAACCUAUUUUAAAAAAUGAUAUAGUACUAUACUAUAUAACAAAAUCUCAUCGUUAUUAUCAUUAUCGUACAUCCGUCGUUAUUCAUUCGUGCUAUAUAAUACGGCUAUCGCACCAAGCAGGCAACGUGAUAUGAAAUAUAUUAACAUUUUGGUUAGGAAUAACGUAACAGAAAAAUAUGUCGUCAGCUAUGUGACGAUUAAGUAAAGUGAGGCACUUAUUUACUAAUUUAAUGAAAGAAUAUACACAGUAGAUUAGGCCAAUUUCGUCAACUUGUUGGGAAAGUAGCCAACAAACCCAAUACAAAACUAAAUUCUACUAGUUAGUUUCUUGGUAAAACUCAACUAAUCGUAACUUUACGCUGUUUUAUUAUUUUUUCCUAAAUCAUGAUAAUAUCGAAUAUGAUUAAAUCAUUUAGUUAUUAAAAAUAUUAAAUCAUGUUAAUAAAGUAAGUAUAUUAGUAUACUAUAUAUAUAUUUUUUAUUUUAGUUAGGAAAGAAAUGCUAAGCCACAGAAUCUAAUAUGUUUCCUAAAUCAACGGUCAUGAUUGAUUAAGAAUAGUCUUCCUUUUGACCAAGUCUAAUCACUAAACCUAAAUAAAUAAACAACAAACGAAGGCAAAUGCUGUUUUGUUACUUAUUACAAUCUCACACAGCCUUGAGACACAACACAAAAUGGCUAACUCAAACGAUUGGUCUCACCUCUACAGCAACAACCAAGCCUUCUACACAACUUCCACCAUCACUUCAACCGCCGUCACAACCACCACAGCAGCUUCUCCCUCCGGUGAAGCCACCUCCAUGGACUCUCGUCUUAGUCCAGAAACAGGCCGUGUAACCAAACCGGCACGUAGAAGAUCAAGAGCCUCACGUAGAACACCAACAACACUUCUCAACACGGACACAUCAAACUUCCGCGCCAUGGUUCAGCAGUUCACGGGCGGUCCAUCCGCUAUGUCUUUCGGGUCAGGUAAUACCACUUCCGGUUUUAGCCUCACCUCUUCGUCGGAUCCAUCCGCCGGAUCUUCCCAACAAGUUCCUUGGCAAUAUAGUUACCAGCCUCACGCGCCGCCUCCACCGCAACAGCCUUAUAUGUUCUCGUUAAACAACAUGAAUCCCGUCGUUGGGUAUAGUAACAUGAACAACCCUAAUACGAUGGUUCCUGGUGGUUUUGGAACCGCGGGCGGUGGAGGAGGAGGUUCUGCUCCGUCGUAUAAGGAAGCCACGAAUAGUAAUACGUCGUCUUCGAGACUGCAAUGAGAAAACGAUUGGAUUCUUUUGAAAUAUUUUUUUCUCCUUUUUCGCAUAAAGGCAGAAAUGUUAGGUACUGACUUUCUUUUGUCAUAGAAUGACAACUUUGACUGUUGUAUAUUUAAGUUUUUCGUUUUCAUAUUCAAGCUUUUUAUCUUUGUUUUAGGCGUUGAGCAUUUGUUUACAGCGUUAUCACUUAUCAUGGUCCUAAAUAAGCAAAUAUUCAAUGACUGAAGUUGCACACUUGCUUGCAUUCAAAAGAAAAACUCCAGUUUGGCAGUAAGCAAAAUAAAAUAACGUCUCCAAAUAAAUCUAUAUGUUUUUACGAGAAUACAUUAUCUGUUAUACUCCCUCUGUUUCAAAAUACAUGAAGUUUUAAGAUUAUACACAACUAUUAAAAAACUUGUUUUUUAUUUUAAAAAUAUCAUUAAAAUAUAAAUUAAAAAUUAUUUAACCAAUCACAAAACAGACUACAAAAUAUCAUUAGCUACACAGUUUUUGAUAAAGUGAAAAAAUACAUUGAUAUAUGAAAACAUCAUCUAUUUUGAAACAUCAAAAACUACCUAAAACAUCAUCUAUUUUGAAACGGAUGGAGAAUAAAUUAUUAUGGCAUCCAUAUUUUCUACUAGACUUAGGUAAACUAAAGCAAUGUUCUCGAACACUAAUAUAUCACGUAUAUAUAUUAUAUAUAUUAACGCUCUAUAUAUGUUAAAAACAUACUUUCACGUAAAGUUCUGAACUACAUGUGAAAAAUUGAAAUUUCUUCAAUAUUAUUCAAAUUAAUAGUAGUAUAUAUGUAUAACGUGCAUGUAAUGGAGGAAAUGUGAGAGAAAUAGCUUACAUCCAAUUUCUGUAUUCAUUUAUUGUAGGCAUUCAAACAUGAAAAUUAGUUAGUGUGAAUGUAGUUUUAUCUGCUUUGCCAAAUUAGCUCGAUAAAAUGCAAAAUAUGAAUAUAACUUUAUAUAACUUAUUUUAUAAAAUGUGCAUGGAAUGGAGGAUGCCUACAAUAAAUGAAUACAGAAAUUGGAUGGAGAAUGCCUACAAUAUAUGAUCCACUUAAGCUACAUUCAUUUACUUACACCCCAACGAUUGUAUUCUUAUUCGAUAAAACUGUAACUGUAAGUGAAUGUUCUUUUACCAAAUUGUAGCGAUAAUAUAGAAUAUGAAUAUAAGUUAAAACUUUAUAGUUUGCUUCUUUUUAUGGCACAAUAUAUUUUCUAUUGUCAUAUAACUUGUAGACGGAAAACGAUGACUAUCCUUUUCCAGUUCACAAUUUGAUUACUUUUUUCUUUGUCUUCAAUCACUAACUUUAUAAGAUUGUUGAAAUAUAUUUGAAGGAGAAUUUUCGCCAAGACCAGAAUAAUCUUUUAACAUUAAAAUAUGGUGAUGAUUAAUUGGAUCAUAUAGAAAUUAAACUUGCUUUUCGUUGGAAACAGAGGAAGCUUUUGGGUGAAGGUAGGCUACCAACAUUAACACACCUAGAUUCUUACGUUAUCGUUUAUUUUUCCUCUUUUAAUUUCUUCCCGCUCAUAUUAAUUAUGAUUUAGACUGAAAGUGAGAUGGAUCUUUUGAUUUAGAUCGAUGUUUUUGUUAAUAUAGAGUUUGGCCAAUAUACCAAAGCCAAACUCUAUACUUAUAGAAUGUCUUUAGUUUUUUUUCUUAGUCUUUUGCAUUUUUAAUAGAUUUUAGAUUCUUAAGAUAAAUCCAUAAAUUAAUAAGAGAAUAUUUCUAUCAUGUUGUAGACGUGUUUAUAUUUGACAAAUAAAAUAAUAUAAAAGGAAUUAACAAUGAAGAAUCUUAUUAAAAAAAAAGUAACAUCGACGAAGUGACAAAAAAAUUGAGUGAUAAAGGGGUUGUGAAGAGGGGAUGUAUCUAAUACGCAUUGUGGGUCCCUUAACCUCAAGUGAAAUUUCCUUUUCUUAACUGAAUUUGAAUUCAUUCAUCAAUUAUUAUACUAUACAACUAGGCAAUAAUCCGCACCUUGCGCGAAAUAUGAUUAUUAGUUUCGUUAUUUUUUAAUAAAGAGACAUUAAUCUAUUUAAUUUGAAUAUCGGUUCGGUUUUAGGUUGAUUUUUGGUUUUUAAUCUCCUAAAAUAUAACUAUCAUUUUAAAUCAAUAUUUAUUUUGUUUGUUCGGUUAAAAUGUUUGAUGUUUUUGGUUUUUUUUUCAUGUGAUAAUUAAAAAUUACUAUUAUUUGUUUGUUUUCAUGUUAUGAAACUUAGAUAGUCGUGAUGUCGAAUCAAUGGUUUCAUAUUAUAGUUUCUAAAUAGAUAAUAGUUCAAAAAGAAAAGAAAAUUGUUAAGACAAAUCAUUUUACUACAAUUUGGUCGAUAGGGAAAGAAGCCUUAAGAAAAAGAAUAUUUUAACUUCAAAAAAAAUUUAGAUAUUUCAGUUGUGGUAAAUAUUUAGUUAUAAAGUGCUCACGUCAAUGUGUCCAUGUAUGUGUAUGUAAAGGUAUAUAAAGAUGGUUGUUAAAUAUAUAAAGAUAAUGUUAAUUAAUAUUAAAUGAUAUUUUUUCAAAAUAAUACAUGAAAAAUAAAAUUCUUAAAAUGAAUUUAUUUAAAAAUAAAAAUACUGUAAAAUUUAUAUAAACUAUAAUAUAUAACUUAUAUAUAAUUCUUUAAAUAUAUGUAUAUAUAUAUAUAUGCAUAUAACAGAUCAAAUUAGAUAUUCGUUCCUAUAAAUACUGAUAUUUGUGGUUUGCUCUUUUUUUUACUGAUAUUGCAUUUUAGUAUUUAAUUUGCUUCGUACAGUAACGAAUAUCCAGAUUUUUCGGUUCAAAUCAAAAUUUUAUGAAUAAUUGUCUAGCUGUAUUCGUAAACAGUAAAAAUAACGUAAAGAAGAACCAUGCAUGUGAGUUUUAUAUUAAAAAAAUGUAAAGUACAUAGUGUGAACAUAUUUAUGUAGUGUUUGGCUGAGAAACUCUGUACAUGUAAUAUGUGUCCAUUUUAGUGUGAACACAUUUAUUACAAUGCUUCUACACGUGACAUGUGUCCAGUUUAGUGUAAAUGCAUUUAUUACAAUGCUUCUCUUUUAAUAUAUAACGGAUUAUACAAAACAUCUUAUUACGAUCCUCAAUCUUAUACUUUGGUAGAUUUUGAUGUUAUUUAUGAUUAAAUUAGCCAUCUUCUUUCAUACAUACUUAAAUAAAUGCGAUAAUCAAUUCUUUUGAACAAGUAGAUAUAAAGGGUGAUUUUAAAACACAAGAGGAAGCAUUUUUUUUUUGUCAUCAAACAAACAAACUCAUAUUAACUAUGUGAACCAAACUGGUAGCUCUGCAUCCAUGUGAACGACGAAAGACGAUUGUUUUCUUGCACUCUGUACUAGAUUAUCCGUCUUUUGAUUCUCCGUUCGGGGUACAUGAAUGAUCUCUGAGCUGAAGAAACAUGUCUUCAGCAUCUUUAUAUCUUCUAGAUAAUUUUCAAACGCCAGCUAUUCUUUUGGUUCCGAAACCAUCUUCACCAAUUGAGAACAAUCCAUAGCAAAUGUGACAUAAUAUUGAUGUAAAUUUCUCAUACACUCCAUCACCCAUAUUAACGCUUCCAUCUCCGAAUGGAGAGGUGAAAGACUUGCCCGAAUAUUCCUUGCACCCAACAAACCAUCAAAUCCCUCAAGAAUAUUAUACCAACCCUCGUCUGAAUAAUACUCUUUAUCUUUCCAAAAACCAUCUAUAAAGCACCAAGGACCUGUCCUCCUCGGACAGUGCCUAACCUCAACUUGUUGUGAUGGCUGCUGAAUAUUCUUCACCUGAGCCUCAGCCCAAAGUUUGGAUUCGGUCUCCGCAAGAUUAAGUGUAUCUCGUGGGUCCAUAUCCAAAUUACUAAAAACUUUGUUAUUCCUACCUUUUCAAAUGUACCAUAAUAUCCAUACAAAAUGAUGAUCUUCCCUCUCCGGGAUAACCCUCCAGAAAAAAUGAUCCAAAUUUAUGAAGAUAGAACUAGUAGGGAAAAGAUCUAGGUUUGACAGUAUCUUUGACAACGCCCAAACUUGACGCAUAGGAGGACAUUAAAAAAAUACAUUAUUUAUUGAUUCCUCAUCAGCUCCACAUCGAGCACAACAUAUAUCUCCUUGAAUUCUUCUCGCUUGCAAAUUCUUUUUUCACAGCCAUACAUCCUGAUACCAUCUAUCAUAGAAAAUGAUUUAUUUUCGGAGGGUAUCUCAAUCUCACCUUCCAACAAAACGCUUUUAAAAUAUCCACUGUAGGACCAUAGACCUACGGUGGUUUUGCCUUAUCCGGAUAGACCCGUUCUAGCUGGUAUCUUGAUUUAACCGAGUAUUUCCUAUUAGUUGUGAAAUGUCAUCCAUCACUAUCCAUCAUCUGGUUUCUACUCAGGAGUAUAAUUUUAAUAAUUUUAGCAUUUUAGGAGUCCACCAGAGCCCAAAUUUUUUGCGUAUUCCAAGUUAGUAAAACUGGAUCAAUGAAAAAGUCUACAAUAGGUAGCAUUGAAUUGGAAUAAACUAUCUACUAUUCUUUCACCUAACAGUUUUUUGUAGUAAUAUAGUUUAGAAAUGUAUUUAAUUGUAUAUAAAUAUAAAUAUAAUUAUAAAUAUAUAUAUAUAUAUCUUAUGAGUUUAUUGAGUGGUAGAUUAGUGGUUGAGUUGUAGUUUUUCUAGAUGGUCAUGUAAAUUUCAAACUCCAUCCAUAUGGUAAUGUAAUGAUAUUACAAAGUAAAAACCAAAAUAAAAACUCUCACUCAGAAGUUCCAGAGCAGUUUGAUUUUUGAAGUCGCACAUUGUCGGAGGAAGCUUGAAUAGUGAUAGAUAAGACAACUCAACUAGAAACUUCGCGAGAUCCAUUUGAAUCACCUCAUUCGUACAUAAAUAAACACUCAUUUUAUUCAAAAAUUCAGAUAUAAGGUUUAAGUUUAACCAGUGUUUAAUUGUUUAUAAUCACCUUCUGGUAACUAUCUUAUUAAAAGGAAAAUUUCAUAAUUACCCAACUAAAUUUCGUUAAAUUUUUUUAUAUCCAAACUUUUAUACUACAUAGUUUAAUACUUCAACUAAUUAUUUUGCUCAGUUUAAUACGCUUGCUUUUAAAACUAUGUUCAUUUUAAUACACAAACUAUGCUAAUUUUAAUAAUAAGUUUUAAACAAAACUUUAAAAAUCUUUAAAUUUCAAAAACAAAAUUUAUUACCUAUUUUCUUUUUUAAAUAACAUAUGUUUGGAUAAUCUUAAUUUUUAUAAUAUUAGUUUUAGUGCUAAUUUCAAUUUUUUUUAUUUUCUGAAGUUUAAAAUAAUUUAUUUAUUUUAUUCAUGAUUAUGGUUUUCUAAAUUUUAAAAUACUAUCUCGUUAGUUUUAUUCCUAAAAAAUUAAAAUAAAGAUUUUUAAAAUUUUAUUUAAAACUUAUUAAUAUCUUUGAUUAAAAUUAAUAUAGUUUGGGUAUUAAAAUAACACAUUUUUAAAAGUAAAUGUAUUAAAAUGUGCAAAAUAAUUACUUGAAGUAUUAAACGGGUAUCAAACUGUGUUGGGUAUUUAACUAAGAUGAGUAAACUUUACAACAUUUUUUAUUUUAUUUUUGUCAUGAAAGUAUCAUUCAUUGAUUAGGUUGUACCAUUGUCAAUAUUUUCUUGUCAACGUACCAAUGUCAAUUUGUAAAGUUGAUCACAAACAGACUAGAAACCAUCUACAAGAAAUAAGGAUUCAACUUUUGUGAAGUAUUAUUGUCAAUUUGUGAAGUUGAUCACAAACAAAUUAUGAAUCAUCUGCAAUAAGAAAUAAGGAUUCAACUUCGGAAAUUGUGUCAAUUUAUGAAGUUGAAUCUUUAUUUCUUCUUUCAGAUGGUUCAUAGUCCAUUUGGGAUUAAUAAGUCAGUUUGUGCUUUGUAUAAACAACUCAAAUCUAGAGUAUUUCGUUCAGUUUUUGUAUCUACAACAGCGGGUGAUGACGAUGACAAUGGCGAUGGCGAUGAAAAUCCAGAUGGGGAUGGGAUUCUUCCUAUUGAUGGGAGGAAGAAUAGAGGAAGACAAUUUACUGAUGAUGUCAAGACAAACAGUUGAUCAAAGCCAAAGUUGUUAGCUGUGAGGUCUGGAGACAAAUGGAAGGUUGAUUGAUAUUGUAACCCGUAUGUUAUCAUCUCUCGGGGGAUCAGUUGCUCAUGUUUAUCAGUAUGAUCAUAUCGUUCCCUGGUGAUAGUUGAUUACAACUUUUAAAGACACACUAAAUUUAUGAUGAAACAAACAAAAUUAACUAAUUAAAUCAUUUAUAAAUGUUUAAAAAAAUAUUUAUAGAAGCUUAUAAACUAACUCCACCUCUUAAAUACUAAAACCUAAACAAUAAUCAUAAAUCUUGAAUCCAAAUAUUAGAGUAUUUUUGAUUGAUCAUAUUUUUUUUCUUUUUUUGAGCAAAGAUUGAGCAUAUAUAUUUUUAAAAUAGUAGCCAACUUAGAAUAUUUCAAGAAAUUUCGCUUAAAAGUAUCAUAUUGGUGUAAAUAUAAAGACUAUCUAAUUAUAUAUGUAAUUAUACUGCUGAUUUUAUUUUAUAUAUUUAAAUUAGGAACUAAAUGGAGUGAAAUGGAGGGUUGGUAUGUUAUCAUCUCUCACGAGGAUCAGAUGCUCAUGUUUAUUAGUAUGAUCAUUUCAUUCUCUGGUCAAAAUCACAUGACUCAAGCCUGGAGAAUUGUCAGGUACUCCAAUCAAUGGUGAAUACUUGGAAUGACGCUUUAUUACAGCUAUAAAUUUGGUUUGUUAAGCUUUUAAACUCAUAUUCUCUGUUUUGGAAGAUAAAUUGUCUAUUUGAAUUUUAGGGUCUGCUGUAGCGAUGAUUCACAAACUCUCAACAAUGGGAUCAUCACAAGAUAAUCAAGAACAGAUAAAGUCGUCUAAAGUAGAUAAUCUUCUUCUUGCAUAGCUUACAUAAUUCAUCAAAGUUAGCUUUUUUUUUGUUUGUUUGUCAAACGAAUUGUCUUGUAACCUCUUGUUAUUUGUGUCUUUGUCUAGUAGAUAUGUUUCUUACUUUGUGAUUACAAAUUAAACUCGAGAGUUUAGAUUUUUUGGUCUCUCGUUUGCCUUUAUUUUGAAGAAGUGUGAAACUUAUGAUGGUCCACAAAACUAGUCAAAUAACACAAGCUACUGAUUGGGGUUUCAUGUGGGACAAACCCAAGUUGAAACCCUCCAAAACUUUUGUACUAUUUUAACAUCUCUGUUUUUUUUUUUUACUUAUUUUUUGGUUAAAAUUGAGACUUUAGGCAUAUAAUAAGAAAACUUUCAGUAGAGUAUCUCAACUUAAAAUAAAUAAAAAUAUAUUAUUGUUCGAUUAUGAAUAUUUCAAAACGAGAAAAACUCAAUCGAAAAUAUCACAAAACGGUGAAAAGUUCAGUCCAAAAUAUCUCAAAUAAUAUAUUUUGACUAAUUUCUCAUCACUCUAAGAUAUCUAAUGAUAUUAGAUCAUUAUUUUAUUUACUUUUUAGAACUACUAAUUUAUUAUAAAAUUUUUGCUCUAGAUCCAUUUCCAUUUUAGUUUUUAUCAUGAUAACUCAAACAUUAAAAUAACUAAAAUAAGAACUUGCUAGAUACUCACAAGAUACUAUGAAAAAUAAUUUGCAUAACAUUAUUGGUCAAAUUUUUUUAAAAAAAUAUUGAAAUUCAAUAGUUUUAUAUAAGUAAACUUAAAAUAACUGAAAUAAAAACUUGCUACAUAAUCACAAAAUACUACGAAAAUAUUUGGCAUUAUAUUAUUAGUCAUUUUCUUAGAAGUAUCUUGAAAUUUAAUAGUCUUAUAGUAAAAACUAUAUAAAGUAAUGAUAUUGGAAUUACGAAAUUUUAUUAUUUUUAGAGUUAUUAAUUUACAAAAAAUAUUUUUAUAUUUUAAAAUAUAUUUUUAAUAAAAUAAGAUAAAUUGUUUAUUUUGUCGUGUAUAUGUUAAUUAAAUUAUUAAAAUUAGACUUUUAUUAUUUUUGUUAUACUAUUUGGUGUAUACAAAAUAUGUUUCAUAGAAUUUAAAUGUAGUUUUUAGAUAUAAUUUGACCUAAUAUUUUCAAAAUAUAUUGAUGUGUUAAGAAAAAUAAAGUUCAAUUUCAUUGUGAAUGUAAAAUAAAUAAUACAAUGAUUUUUUUGUACAUAUAUAAACAUUGUAUGUAUGAAUUAUUAAUUUAUGAUUUUAAUGGAUUAUAUAGAUACAUUGAAUUUUCUAAAAAAAUAUAUUAUCUUAUUUUUUCGAUUUGUGUCAUAUUUUGAACCGGGCAAAUUCGAGACCGAAGAAAUUUAUUAAUUUACUAUGUUUGUAACUGAUCGAGUAUUAAUUUAUAGUAUUUGUACCGUAUAACUGAACUUAAAUAAAAUUAAAAAACACCGAAAGAAUAUCUUAAAGUGAAAACAAUCAUAAAACUAUAAUGUUUACAAGAGAUGAUGCGUAGUGAAGAUGAGAGAAAGGAAACUACAAUGGUUUUGUUUUAUUUAUUUAUAUACAUCAUUACAAGAGAUGAUCAGCUUGCAGUGGUACUUGUAUACAAAGAACAAAGUGUACAAGGCGAGGUAAAUAAUGGAUCUACAAUCUCACUUAAAUCGUCUUCCAAUGGCUUAGAACCUCCAUCUCCUGUCUGGCUGAAUAAUGUUUCUCUUCCAAUGAUGAACAACGAGUGUUUAUGACCAUAGAGAAUUGCUGCAAUGUUACCAACAAAUGAGAGUUUUGGGCGCUUACCCACCUUGAAUCAUCUCACUUCUUAACACAUCUUCUCUCCUUAUUCUGUGAGAGCUAAAAGAGUUACUAGCAUUCUACAUCACUCCUCUAAUUCCAAACUUGGGGUAACCAUAGGGAAUGUUGUCAGAUACGAAUCACCUCUCAUAUCUUUAGCCAAACCCUCAAUGACAUCAUAUAUCUCAUCACUCUGAGGAUGCUCUUGAUCUCUAGACACAAAACAAUUUACAUUACCUGCAACUUCAAUCCCACUACGACCAACUUCUUUCCUUAAACCCUUUUCUCUCAUUCCUCUCCUCAACCUAUCAACACUCGUCCAUUUCUGUUCCUCAGCAUACAUAUUCGAGAGCAAAACCUGAUAUCCUGAAAAGUUCUUCCCUUUAUCCACUUUAGCUAACUUCUCUGAAACAGUUUCAGCAAGCUCAAUCUCACCGUGUACUCUACAAGCUCCCAGGACCGAACCCCAUAGCUCAGCAAUGUUUCCUUCUUCACCAAGCCCUUUAACAAACUCGUAGGCUUCAUCAACGCGGCCUACUCUCCCUAACAUGUCUGUAACGCAGCAAUAGUGCUCAUUGGAAGGCUGGAUGUUAUAAACUUCACUCAUUUCCUCGAAUAUUUUGAGACCUUCAUCCACUAAACCGGAAUAGCUGCAAGCUGAUAAUACUGCAACAAAGGUGACAGCAUCUGGUUUGACUCCAGACUCUUCCAUUGAACGAAACAGCGAGAUAGCUCUCUCACCCAUUCCGUGUUGACCAUACCCCAAUAUCAUCGUGGUGUACGUCACAGAGUUUCUCUCUUUCGUUUGGUAAAACAUGUUUUCUGCGUACUGUAUCGCUCCUGACUUUGAGUACAUAUCAACUAACGCAGAAGCAACAAAUACGUUCUGAUCCAAGUACUGCCUUAUAGAGAAACCAUGUAGCUGUUUACCUAAGUCGAAACUACCUAUCUGGCUACACGCAGGGAGAAUCGACGCCACAGUUAUGGCAUUGGGUUUGAUAUUCUGUUCUAACAUCUUCCUGAACACAGCAAACGUUUCCUCUGUGUGUCCGUUCUGCGUGUACCCGGACAUCAUAGAGUUCCAAGUAGCUUGAUCUCUUUCAGCAUAGCCACUUCUCUCGAAAAGCUUCUCUGAGAUCCUUAUUAGACCUGACUUAGCAUACAUGUCAAUAAGGUAACUGUUCAUCCCCUCGAACUGAAUCCCUUGCCUUAAAAGGAAACCAUGAGUCUGCUUCCCAAUCUCCUUGUUUCUAAGAUUCGACGCAGCCGAAAGCAAAGCAGUCACUGUUAUGUAAUCGAUCUUAAACCCCUGCUUCUGCAUCUCAUACACCAACAUCAAUCCUUCAUCAUCUAAGCCGUUUUGGACAAACGCAGAGAUCAUUGUGUUCCACGUCACAACAUCUCUCUCUCGCAUCGAAACAAAGACCGCAAAGGACUCGUGCACAGAGCCGCACCUCGAGUACAUCACCAUCAACGAGUUGAAUAUCACAACGGGAAGCUCCUGAAAGUUCUUGCUGACAAAACCAUGAAACUGUCUACCUAACUCCACUUGCUGCAGCGCUGAAACUGCACUCGCUGCCAAGAGGAACGUUACUUCGUCAGACACAAUCUCUUUCGAUCCUAUUGCAUCAAGAAAAAGAUCGAUACUCUCAACCAGGUACUCGUUCUGAACAUAGACUCCUAUCAUUGUAUUCCACACCUCAAUAUUCCUCUCUACACAAGAAUCAAACACUCUCCGUGACGCUUCAAUAUCGCCAAGCUCCGCAUACAUAGAAAUAGCCGAGCUCACAACAAACAAGUCCUUCACAUACUCAUCUCCCAACUUAAGCAUCAAACCAUAAAAUACUUUAGCUCUCUUAACACUUCUCGAACUCGCCACCGCGGGGAAGACAUUCACAAAGCUAACCGGACUCGGUUUAAUCUCCAUCCUCAUCAUAAUCCCAAACUGCCUACACGCCUCAGCGUGUCUCUCCGUCUUCACAUACCAAGAAACCAACGUAUUCCACGCCACAACGUUCUUCCUACGCAUACUAUCAAAAACCUUACGCACCACGUCGUACUCGCUUCCAGGAGGAGGGUGGUUCAAGCAAGAAACGUACAUAUUCAACAGAGAGUUAUGAACAACCCUGCUCGAGUUCUGCAAGCACCGGAUCAAAUGGCAAUGCACGGCUUUACCAGCCUUCAGGUUCCUGGUCUCGGCGCAGGCCUUGAGCGUGGAGGAGUAAGUGUAAGGGUCGCAUUUGGUGAAAGGAGCGGUCUUUUUCAUCCGGGAGUAGAAAAGGAGAGCCUCGUGCGGGAGGUUGUUGCAGAUGAGGCCGAUGAUAAUGGUGUUCCAUAGGACGGUUGUUGGUUUGGGAAUUGCGUCGAACAGCUGGCGUGCGAGCUGUGGGUUUCCUUUUUGGCAGAUUCUGCUGAGGCGUGAGCGGAUUGAAGGUGUUUGGGGAGUUGGGUUUGUUGGUGGGGCGAAGGUGGAAGAGCGGCGGGUUUGGUUUGGCGGGGGAGAGUGGAACGAAAGUGGCGGUGGUGGUGGGAGAGGUAGAGCUGAUCCGGCCAUUGUGGAAGAGAUGAUGAAGAACGAAAUGAAGAUACGUUAUUGACUCUCUCUUCCGCUUAUGUUAUCAUCAUCUUUCUUCAGUGAUAAGAGUUUGUUUAUUAUCUAUUUUUUAUAAGAUAGAUUACCAUUUUUCAAAGUACACUAAAUUUGUGAUAAAAAAAAAUAAAAAAUAGACCAACUAAACUAUUUAUUAAUGUUUAAAAAAAUAUUGGGUAAAUAAUCCAUAUUUUCCCACCAAAAAUAUUGGGUAAGAAACUAUCAAUCUCGUCUUAAUUAUAUGUAUCUAUAUUAUUAAAAGAGAAGUACCCAUUUGAAAAUGUUUUUACUUCAUUAAUUAAACUUCCCUUUUUUUUGCUUGUCUUUUUCAGUUGCAUUUAUGAAAUAUCCUAAAACAAAUAAAACUGCCUAAUUGAUUACUUGUCUUUUCAGUUACAUUAAUGAAAUAUGCUUAAAUGAAUUUAAACUUCCUAUUUUAUUGUUUGUCUUUUUCAGUUACCUUAACGAAAUAUCCUUAAAUAAAUUUGGACAUAAUGUCAUUUAAUCAACCAAAAAAACUCAUGAGUUAUCCUUACGUGCAUAAUUUUAAUAAUGGAGAUUUUUAAAAAGAGAAAAUGACACAAAGAACACUAAAUGAAGUUUUCCUCCCCAAACUAGCACUCAGGAUCAGAAUUCACAAAAAUAGGUUUCAUUAAAUGGGCAAUUUACCCUUAUGCCCCCUUCUUUAACUAAUUUAAAAAACAAAUUUGAAAUCAAUUUGUCGCCGUCCUCGUUUCAUCGCUUCUUCUUCUCGUCUCUCCGUCGUCGUCGUCGUCGUCUCUCCGUCGUCGUCUCCCCGUCCUUGUCGUCGUCGUCGUCGUCGUCUCUCCGUCGUCGUCUUCGCCUCUCCGUUGAUCCGUCGUCGUCGUCUCUCCGUUUAUUUAUCGUCGUCGUCGUUUCUCAAUUGAUCUGUCGUUUCUACGUCUAUUCAUCUCAUUCUCUCUCUCGUGUGUCUGAUUUGAUUAAGGUUUGAAUCAUUUCAUUUUGUUAUACAUUAUCUAGGUUUUGUUAUAUAUUAUUCAUUUGUUGAUGAUUUGAAGUUGAUUUUGUAGAACAAUGGAAGUUUUGUGCAUCUGUGGACAAUGGAUCUCAAAAGAAUCUCUCCAGUGGGAGUUUCUUGUUGAUUUGAAGAGGAAUGCAUCAAUCAUUUCCAUAGAAGAAGAUCUACUGUAUGAAGAUUUGAUGAAGAUUGUCUCUGAAGAUUUUAGUGUUAAAGAGGAAGAAAUCAGUUUGAGUUAUGGUUUUUCAUUGGAUAUGAAAUGUAUUAUUGAAAGUUUCCCCCCACUCUCGAUAGGUAAUACUCGUCAGCUCAGAACUUUCAUUUCCAAGACUAGAGCAUUUGAUGGAACCUGUCGUUUGUGUGUUAAGGUUUGUAUGAUUUUUUCUUAGACUUUUCAGGAUAUGCUUCAUAACCAAGUAUUAUGCCUUACAGAACUACUUGACUUAUGCAGGUUAGUACUGAUCCAGUUAGCUGUAACACUCAAGCUUCUGAUACAUUUGCUUCUACUGUUCCAUUGAAUGCCAAUCCAGCGAUUCUUUCUACUGUGCAGAGUGAAAAACAGGUACAUUGUCCUUAAUUCCCUUUUUCUGUUUGUGUUUGCAUGAUAUGCUUCAUAAUCAAGUACUAUGCCUUACAGAACUACUUGACUUUUGCAGAGUCUUCUAUAUGAAGGUGUUUCUACAGUUCCUCUGAAUGCUCUUCCGGAUUUUAGUACUGAUUCAGCUAGCUGUAACAUUCAAGCUUCUGAUACAUUUGCUUCUACUGUUCCAUUGAAUGCCAAUCCAGUGAUUCUUCCUACUGUGCAGAGUGAAAAACAGGUACAUUGUCCCUAAUUCCCUUUUUCUGUUUGUGUUUGCAUGAUAUGCUUCAUAAUCAAGUAUUAUGCCUUACAGAACUACUUGACUUUUGCAGAGUUUUCUAUAUGAAGGUGUUUCUACAGUUCCUCUGAAUGCUCUUCCGGAUUUUAGCCCUGUCCAUAUUGGACUUUCACCAAACACGAGAGUAGCUGGCGAUAUUAAGGUGAAUAGCUAUUUUAAGACAAAGAGAGAGUUGAUGUUGAGGAUGAAGAAAUGGGCUUUAGAGUGGAAGUUUGAGUACAAGACUGUCUCUUCUAACAAGUCAAGAGUGCUUUUGAGUUGUGUUGAUGAAAAUUGCACGUGGAGGAUGCGUGCUAUCAAGCUACCUGUUUCAGAUUUUUUCGUUGUUAAAAAGUAUGUUCAUGAGCAUACAUGCGAUACAACACACAGGAAAGCCAACCACAGACAAGCAUCUGCAAAGUUGUUGGGUUCUUUGAUUUCCAGCAAUUAUGGAGAAAAAAAGGAAGGUCUCAAACCGAAACAGAUCAUUGAACAGGUCAGGAUGCUGCAUGGUGUUCACAUCAAUUACAAACAAGCUUGGAGAGUGAGAGAAGAAGCUCAGAUUUUGGUUAGAGGGACUCCUGAAGACAGCUAUUACAAUUUGUCUAGGUGGUUGUAUAAAAUCACAGAAACAAACCCUGGUUCCUUGACUUAUCAACAUGUUGAUGCUGCAGGAAAGUUCAAGUAUGCAUUUGUGGCUUUUGGUCCAUCGAUAAGGGGAUUUUCAUUGAUGAGGAGAGUUAUUGCAGUAGAUGGUACAUUUCUGAAGGGAAAAUUCAAUGGGACUUUAUUGGCAGCUUGUGCUCAAGAUGGGAAUUAUCAUCUAUAUCCUCUCGCCUUUGCAGUGGUUGACGCAGAAAACGGCGCCUCUUGGAAAUGGUUCUUUAGAGGUUUGAGCCAGAAGAUCCCGGACGCUUCGGAUCUUGUUUUUGUAUCAGACAGGGCUAACUCCAUUUCUUCAGCGUUGGAGGAUGUAUAUCCCUUAUCUCACCAUGGAAUUUGCAGGAUCCAUCUGCUCCGCAACAUCACUCCUACAUAUGCGAAGACUGGGUUGCUACCUCUGGUGGAAAGCGCUGCUGAUGCCUAUACGUGUCACGAGUUCUGGUUAAUCUUCAAGGACAUAAAGGAUAAAUGUCCUGAAUUGGCUAAGUAUCUGGAAGAGUCUGAUUUUAGGAAGUGGGCACGAAGCUAUGCGCCUGCGAACAGGUAUAAUAUCAUGACUACCAACAUUGCAGAGUCUCUCAAUUCUAUGUUGAAGAUGCCUCGUGAGUUGCCCAUUAUCUCUCUCCUUGAAACUAUCAGAUUGACGAUGACCACUUGGUUUUUUGAGCGACGCGAAGCGGCUGCGAAACAUAAGCACCUGGUUACUCCAAAAGUUGUUCAGAAAUUGGUAUCUAGGUUAGGGGCCGCAAUGUUGUUGAAUGUGUAUCAAGUUGAUCGAAGCGAGUUUGAGGUGAAGAAUGAAACAAUGAAGUUUGUUGUUGACUUGGAGAAGCGGCAUUGCACAUGUAAUGUUUUCGACAUUGACAAGAUCCCCUGCAUCCAUGCCAUCGCUGCUGCUAAGCAUAUCAAGAGAGAUGAAAACCGUUUUGUUGAUGCUUCUCACUUGACAGAAACGUGGGCUAAAGCUUAUGCUGAAAGCAUACAUCCUGGUGGAGAGUUGUCAACGUCCACCUAUCCAGAGAAUAUUGAUGAACUGUCUUGCCCACCUCCAGCUACCAAAAAGAAAAGUGGACGCCCUCCUACAAAGAGAAAGAGAUCCGUUGGCGAGUUUGGGGUUCCUGGAUCUAAAUCUCAGUCCCACAAGUGCAGCAGAUGUGGCACAGGAGGGCACAACAAGAUCACAUGCCAGAGGCCUAUAGGAUGAAGUUCUACAUUUUUACAUUUUUAUCGAUUAUUAUUUGGAUGUUUGGCUAUUUGAUGGUUACAUGAUAUGCACAAGACCAUAUACAUUUUUUCUUUUGGAACCCUAUCCUGAAUAAGUAUGAUUUCUUACAACUUUUGUAAUAUACAACAUUAUCUUUUGAUCUCAUUUCAAUUUUUAGUUUAAACUUCUUUGCUAGAAAAAAACACAGUAAUAUUCAACUAUUCUGGAAUCCCAUCCAACUUUUGUAACAUCCAACUUUUGUAAUAUACAAUGUAUUAUACUAUAAAUUGUAUGGGUAAAUUCAAUUAUGUGGAAGCAACUAACAGAUGAUUCUCCUCAGCCUAGCGGCUAAACCACGAAACCUAUGAUACCGAAACAUUUGAUCGACCCGGGUUCGACUCUCCUACGAGUAAUGGGUUUUUUUUUUUUUGUUCAAACAUAUAUCUCAGGAAUCACAUUUGUCGCAAUCGGAAGCCCAUCCUGAACUAUCAAAGAUCUUUCCAAUGUAUUAUACUAUAAAUUGUAUGGGUAAAUUCAAUUAUGUGGAAGCAACUAACAGAUGAUUCUCCUCAGCCUAGCGGCUAAACCACGAAACCUAUGAUACCGAAACAUUUGAUCGACCCGGGUUCGACUCUCCUACGAGUAAUGGGUGAUUUUUUUUUUUUGUUCAAACAUAUAUCUCAGGAAUCACAUUUGUCGCAAUCGGAAGCCCAUCCUGAACUAUCAAAGAUCUUUCCAAUGUAUUAUACUAUAAAUUGUAUGGGUAAAUUCAAUUAUGUGGAAGCAACUAACAGAUGAUUCUCCUCAGCCUAGCGGCUAAACCACGAAACCUAUGAUACCGAAACAUUUGAUCGACCCGGGUUCGACUCUCCUACGAGUAAUGGGUGAUUUUUUUUUUUUGUUCAAACAUAUAUCUCAGGAAUCGAAGAGUCUCUUCCAAACGAUAUCAUGUAACUCAGUAACCGAAGAGUUUCUUUUCGUCAAGAUUGGGUGUUAUAUGAUUGGUUAUUUCAGUAACUGACUUCAAUAAUCGAAGAGUUCCACAAUAAUCAAGAGUUUAUUUUAACUGACUUCAAUAAUCGAAGAGUUCCUUUUUGUUCUAUAAAUAUAAGGGACGAUAUCAGACCUUUUAUUCACUCACUUCAUUUCGCUUGAUAUAUCCUUUUGCAAUACAAGUUAGUUUUCGAUUUUUCUCAUUUUCCAUUCAAUUCAUGAACUUUUUUCUAUUUCUAUUUUAUCGUAACAUCUUAGUUUCGAUUUUGUUGCAGGACAAAGUUUCAAUGGAAGGAAGUUCAAAGAAGAUGAUGAAGCGUCCCAUAGAGGAGGUUUACGGAUGUGAUGCCGCCGAAGGUUUCAAGAAGGGGAAGAAGGAAACUGUGGAACAUUACAGGGCUCUUCUUCGUUUGUCCAACGAAUACAGGCUAUCUGAGAAUGAUUGGAAUCUUGCAUCCAGCAAAGCAAAUUCAAUUGCUGUCCAAAUCGAGUUGCUUGAAGAUAUUAUCAAAGCUGAUGGAAAAUUUGAUUUAACUGCUGAGUUGGAGAAACUCAAAGAAGAGCACUCGGAAGCGGAAGGAAUGCUUGCUGAUGUGAAGGUCAAAGUCCCUGAUUGGGAUAAACUUGGCGAAAGUUGGCUCCAUCAUGAGUAAUUUCAUGUUAUCGUCUUCUCUUUUUAUGUUUUUAAGGACCACAUUAUGUUUGAUUUUCAGUUUUUAUUUUAAAUGAAUAAGCACUUUUGUUUCUCUUGUGUUGUUUCUUCAAUUAACAACCUAAAUAAAAAACUUGUUCAAUGUUUUUCACUAUUUUGUAAUGGUUUGGCCUAGUGUUCUUAUAACUUGGUUAUCUGAUUUGCUUAUUUGUUUUUGGAAAGCCAUCCUGAAUACAUAAAAUGAUAUCCAGAUUAUAUAAAUCUAUCGUCUGUGAAUAAAUGAGUUCACAUUUACUCUGUUAUCGAAUAUCCAACGUAGCCUAGUGGCAAGCCCUUCUACUCUUAGUGUACCCUUAUCACACAAUAAGUCGUGUUCGAUCCCCGUUGUGUAUACUCACAUUUUUUUUGUUUUUAAUUAAAUAUUCAAACGUUAUUUUCGUUUUAUUGUAGCUUUUGGCAAGUAUAAGACCCUUGGUACAACGGCUGCACACUUGGAUUAAUCUAUCGAGAGUUCACGAGUUCAAUCAACAUCAGAUCACAUUCUUUUUCAUUUUUUUUUUGUAAACUUUAAAGGAAUUUGUUUUUGGAAAGCUAUCCUGAAUACUUAAAAUGAUAUCCAGAUCAUAUAAAUCUAUCGUCUGUGAAUAAAUAAGUUCACAUUUACUCUGAUAUCGAAUAUCCACCAUAGCCUAGUGGCAAGCCCUUCUACUCUUAGUGUACCCUUAUCACACAAUAAGCCGUGUUCGAUUCCCGUUGUGUAUAUUUUCACUUUUUUCUGUUUUUAAUUAAAUAUUCAAAAGUUACAAGUUAUUAUCGUUUUAUUAUAUCUUUUGGCAAGUAUAACACCCUUGGCACAGCGGCUGCACACUUUGAUUCAUCUUUCGAGAGUUCACGAGUUCAAUCAACAUCGGAUCACUUUCUUUUUCAUUUUUUUUGUAAACUUUAAAGGAAUAUGCUAGGCUUUGGUGCAUUUUGCUUUCUCACUCUUUUUCUGGAAACCCAUCCUAAAAGUACCAUAAGCAUUUGACAAUUCAUCAAUACAUCCUAAAAAUUUUUCAAUAACAAUCUAAAUGAAAAAAACGUUAGGGAUAAUUCAUUACAAACUUAAACUUAAACGUUAGGGAUAAUUAAUAUCAAAGUAGAAAAACAGUGUAGAAAACAGAACAAAUAUGACAUUUUCACUUCCUUUGACCUUCCUGGAAAUCUUUAUCCAUAAACUGGUCGAAGAUCUCACAACAUAGCUUGCUUCGUAAGUCCAUCGCAGUUUCAUCAUUUAUAUUAGCCAUGCUCUUCAAUCCCAGUGACCUGCAUUCCAGCAUCUUCACAACAAAAAUACCACAGUUGUAUGGAAAUUUUGUCUUUGGAAGCCCUUCUGCAAACUUAACUUCAAAUGGACUGAUAUCUUCGAAAUUAACCUCUUCACCAAGAAGUUCCAUCUUUAUGGCACUAAUCAACACUGUCAUAAAUACCCAAAAUUAUACAAUAAAUCAAUCACCAACAGACAACAAAAUGAAUAUGUAAAAAUGCAUCACAAUCACAAGCAGCAAGUGACAAACUUUUAUUUUCUAAAUUAGCUAAUAUUUUUACCUGCCAGUUCUUGGAUUUGAUUAAGAGCACGUUUGAUAUUUGCUUUUGGAAGACCACAAUGGAAGAGUGUGAUUGUGUUGUCCAUCAAUUGUAUCUCCACCCCAAUAUAGUGACAGCUCAACUUAUCUUCAAUGACACCAUAUAUAACAUCAACAUCUUCCAGCCAUACCUUCUUUGGAUGUAUUAAACCUUUCACAAGUUCGCCUACACAGCCCUCCAAUAACUUUUUUUUUUCUUAUGUGGCUUCCUGACAGAUUCAUAAGCGUACCCAACCUCUUCUAAGAAUUUGACUGGUACAAAGCAUGCUGGUGGAAGAUUGUUGUUGCGGAACCAAGCACCUUGCUCAACCCUCUUACAAUUUAGCAUUUCAAAUGCAACAUUUAUGUGCUGCCAAUGUAACAAUAUAGUUAGAAACUUCAUAUAGAACUGCUAUAACAUGGACAUCUAGCAUAGCUCAACUCAACCUCUUCCUAAACAUAUCACACAAUCAAAUAGAAGACAGAACAGAGUGUUGAUUACCUCUUUGUUGAGAUUGUUUUCUGCAUCGUCCAUUUUUUGAAAGAACUCUUUUUCAAUUUCUUUUCCAUUGAUAUAAAACGGUCUGUAGUUGAUAAAAUUAACUAGUAUCAAUCGAAACUUUUACAAAAUAAAUUAGGAAUAUUUAUGCGAGGACAAAAAGUUGCUUACACACGAUAUAUGCCCCGUAGAUCCAUCCAGUGUGUAAGCCUUGAAAACCGAGGAAAUUCAGGUGUCACAAAUGGAUCAAUUGGAAGGAUUACCUCAGGUGUUACAGGUAUAGGAGGGUUUCUAGGUCGUAUUGGCCUCUUCUCUUCUCGCUGUAGAAAAGGAAGCAAAUCUACUGGCUGAGCAUUUGCUUUCUUCUUCUUACCAACAUGUGGCUUCCCCUUUAAUUAAAAAUAAAGACAAAAAUUCAGGAUCGUUUUUAUCUUUAUACUUGAAUGCCUUCCUAAUAUGAAGUAAAAAUAUUUUUUAUACCUUUUUUGCAUGAUCGUCUUGACUUGGUUUCACACUCUUACCCUGCUUUACUUCUAUCUGUGAAACAAAACCGAUAUAUCAAACUAUUGACCUGAACUUCAAUUCAAGUGGAUCUUAUUCAUUUUUAUUACCUCUUUUGCCAUUUUCCCAACACCAUCUUCUGAUGGACCAGCUGCUUCAUUUUUCUUACAAGCGACAGCCUUCGCCUUCCCCUUUUUGAAUGACAAAAAUUCAGAUACAUUUAUAUCUUAAUUCCUAGUAUGAUGUAUAAAUAUUUCAUACCUUUUUAUCACCAUCUCCUUCACUUGGAUUCACACUCUGCGUCUGCUCUUCUUCCAUCUGAAAAUCAAUACCGAGAUAUUAAACAAAUGACAUUAUUUUUCAAUUCAAGUGAUCCAAGGCAUUUGUUUUACCUUUUUUGUCAUCUCCCAAACACCAUCUACCCAUUUUCUUGGUUUUCGCAUCUCAGAAUGGUGGAAGUAAAUUUGUUCUUUAGAAUUGUUCAAAGAGACAAAACACGAGCCAUCAAACAAAAUGACUUUAACUUUUCCAGCGCACCAGGCACCAUUGUCGAACGCCUCCACGUCCUGCAUUAGCUCAUAACUUUUCUUCGCUCCAGAUCUCUCAGGUGGUGGUUGAGGACGUAUUCUGUCAAUUGAUACACGUGUCUCAACACUCCUUUUCCUCUUCUUUUCGUCCAGAGACGGGACGAAGUACUCAACUUUCACCAUCUCAACCCCAUCAACCAAAUAUGUUGCCAACACAUUUCCUGGAUACCAUUUAUGACAAGUAUUGUCAUCUUGUGAUGAAAUCUCCACAUUUGCUCCGAUCUCAAAGGGAUUUUGAACUCUGCUUUCUACAUCCUGUGAUGGUUUAGAUUCAAGGAUAUCCAGUCAUUUUGAUAGUUGCUGAGUAUUUAUUAAAGGUUUUAAUGAAAGUAAUACCUUAUUUUGCUCUGUUAAAAGAUUUCUGCGAGCUCGGGUAUUUGGCUGUGUGUCGGAAAUGUUUGGUGAAAUGAUCUCAUUCAUAAGCUCGUGAGUCUCCUGAAUUCAGGAAUGGUUGAAUGAACACGUACAAGGGCUUCCAAAAAUUACUUGAAAAGUCCAAUUUUUUAAAGAAGGUACCUGCUGCGUCUGAAUUGGAGUAAGGACUGGAGUCUCAAUAUUCUGUUGAGCUAUUGGAGAACCAGGUGUCUCUUUCGUGAUCUCAUUCAUAGGCUCUCGUGUAUCCUGAUGUCAGGAAUGGGAUUAUGAACACGUACCAAAUUCAUAAUUUUAUAAAUACCAACAGUUUUCAAAAUUAUACUUGCCUCAUUGUUAAGUUGUUCAUCUGCUUGAUCUGCAUUGGCUUCACCUUGUCUGGAAGCCGUCUCAUGAAAUGGAGUUGUGUCAGUCUGUGCAAGUACAACAAAAAUUAGGAAGGCAAGCCUAAAUAUGUAUAACAUCUUCCAAAAUUACUUGACAACUCAAAACUGAAUCAAGAACUAGAUAAACAUUAAUUUUAAUUUCCGAAAAAAAAGUUACCUCAUUGUUUGGAGUUUCAUAUGAAGUAACUCUUUGUAGUUUCUCUAGGUUUGUCACACGUUCUUUAAUCUGUUUCCUGUCUUUUUCAAUCAAACACAAACGAUCGUUCAUGAUCCUUAAAUUAUCUCCCACCAUCUCGCUGAUUCUGUUGAUCUUUGAUUCCAAAGACUCCUCCUGAUACGAAGUAGAAGCUUGACUCAUCCCUCCAUUCCCAAACAGUAAAGAUGCUCUUCUUAUUUCUUCAUUAGCACCGUAUAGGUCUACUGACAUGUUUCGCCAAUCUCUAAUUUUAAACUUAUAACCUCUCUUGGAUAAAUCGGCCAUGUCAUCCAGAUCUUUAUUAGCUUCGUCUCCCAUGCAAACAUCAUCUUCUGGAUCAUUAGAAAUAGGAGGUAGGAUGCAUGUGACCUUAAGCUGAAACCAUAAAAAUAAUUAGCUUUUAAAUGGAGAAUCAUAAGGCAAAACAGAAACAAGAAAAAAAUAAUGUAAAAACUUACAUGAUCUUUGAUUUCAAUUAGGAGAACAUCUAUCAGCUGUGGAGAAGCUAUUUGAAGGUACUUCUCACACAAAAAUAUUGGGGUAGACGGUUGAACGCUCAGAAUAGGAACAACUUGACUGAAUGCAUACUGUAGCAAAGGUACUGACUCAAGUAUCCAUAUAAGAAAUGCCAUAGGGAACCCUUGCAAAUCAUAAUUGUUUUUGUCGAGGCUUUUGUCGACAGCUCUCUGAAGUGAUUUUAACAGCAAAUUAUAAGCUGUUCUCCCCCAUGGGUAUGUCAUCAAGACAUCCAUAUCCUGCGCUAUUUUCACAUAAUCCAAAGUAAAAGUUGUGCCACCGUCGAGAAGGCUCUUCUGUAGUAGUAUGCUCUCAAUCAGGAGGAGCAUUGCAAGGCAGAAUCUCUCAUCAGAAGCAUCUUCUCUUGUGUUUCUGAGCUGCUUCUCCACGUCCUUUACUGUAUGAGUACGCCCUUUUAGGAAGUCCCACUUAAAUUUCUCGGUUCCCUCUCGUGGUUCUCUUGCUUCACCACUACAUUUCAAACCAGUCACCAUGUGGAAUUCUCUUAUAGAGAACCUCAUUGGCUGAGCACCAAAAUGGAACCAUGCUUCGUGUCUCUUCACUGUCUUGAUGCUUUUGGUGAGAACUGCGUGCACUAUCUUAGCUGAUAAUUUCAAAGACCUCUCUCCAAGCUUGAUCACCGGUCCCAAAAACGUCCCUCUUAUUCUGUUGAACUCAUCAUUUCCUAGAAUUUCCUUAACAGUUUUGAUAUAAGCAACUAUCGAGUGUUGGUUUAUCGAUAUCGUCUUCUCUGGCUCUGAUCCAAUCGGAUACCUCAGCUCAGGCAGUGCUAGUCUUAAUGGUAAUGGAUCUCCCAUCUUGUUUCUAUCCUGCGUAAACAAGAAAAAUUUUAUUUGUCUAAAUUAAUUAAAAUCCAAUUUUCAGGAAGGGUUUCCUGAAAAAAAUACAAAUCCUUCCCGAAGUCUAUACACAUGCUUUCACAUGAACUAGAAUUCUACGAAUCAUAUUAGGUUAAAACGAGCAAGUCUAUACACAAGCAAAAACCAGGAGACCAAUCUCUCAGAAAGAAAACACACAUAAGGUUGAAUCUGCAACAUACCUUCAAGAGAUAGAGCUCUAGAAAUGGUUUUUCUCGGAGAAUAGAGAGAGCUCGCGUAAAAGAUCGAGAGAGAGAGAGUUCUGGAGAUGGGUUUUCGUCGGAGAUCGAGAGAUAUGGAGAUGAGAGAGAGAUUCGAGAGGCGGAGACGAGUGAGAUUCGAGAAGUUUGAAACGGCGAGAGUGUUGAGACGGCAAGAGUUUUGUUUUUUUUCAAUCGAAAUGUAUUGUUUUGGAAACCUAUCCUAUAUUAAUUGGGUUAAGUAUGCUUAUGUAAUAUUCUUUAACAGAUGAUUCUCCUCAGACCAGCGGUUAAACCAAGGCUUUUUAUAACUCAAAAGUCUCUCUAUCCCCGGGUUCGAUAUGUGGUGGAUUCAAAAUCUAUUUUAAUUCUUUUUUGUGUUACAGUUUGGAGUUAAAUAAAAUUAAAUGUAAUCCAUAACAGAUGAUUCUUCUUGGCCUAGUGGCUAAACUCCCACACUAUCCAAAUACGCAGACUCUCUCCCUCUGGGUUCGAUCCUUUGUGGUUCUAAAUUUUUGUUGUCUGUAAACAUCACAAUUUUAAGCUUACCAUAUACAUGUCCAAUCCUUAGUAUAUAAUCUCAUUUCAUUCUUUUUUACAUUUGAAACACUUAACUUUUUUUCUGGAAACCCAUCCAGAAACAAUAUUUUAACCUUCCAAGAUAUAUGAUACCCAAAUAAAAUACUUGAUAUCCUUCCAAUCUUUCUUAUGUAACCAGACGCCAACAACAUAACAAAAUAAACAGUCAUAACUAAAACCGAGUCUUAACUAAAACAAAAAAUGUUUUCAUGCAUCAUUCUCAUUUCCCAAAGCUCUCAUCCACAAAUUGGUUGAAGAUCUCACAAGACAAGGUUCUCCUUAGCUCCAAUGCAUUGUCAUCAUUAAUCUUUGUCAUGUCUCCUAUCUUCAAUGACUGGCACUCCAGAAUCUUGACAAGAAAUAUCCCACAGUUGAAAGGAUGUUUUGUCUUGGGUAAACCUUGUGCCUGCUCAAUCUCAAAUGGAAUCAUCUUCACCUUAUCUACCUCAUCACCAGAAGAUUCCACCAGCAGAUUAGAAAUCAACACUGUCAUAUUUAAAAAUCAAUAUCAAGAUAGAAUCAGUUGAAUAUUUCAAACCAAGAAACAGAUGAAUACAUCAAAUACAGAUUGUUUAUACAUACCUGCCAACUUUUUCACUUGAGGAAUAUCAAUGCUGUUGCUUUCCUUUUGAAAACAAUCAUAUACUGUGAUUCUUUUCUUCUUCAAAUGAAUUUCCAUCCCAAUCCAGACAUUGCUUUUUUUUCCAAGAGUAAUCCCAUACACAACAUCAACAUCUUCUCCCCAUGUCUUCUCUGGAUAUACCUUCCCUCUCACAGUAUCUUUAAAUAAAUCGUUGAAAAUCUUUUUACCUUUGACCUUUUCUUUCUUGUAAGCCAAAUCAUCAGAGAGCAAGCAAUGCAAGAACUCCAUAGGUAGGAAGCACGCCUUUGGAAUCUUGUAGUUGUGGAACCAAGCAGCAUUCUCAUUUCUUCUGCAAUUUAGCAUUGCAAAGGCUCCAUCAAUGUGCUGCAAAAAAAAAGGCAAACAUUAUCUAAUUUGUUACUAUAUAAUUUCCUGAAACUAAACAAAUCCUUCCUGAAUUUUUUUUUAAAAAAAAAGCUCAAGGCAAGAACAUAUGUAAACAAAUUACCUCUUUCUUAAGGUCCUUUUUUGCAUUUUCCAUGCUUUGAAAGAAAGAUUUCCUUAUCUUAUUAUCAUUGAUUGAUAGGGACCUGCAGUCGAUUAAAGAUUCAAAGGAAUUACCAAACCUCUUAUACAUAAAUAUAAGAAUAUAUAGACAAGGACAGAAACAUGCUUACGUUUCAUGCAUGCCGGGCUUUAAUGUCAUCCAAUUUUGAAGCCUUGAAAGCUUAUGUUCCGCAGGAGUUGAAAACGGAUCAACUGCAGGUAUAAUCUCAGGUAUUACAGUUAAAGCCGGAUUUCUGUCAGACUUGAAUGGAGUUUUUGUGUCUCUAGAUCGUUUAGGCACCCUCUCGCUCCUUCUUAGGAAAACAUUAUCCAUUCCUGAAUUUUGUGAUGAGGCAGCAGCUUUCCUUUUCUUAUCAGGCUUCACCUUUAAUCAAACAAUAGACACCAAGCAAAAUAUUAUCAAAUUUGUUGCAAUCGGAAUUUCUGGAAACCAUUCCUGAAACUAAAAUGUAUGUAUAUCAAACAAUUCACGUGAAGUAUAAUUCUAGUUAUGAUUUACCUUAUCUGCCAUCUUCCAGACUCCAUCUUUCCAUUCUCUAUGAAUUCGCAAAUCUGAAUGUUUGAAUAGAAUAGUUUCCAUAGAAGUAUAGAGACACACCGAGUAUGUGUUAUCACCAAGUACCAUGCUAAUUUGUCCGCUGCUCCAGCCAUUGUUGUAGAAGGCUUCUACCUUAUCCAUCAUCUCAAAGGAUUUUUGGUCACUAGUUGGUGUUGCAGGACGUAUUUUGUCAGCCGUGAUAGUAUCCUGAAGUUUCUGAAGUCUAUGUUGGUCUGUGAAGAGUGUCGUGUACUCAACUGUCAGCUCCUCUAGUCCUUCACACAGUUUAAGAUCAACAACCUUUCCUGGAUACCAUAUUUCGUCAUCAGUAGACAAAAUUUCAACCUCUGCGCCUAUUUGAAAGUGAGCUAGAAGCCUGCUUACUUCAACCUAUUAAAAAUGAAGAUUCAGUAACAUCAGCGGUUUUAAAUUGUUAGAAUAAUAAUUAAAGAUCAAAUAUACUCGAUGCAUACCUCGUUUUUUUCUGAAAAAUCUAUAGCACUUGUCUGAAGAUGCUCUGUUUGCUGAGUAAUAGGCGGCAUCUUCGAAACAUAUGUGGAAACUAGCUCAGUAGUAGGUUCUGUAGUAUCCUUGAGAUUUUCUUCUGCUUGAUUCUGCUCUGAUGGUGUCUCAUCGGAUUGAUCUCCCUCACUUGUCUGAAGGUGCUGUGUUUGCGGAGUAAGAGGCUGUGUCUUCGAAACAUCUGUGGAAACUAGCUCAGUAGUAGGUUCUGUAGUAUCCUUGAGAUAUUCUUCCGCUUGAUUCUUUCUGCUUGAUUGUGAAUGCUCUCCUUCACUUGUAGAAAAAUAUUGGGUCGCAGUUUCUGUCUCACUCUAUAAGACAAAAGUAAAUGGUAAGAGUUAGUUGAAUAGAAAAAUAUUACCUAAACAUUUUAAAUAUUUCUUCUUACCAAAGCAUUCUUAUUUUCUUCAAUAACUAGUGCAAUUAGUGAAGACAAUGGAGAGGAAGGUCUGUAAUGCACAGCAUGUGUAUCCUCCUGUAAUAACAGUAAAAUAAAAGAGGUAGUUAUGAAGAAGUUUCUACAAUUUAAAAUUCAAGUUGUACUUAUGAAAGACAUUUCUAUGCUUACCUUUUUAUUGUUUGCUGAAAUGAUCUCAGUCAAUGGCUGUGUAGCCUCAUACGUUUCCUCUGUUACCGUCUGCAAAAAAAACAAAAAAAAGUCAGGUAGGGGAUCAAAAACACGUACAAAAGCUUUCAAACAUUACUUGAAAUCUCCAAGAUUUUUUGAACAUUUACCUGCUGUUUCUGAAUUGGAGUAAAAACUUGAGCCUCAAUACUCUUUGGAGAUAUUGGAGAAGAAGGUGUCUCAUUCAUUUCCAGUGUUUCUUUUUGCAAAACUUGAGUCUGAGCAGCAGGUGACUCAAUCACAAUCUGCAAAAAAUAUCAGGAAAGGCCAUCAUGAAUACAUUCAAUUAUAAUUUCUAGAGUAAAUAUUACCUCAUCAUCUGGUUUUCCUUCUCCUUGAUUAGUUUUGGGUGGCGUUUCAUCAGUAGAGGUUUGUGUUUCCCUCUGCCAAAAAUUAGAAAGGUCUAUAUAUGUAAAUCACCCAAAACUAAUUGUAAACUCCAACUGUCAUUGAGCAUAUACCUCUUUUGUCAGAUUAGGAGUAAAAACUUGAGUAUCAAGGGCAGGCGUGUCAUCCGAUGGCUCUCUCUCAAUCUGUAAAAAUUAUCACGAAGUCAAUCCAGAGUACGUUCUAAAGCUUCCAAACAUUAACUUAAAAAUCCAAGAUUUUUUUUGACCAUGUACCUGCUGAGUCUGACUUGGAGUAUAAACGGGAGUUUCAAUACUCUUUGGAGCUAUUGGAGAAGAAGGUGUCUCAUUCAUUUCUACUGUUUCUUUCUGCAAAACUUGACUCUGACUAGCAGGUGACUCACUUGUUAAUUUCUCUCUCACAAUCUGCAAAAAAAUAUCAGGAAUGGCCAUCAUGAAUACAUUCAACUAUAAUUUCUAGAAUAAAUAUUACCUCAUCAUCUGGUUUUCCAUCUUGAUUAGGAUUGGAUGGCCUCUCACCGGUAGACGUUUCUGUUUCUUUCUGUCAAAAAUCAGAAAAGCCUUUAUAUGUAAAAAAAAAUCACCCAAAACUAAUUUGUAAACUCCAACUGUGAAAACAAUAUCAUUGAGCAUAUACCUCUUUUGUCAGAUUAGGAGAGAAUACUUGAGUAUCAAGGGCAGGAGUUUCAUCAUCUGAUUCAUUCAUUGUGUCCUGCAAAAAUCAAGAAUGCAUUCUAGAAUAUGUACAAAAGCUUCCAAAUAUUACUUCAAAACUCAACAAUAUUUUAUUGGUUACAUACCUCAUUUGUCAAAUUAGGCUGUUGAGACAUUGGAGAUAAAGGCGUCUCACUCGAUGAUUGCGUGUAAUCCUGCAAAAAUCAGGAAGGCAUUCAGGAUUUUGUACAAGAAUUUCCAAAUAUUUUCUUAAAAAUUUUUGAGCAUAUACCUCAUUUUGUUGAGACUUUGGAGAUGCAGCUGAUUCAAUCAUUGUCUCCUGCAAAAAUCAGGAAUGCAUUCAAGAAGUACAAAAGCUUUCCAAAUAUUACUUCAAAACUCAACAAUAUUUAUUGGUUACAUACCUCAUGUGUCAAAUUAGGCUGUUGAGACAUUGGAGAUAAAGGUGUCUCACUCGAUGGUUGCGUGUGAGACAUUGGAGAUAAAGGUGUCCCACUGGAUGGUUGCGUGUGAGACAUUGGAGAUAAAGGUGUCCCACUGGAUCGCUGUUUGUCAAAUAUUAGGAAGGCAUUCAAGAAUAUGUACAAGAUCUUCCAAAAAAUACUUGAAAAUGCAAAUGUAAAAGAAGAUGUUUUGAGAAUUUACCUUUUGUGUCACGUUAGUGGGAAAAACAUUGCUGUUUCCUUCCAACUCUGACACACGAGCUCUAAGAUGUAUGUUUUCUUCUUCCAGUAAUGACAUUCGAUCCUUCAUGCUCUUCAGAUUCUCCUCCAUUACCGUGAUGAUCCUGUUCACUUUUUCAUUUACUGAAUCCUCAUCAAUCGGAGUAGAAGCUUGGCCAGUCUCCUUAUUUGCCAUCAUUUGAAUAAGAGCAUCCAAUGUGUCAAAUGUGUCUACACACCUAUUUUCCCAGUCAUCGGCUGUAAUCUUGUACCCUUUCUUUGUUACAUCUUUCACUGUUUCCAACUCGUCACUAUAUUUGUCUUCAAUGGAGAUAUCAUCUUCUGGAUCAUGAGGAAUAGAAGGUAGUAUGCAAUGGACCUUCAGCUGAGAAUAUUUCAAAAAAAGACCAAUGAGAAACAUAUUAAAAAGAAGAAGCCAAAUAAACUGAGAAACAUAUACUUGGAAAAGCUUACCUUUGUAUCAGCUUCAACCUGUAAAACCCUAUCAAGUGAUGGAUUCUCUAUCUCAGUGUAUUUUUCACACAAGUAAGUCGGCCCAGGAACCUCAACUGUUGGUACACACUUACUGAACUUAUUCCUUAGCAAAGGAAUCGACUCUAGUAUCCAAAGAAGGAAUACUAGAGGAUAACCUUGCAACUCAAAUUUGGAUUUAUUCUCCAAAUGAUUCGCGACAGCGUUUUGAAUUGACUUCAGGAGCACAAUGUAAGCCUCUUUUCCCCAUGGAUAUGUCAUAUCCUGUGCAUUUUUCGCAUAUUCCAAAGGAAAACUCCCUCCUUUGCUCUUCCGCAAUAAUAUGCUCUCUACCAGGAUGAGCAUUGCGAGGCAUAUUCUCUCCUCAGAAGCAUCUUCUCUUGUGUUUCUGAGCUGGUCCACCACGUCACUUAACUUAUGACUACGCCCCUUUAGCAAUUCCCAAUUAAAUCUCUCGGUUUCCCUUCGUGGUCCUUCUAAUGCACCACUACAUUUCAAGCCUGUCAUCAUAUGAAAUUCUCUUAUAGAGAACCUCAUUGGCUGCGCACCGAAAUGGAACCAGGCUUCAUUCUCCUUGACAGAAACGAUGCUUCUAGUGAGAAUGGCGUAGACUAUCUUUGCUGAUAACUUCAAUCCUCUCUCACUGAGCUUCAUUACAGGUCCCAGAAAUGAUCCUCGGACUCUUAUCAUCUCAUCUGGUUUUAGGAUGCUUUUGACAAUAGAGAUAUAAUCUGAACCAGAGUAUUGGUUGAUUGCUGACUUUUCUUUUGGCUGUGAACCAAUAGGAUACUUCAGCUCUGGCAGUGCUAGUUUUAGAGGUACUGAAUCUCCCAUCUUGUUUCUAUCCUGCGUAAACAAGGAAAAAAAAAAUUUCAAACUUUUCUGGAAGGCUUUCCUGAAAUAACACAAAUACAAAACAACACAAAAGUCUUCAUUUGCUUCGCUUGUUAAUAAGAACGAGUAACACACAAAUCAAAAUCAAAACGCAAGCUUCCCAAAUUUUAAUUCAAAAACCCUAAUUUUAAAAAGUUACCGAUUUUGAGAGUAGAGAGUGUGACGCUGAUGAUUAGAUAGCCGGAGAAGAUGAUUAUCGAGCCGGAGAAGAUGAUUAGCGAGCCGGAGAAGACGAUUAGCGAGCCGGAGAAGAUGAUUCCCGAGCCGGAGACUUCGAUUCCCGAGUCGGAGAAGAUGAUUCCCGAGCCGGAGACGACGAUUCCCGAGUCGGAGAAGAUGAUUCCCGAGCCGGAGACGACGAUUCCCGAGUCGGAGACGACAGUGCCGGUGAGGGUUUGAAGAUUCCCGAGAGGAGACGACACGAUUCGCGAUCGAAUGAAAUGAAAUGUUUUUUUUUUCUAUUCUUAUAACAAAGGGUAUAAAGGUAAAUUACCCCUUUAAUGAAACCUAUUUUUGUGACUUCUGAUCCUGAGUGCUAGUUUGGGGAGGAAAACUUCAAAAGGUGCUAUUAUUGACAAUUGCCCUUUUAAAAACGUGCAUCAUUAAAAUGUUACCUAAAACAUGCAACACUAAUAUAUAACAUGCAUCAAUAAAACUAGAAUUUGACUCACACAAUUGUACGGAUAUUAUUUUCAGUUGAUUAAAUUUAAAAAUAAUUAUUUAUUCAAAAAAUAUUUAAGAAUGGCUAUGUUUUUAAAACUUAUAUGGUAUUAUUUGCUCAUAACUCAUUUGUCAUUUGAUAAAUUGUUAGAAAUAAAAAUUUUAGCAUAAUAUAACUCAGUUGUCAUUUGCUAAAUUUAUAGUUUUUAUUUAUAUUUUUUAUUAUUUAAUUAUAAUAUUUUCAUUUUAUAUUUGAAAGAUAAAUGAAUUUUCUUUCAAACAAUAUUUUUGUAAAUGUAUUUUUUAAAAAAUAAUCAACUAAAAUUGUUAUUAUCAUUGAAUAUAAUUAUUUUUGACAUAAUUUGAGUUUUCGUUUACAUCAAAACUUAUCAUAUUUUAGGAUAAUUUUAAUUUAAAAUGUAAUUUUCAUAUUUUUCAAACAAAUUCUAAAAAUAUUUUUUUAAAUAUUUUGUUAUAAUUGUUAAAAAAAUAUUGAGUUGCAUUUCAAAUAAAAAGGUAAAGAUAUUAAAAAUAUUCUAAUUAAAAUAUGUAAAAUUUAAUAUAGUUUUAAGGAAAUUGUCAAAAUAAAAAAAAUUACACAUAAAAUAAUCAUGAUUUUUGUUAACUGGGCGGAUCAUUAUUUAUAUGAUAUCGCACACGAAAGAAAAAAAAAUUUAAAUUAUCUAAUUAACUCUAUACUCAUUUUAUUUAUAUUUUUAUAUGGUAUCAUACAUUCGUAAAAAAAUAGAUAGUUUAAGAUGAAAAAAAAUAUAUUUACUUAAUGAAUAUAAUAUGAACGAAUAUUACAAAUACAUCAUUUAAUAAAAUAAAUAAUUAAAAAGUGAAAAUUCAUACCCGCGCUGGCGCGCGGAUCAGGAUCUAGUUUUAAAUUAUUCUACAUGUUAUUUCCCAAUUCAAAGUUUCAAACCAUAAAACCACAUAAUCUUUGUGGUUAAAAAAAAAGAAAAAAAAAGCAUAGGCGAUGGAGAGGCAUGUUUUAACGAGGGUCAAGUUGGUUUUUAUUUGGUUAAUUGUUUUUGGUUCAAGUGUUUCGACUUUAAUUUAGGUUGUAAACGAAUUUUGGUUUACGUUGUAAACCAUUAAAUCAGUGAAAAGCCGGGUUUGUGUUUCAGUUUUUUGAAUUGGUGAGUAAUACGUAAAAUAACUUAAAAUAUGUGAAAUUAAGAUGAAGUUGAAAGUUUGUGUAUAAUUGUUAUUAUAUGAUAUUUUGUGGGGGAAUUAUGUCCUUUACUCAAAAACAUUUAUAUAAGUUUAUAAAUUCAACCCCAUUUCCUAAUCUUAAAACCUAAACAAUAAUCAAUAAUCUAAACCCAAAUGUUAAUGUAGUUUUGAUUGAGCAUAUCUUUUUAAAAUUAGUAGCCAAUUUAGAAUAUUUCAAACUUCUUAAAAAUAUUCUAUUGAUGUAAAUAUAAAGAUUAUCUAUUGUAUAUAUGAUUAAAUAUUGGUUCCAUUUUAUAUAUUAAUUCAAAAUUAAGAAUUAAAUUUAUAAUAUAAUAGAAACUUUGGGUUUUAUUGGUUUUAUUAAAUAUCAAGGUUCAUAAUCAGAGAUAGUGAAAAACUAAAUUCAAGUUCGAGCUUAGAGUGAGAGAUGUGAAAAUAAAAAUAGAAUGAUCAAAAUGUUAAUGAGGCAAAGUCUUGAGAGAAAAUGAGAGAAAAUAGAAUUUUUAGGUUGAAAUCUAUUUAUAGAUGUCUUAAAACGAGCUGGAUCCACCCAAUAAAGCUCGGUCAAACCAAUAAAAAGUGGUCUUUCCGUCUGACAUGGUCAUCCCACUAUAAGUAGGUCGCUACAACACUUAGUUGUGUGGGGCUUCUUGGGGAACCAUAGCGACAUGCUCUGGUCGCUACAGCUAUGGUCGAUACAUGGUUGAUAUGACUCCAGUAGAUAGAUCAUAACUCCUUCAAUACAGCUACAAAUGAUUUGAAACCCCGGCAUUGGAAAGCUAACUCAAUUGUCUAUAUCGUCCCGAAAUUCGAGCUUCAGAAGAGAUCUUUAAGGCCGUCAUCCAUGUUCAUCUUUUACCCUUUUGACUCAAAACUCCUCAAAUUCCCUCAAACUCACCAAUAAAUAUCUCCAAAACCUGAUAUAGACACAUGCAAUGCGAUAUAAAUAUGUAUAAAUGCAUCUCUAUAUGAUCAUUAUAUACAUUAAAUGAUAAUUUAAAAUCAUGGAAAUUUAUAAGAUAUCAACCCUCCCACACUUAUCAUUUACUUGUCCAUAAGUAAACUUUCAAGAACAAAGUGAGAAAGAGGUGCGAAGGUGGAAGCUCAUUACCAAAAGAUAUUUUUCAAAGCCGUCAACGUGAUAUCCUUACAAAAUCAUACCAAAUAUCAAGAGCAAAACAUCAUAUGAAACUCUAACUUCUCUAGGCUGAUACUACUCAAAUUACCCUAAGGAGUGAUUUUACUCUCUCAAAUAAGAAGUUCAAUUGUAGUACUUAGGGAUCGAAGCUACAGAGAGUUAGGGCACACAAUAGACUAUUAAAACCAAGAUUAAGCUAGGCAAAGCAGUAAAUCAAUGAAAGCAAGAUGAACAAAGUAGUUGUUCCAUUGGUUGAUUGAGGUUGUAAACAAUUAAGAGAAAUAGCUAGACCUAGGGAUUUAUCAAUCAAGAGAUUCAAAACUUCAAUUCAAGGAUGCUAAUGGUUUACAGAUUAAUUUUAGAACUUGAUUUUAAUAAGUAAGCAAUCCAGCUUUCACAUGCAAUUGCUAAUCAGAUGUUUAAGUCCAGUCUCAGCUGUCGCUUAUUGACUUGGGGCGAGUGUCGAUCGAUGCUAUGGCCUGAGCGUCGAUCGAUACUUCCCCAGACAAGCAUUAACGACCUAAUCAAUAUAGUUCAACUAGAUUCCUAGACCAAUUCUCGCAUGCGCCUAGGUAUCUAAUCCAGCAGAGUUCGGGUUCCGUUAAUUGAUUGCACUUUCGUGCCUCUCAACUAUCCUAUGAUUCUAGGUUCAAAUAAUUAGUCGCACUGUCGUGUUAUUCUAACUAUUCCAGAUCCUAGUAUUACAAAUCAUCCUGGUGUAGAAAUCUAUAGAUAAUAUAGCAAUCCUAAUUGAUCAGUUUGACAUUAAGCUCAUGAAAUCCCUAAACCUAACAAGAUGAAUUACUUAGACAUGCAAACAAUAACACAAAUCAUAGUCUGAAAAAUAUAAUAGAUAAAUCAAUGGUAAGACAAAUGGAGUUCCAAUCAAUAUCUGAAGGAGAAUUGAUCUUCUCUCUAAACCUAAGAAAAAACAAUAGAAUAGGAUAAUAGAAAGCUUGUUACCGUUAACAAUGAUUUAUAAAUAAAUACAUAAAUAGGGUUUCUGGUCGUCCAUGGGUAUUUUGGUAACUUGGUGUGGCUUCUGGGCUUCAAACGGUCUUGAAAAAUGCGUGUCCCACGUUCUGGCAUCACUGUCGAUCGACACUAAUGCUGUGUUAACGAUCGACAGUUAUUCAUCUCCUCGAUAGCUUCUUCUCGCGAGGCAGACUGACUACUUUUCAGUAAAACGGUCAUAACCUCUGCUGCAGGUUACCAUUGACCUCAAACCGAUGGAAUUGGAAAGCUAACUCAAAGCUAUAUUUUGUGUCAAAAGAUGGGCUCAAUAUAACGGUGGGAAAGUCUCCAUCUAUAGCUAAAUAUCUGACGUGUAUGUGCCGCUCUGCACAUCAAAAGGCUCCAAAAGACACCAAAAUCACCACAUUCCUCCAAAUCGUCCAUGAACCUGUAAAUACUCUAAAUAGACUCUAUAUAGUAGUAAAUAUAUGUUAAAACACUUAUAGAUCAUGGCUAAAAGAGGGUAAAAUCCAUGGUCUAUCAACUUCCCCAGACUUACCCUUUUGUUUGUCCUCAAGCAAAACAGACGGACAGUCUCUCUGAAAGAGGUUUGAAAACAGCAGGGACUCACAUGAUUUAAAACUUAAACUCAAAAAUCAAUAUUUAUAUCGAGCAAUAACCAAAAUGAAAAAAAAACGACACAAAAAUGAGAAAAAUAUUGAAGAUAUUUAGGAUUGGCACGUGAACGUAAACUUCUCAUAACCAUAAUUAACUUUUAAAUUGCUAAAUCAUUAUAUAAAACAGAACUCUCAUAUUUUCAUUGUAACCAAAUAGUAGAUCUGAGAUUCUCUCGUCUAAAUGUUAGGUUCUUAUGCGAUAAAUGAAUUUUUGACCUAAGAUAUUUUUAAAAUAGAAUCAGCUCAUCAGUAAACAAAUUAUAUAAUUAACAAAAAAAAAAUUUUAAAUGAUUUAAGGGCCAAAAUUUAUUCGAUCAAUAAUAUAAAUUUUAUUUUUCCAUACGAUAUUUCUUAAAUAAUUCGUCCUACGCAAAGCGUACGUCUUAUCCAAGUAUACUUAAUAUAUUACCAAAAAAAUGUAUCCACAAGAUAUUAAUUUUACAGAAUUUUCCCAUUUUAUGUCUGAUUUGUUUCAGUUUGAUUUUCCUUUAAAAUUUUAAGGCUACAAAAAUGGAUAUCACUGAAUUAAUUUACGUUGUGUUAUUUAUUUUUUUGAAACUCAUUUACGUUGUGUUAAGUCGUAGAACCAUAGAACCAGGCCCGGCUUAAAUACAUUAUGGGCCUUGUGCAGACAUAUAUUUUUUCCCAAAAAUUAUAAGGAAAAAAGUUUCAUAGCUACCCGAAGUUUACACUAAUAUGGUGAAAACCAUCCAAUAUAUGAAAAUAUGUCUACAACAACACGAAGUUUAUGUUAAUACAUGUCACAUGUACGAAGUAAAUAAUAAUAUGGUAGCAACAUCACAAUUGGGUUUAAUUAAUUUUAAGCUAAGUUAAUGGGGUCAAUCCGUGAUUUACUAAACUUAAUAAACUUAAUAAUUUAAUAAACUUAAUAAACUUAAUGGUUUAUUAAGUUUCAUAAACUUAAUUUAUUUUAUUAAUAAACUUUAACUUAAAAACUUAAUAAUUUAUUAUACUUAAUAAAUUUAAUAAACUUAAUGGUUUAUUAAGUUUAAUAAACUUAAUUGAUUUUAUUAAUAAACUUUGUAAUUUAAUAAACUUUAACAUAAUAAACUUAAUAAUUUAUUAUACUUAAUAAGUUUAUUAAACUUAAUAAUUUAAUAAACUUAAUAAACUUAAACUUAACAAAUUUAUUAAACUUAAACUUAAUAAACUUAAUAAAUUCAUUAAACUUAAACUUAAUAAACUUCAUAAAUUCAUUAAAUUUGUUCAAUUUAUUAAGUUUAAUAAAUUUAUUAAGUUUAUUAAUAAAUGAUUAAGUUUAUUAAGUUUAUUAAUAAAUGAUUAAGUUUAUUAAGUUUAUUAAUUAAUGAUUAAUUUUAUUAAGUUUAAUAAAUUUAUUAAUUUUUAUAAGUUUAAUAAAUUUAUUAAUUUUAUUAAGUAAGUUUAAUAAAUUAUUAAGUUUAUAAACAAAAUCAAUUAAGUUUAUUAAAAUUAAUAAAUCAUUAAGUUUAUUAAGUUUAGUAAAUUACGGAUUGGCCUCACUAACUUAGUUUAAAGUCAAUUAAACCCGAUUGUGAUGUUGCCACUAUAUUAUUAUUUACUUCGUACAUGUACAUGUGACAUGUAUUAACAUAAACUUCGUGUAGUUGUUGACACAUUUUCAUACAUUGGAUGCUUUUCACCAUAUUAGUGUAAACUUCGUGUAGUUAGAAAACUUUUUUCCAAAUUAUAAUGAUAUUUCCUUAAAUUUACAAAUUAGGACUCUGUGCAUGUGCACCUUGAGCACACCCCAAGAGCCAACACUGAAUAGAACCAAAUAAGAAAGAUUUCUGAUAAAAAGAUUGUAUGAUUAUUUAGGAGACUAGAUUCCAUGUUGUGUGCCGUGCUGCCGUGCUGAAAAUACUUUUAGUUUUAUAACCCAUGUUCAAAAACACGGCCGAGUUGGCCGACUUCGCGCCGGUCAAACGUAAUUCGGUGGUGUUUUGCCGCGAUUUUGUGUUAUUCGGGUAAAAACUCGGAUUAAAAAAAUAUACAUAUUUUGACAUUUUCCAGUUUGAAAUCGGUUCUUUAAGCAUAGAUCUAUCAUAUUUCAUUGUUACCGAUCAAGAAUUGAAGUUAAUCGUCGAAGAAAAAAAUGAUUUAUGUUAAAAAUAAAUGAAAAACGGCUGUUAAUUAGGGUUGGAGAAAAAACAGGUCGGGAGGAAAAUGAUGAAAGUAAAAUUACAAAUGUGUCUUUCAUUAAUGAAAUGUUUAAAGAAAGAGCAAAAAAAUGGACAUUUUUGGGAAUUGAACCCGGGAGAAGAGAACUAGUUUUUUUAAGGACUUGCAUGCAUGAGAUUCUACGCGUACAGUUUUACGAUGCAAGUCCUUACGGUACAUUGUAAAACUGUACCGACAUCGUCAAUGUUUAGUCUACGCGUACGGUUAUAACUCACUAGUUAUUUAUAUUAUUAUUAUUAAUUUAUUAUUAUGGCGGAGUCGUCACAUGCAUGCAUGAGAUUCAUUCAUUCAUAAUGUCACACUCACACACUAUCCAUUCCCCUUUUUUUUUUGGACUCUUUUUUUUUUGUUAUAAAGAAAAUAAAAUUCUUAAAGUGACAGACUUCACGGGUUACACUGUGUUACUACCCGCCAAAUUCUACCCGCCACCUUUUAAAUUUCAUUUUAGUUUCUUCACCGUCAAUAAAUCGUCAGGACAAAAUAAAUACUUUUACAUUUCAUUGUUUUAUCGUACCAAGUGUGGUCAGUAUCUCUAAUAAUUUUGAAGAAUAUUUAGAAAACUAGUUAGAUUAUAAUUUUCGACGAUGUUAAUAUAUAUGUCGAAGUAAAUAAGGUAAAAAAAAAUGGUUCGUUUAUGGUUUUAUAUGGCAUUUAAAUUUUGAAUAUUGACUAUCAGAUUCAGUAUAUCAUUUAGAAUAGAAACAAAAGUAACCUAAAACUUAUAGAUUGAACUUCUUUUCAGAAUGUAUAUGCAGAGCCGGUCCUAGUGUAUUUGAGGUUACAAGCUAAAAAAUAAAAAAUGGCCGAAUUUUUUUUUUUUUUGCACUAGGGAAUUAUCGAACCUUGCUCUUUCAGACUAGACAUAUGUUGAUUCAACCACUAGACUACACAAGUUUUUGAUAAUUUUGUGGCCGCUUUUAUAUUUAUAAAGUGGCGGCCGGAAGUCCAUGCUUCACCAGCUUGGGCCCAAGACCGGCACUGUGUAUAUGGCACUGUGUAUAUGCAUUUACAGCUUUAGUAUCCUUUGAAUUAUUAAUUAUCAAAAAAAAAUUGUAUCCUUUGAAUUAUCGAUUAUACUAGCCAGAAUUAGUACAUGCUGACCUAUUUACAUUAUAUUUGAAAUCCCAUAGUGAAUACGCGCACCAUGACUAGUAUUACUAUUAUUGUAUUAUAUUAUAUUUACAUUAAUAUGUAAUAUGAAAAAACUAUAAAGAGAAUCAUCAGUCACGGACAUCAUGACUCAAUCACUCUAAGCUAGAAUGCUAGAUACGGAAUAUCUUUCAGAAGCGUGGGACUAAAAUAUUACAAGAAAUAGCUUCGAACAAUUCACAGAAGCUAGCAUGGUGAAAAAUAAUCUUGAACCCAACAGACUACUUUUGGUCGGGAACCCCAAUAAGUUGGAACUUUGUUCAAGAUUUAUCAACCUAUAUUUGUAUAUGAAUAGUUGAAUAGUGUAUAUCCCAAGAACUGAUUCUCUUUUUCCUAUUUGUAUAGGCAAAGACAUAAACUAGCACCCAAGAGAACUUGCCUAUGAUCCUCUCUCUCAAAAAAAUGUGGACCUAACAAGGAAGGAACAAGACAAAAAGAGUGAGAACGAUUUUUUUUAUUAUAUCUUGUAACUAUAUAGAGAAUGGGAGGUGUCUCGUAAGUCAAGUAGUAAUGACAAAACCCCUUCAUAAAUUGUCUACCCACUGGGCACUACACUACAAGAACCUUUGGUUGCUCCCAUUGUUUUCACCUAUAAAUUACAAAUAUGACUAUGCCUAAGGUUCUUAAGAAACCUAAUAUAACGAAGGUUUAAGUUAGUGGCUUCUAAAAGCUUAGACUAUGCAUUCUCUAAUAUUGAUUAUAGACUAAACAUUGACAAUGUCGGUACAGUUUUACGCGUUGGCUUUAGAUAUUAUAAGGACUUGAUCUGAGGUUUAGUUAAAAUAAGGUGCAAGACAUAAGACAUGAUUCUUAAAAGGUACUAGCUUAAGACCCGCGCAAUUGCACGAGGUGAAUGUUAUAUAUAAAACUAAUUUUUAUCUAUUAUUAUUUAUUUAUAUUCAUUUACGUAUUAUGUAUAUAAUUAAAUUAGAGUAAGAACAUAAAUCAAAACAAUACAUCUUGUUUAUUUACGAUACUUUUUUGGUAAAUAAAUCAAAACAAUCAUUUUAUUUAUUUUCUAUGGUAUAUAACUAAAUUUCAGUAACAUGGACAUAGAUAUAUAGUAUAUUUUAAUAUAAAUAUUUAUUAUUGAAAAUUCAUACUCAUAUGAUAAACACAAAAUUUCUAAUGUGCGAUUUUUUAAUGCAAAUUUUAAAAUUUAAAUAUUAAGGUUUCAAUACUUUUUCAAUAUAAAUUUAGAAAUUAUCAUAUUUAAGUAUUAUUCUAUGUUAUAUAGUUUAAUUUUAAACUAUAUUAUUAUAUAAUAUGAAUGUCUAGCAAAUGAGACUUCAUAUUCAUACGAUUUAUGAUCAUUUGUAUCUUGUUAUUACCAAAACAAAGUUAAACCAUUGAUCACAAAAUUUUAGUGUGAGACAUUUAACGUUUUUAAUAAUUUAUAGUCGUUUUAGAAAUUCAAAAUAUAACAUAUAUUUUUUUAUUAUUAUUAUAUGGUUAAUGUUGUUGUUUAAUAUUUUUUAAUAAUAUAAAAUUAAACAAAAAAGAGCUAAGAUACAAAAUUUAUUAUCAAAUAUUUAUUAUUCAUAAUCAUUAAUUAUCAUAUAUACAUUAAUCAUAUUAAGCAACUCCGUAGCUUUUAUUUAAGGAAAGUGCGAGAAUAUUAUUUUGUACACUAUUUAUAAAUUUAAUAGUUAGUUUAAUAAAAAAAUAUAAUAUAAGUUAAGAUAAACCAACCUAUUUUUCUAUGAAUUCUGAAAUUCAUUCUCAUGGUCACACGUGACUACAAAAUAAUGUUGUAAUGUUUCACAAUUAAUAUAUAAAAAAGAUUAUUGGCAUGCUUCACGAAGCUAAUUUUUGACCAAAUAUGCAAAUAUAAACUAUGGAAAUUUCUUAGGAACAUACUAGUAAUGAAAAUCAUUGGAGAUCGUACUAUCGUUAUUCGUUACUGAUUCUUUUGCAAAAAUAAACAUAUAAGAAAUGAUUAUGCUAGUUUAUGUUGCUGAGUGCUACAGUUUAUGGGUCUGACCGGUGACCAUUCAUAAAACAAGAGGAACAACAGAAAAAGAAUAUACCGGAAAAAAAUAGCAAGAAUGAAAGUGAAUGGUUAUUGCUUCUCAAAUUUAAUAAGGAAUAAUUUUAUUUUUUAAUUUUCUACAAAAAAAAAGAACGAAAAAGAAUGAGAUAGAAUUAUUAUUCCUUGUGAAUGGUGAUUUUUUAUAGGAACGUUAGAGAAUGCAUUAUUUCCCAUCAUUUCUUGGUCACCUUUCGUAAAAUAGUGUUGUUUUUCUAAUUAAGCAUUUUCAUGUUUUUGUUUUUCUAAACAUUUUCAUGUUGUUUGUUUUUCUAUACAUUUUCAUGUUACGGUAUAUAUAGGCUGAGCAUGUCCAAGCUAUUCAAAAUUAACCGAAUCGUGGAACAGAUCCAGUAACUAGCUAAUUCAUAGUUCUAUUAAAAUUGAGGUUAAGUAUAUAAAAGAAAAAAAAAACAAAGAAAUGAAUAGUAACAAAACUAGAGAGAGAACAGAAAGGAAUAGAGAUUUUGCCGAAACUUUUCUAAGUACAGUGUCUGAGUAUUUUUUUGGUAAUCAUGUUAAAUCAGUGUCUGAGUUCUUCAAACCUUCUCAGACUUGUCGUUUGUAAUUAAUCAUUAUCUGGCCGAUUAAAAAUGAUUAACGUAUUUGAUUUCGUGUUUUCCGAAUGCUUUCACACUAACCAAUUACAUUUUCACAAAAUUUACAAAUAGGUUCGUAGAGCAUGCAGCCAUGUGAUGAGCACAAAAGUGAACAAUUCUUUAGCAGUUUACUUAUAUCAACGUAAAUAGCGAAUGUUAUUCCUAAAUUUCCCUGAAAAGAUAAGAAUCUACGACUACAAAGAUACGCCAAUUUAGGAAAGUAUGACAAACCCUUUAAUUUCGUUUUGGAACUAAGUGACCUUAUACCUGCUUAAUAAAAUCUAAUAUUCCAAUCAUCUAAUCACAGUUUGGUGCUUACACUAUUAAAAAUAAACAAAUAUCGGCGAAUACUUUUUCUAUAAAAGGGUGCACACUAUCAUAUACCUACUUACUAAGUCGUUUACACAACCCAAACCCUCAUUCUAAGAGAUGGGGUCUCACACACAAAACCUCUCUUUUCUUAUCCUCCUUCUCCUAGGCUUCCUUGCUGUCUCAUUCGCUUGCGAAUGUAGCCCUCCUAAACCAUCUCCGAGACCCCACAAACCGCCUAAACAUCCCGUCAAACCGCCUAAACCACCAGCAGCCAAACCACCAAAACCACCGGCAGUAAAACCUCCUAAACCCCCCACCAAACCUCCCACCCUUAAACCACACCCCCACCCUAAACCUCCCACCGUUAGACCACAUCCACACCCUAAGCCCCCUACCAAACCUCAUCCCAUCCCAAAACCGCCCACCGUUAAACCACCACCCUCCACACCCAAACCGCCCACAAAACCACCCACCGUUAAACCACCUCCAUCCACCCCUAAGCCGCCCACCAAACCACCCACCGUCAAACCACCACCCUCCACCCCAAAACCGCCCACCAAGCCACCCACCGUCAAACCACCUCCGUCCACCCCUAAACCACCUACCCACAAGCCACCAACAGUGUGCCCACCGCCAACACCAACACCAACCCCACCUGUUGUAACGCCACCAACACCACCAACACCAACUCCACCAGUCGUUACGCCACCAACACCAGCCCCACCUGUUGUAACGCCACCAACACCAACACCACCGGUCGUAACGCCACCGACACCAACCCCUCCUGUCGUAACACCUCCAACACCACCGGUCGUAACGCCACCGACACCAACUCCUCCUGUCGUAACACCACCAACACCACCGGUCGUAACGCCACCGACACCAACCCCUCCUGUCGUAACACCUCCAACACCACCGGUCGUAACGCCACCGACACCAACCCCUCCUGUCGUAACACCACCAACACCAACUCCACCUAAGCCAGAAACGUGCCCAAUCGACACGUUGAAGCUAGGCGCUUGUGUAGACGUUCUUGGAGGUUUAAUUCACAUCGGGCUUGGUGGAAGUAGCGCCAAGAAAGAGUGUUGUCCGGUUUUGGGAGG